AUGUGAGGCUACAGAAAAGUUUUGAAAACGAAACUGGAUAUUUUAUCUCUAACAGCUUUCAUACUUCGUUCACCCUGUGUUUCCAAGUUGUGCUAGCUAUUUGCAAACCUUGGAAUAUUACUUCAUCCAAAUCCCUUGCAGAGAAGAGAAAGAUAUGGCUUUGAUCGGAGAGGCCCUCAUCUCUGCUACCAUCCAGACGUUGUGUGACAAAAUUGCUUCGCCUGAGUUCACCGACUUAUUUCGGCAGAAAAAGCUCGAUGAACAACUCCUCAACAAGCUGAAGACGACGCUGUUGACCUUGUCCGUAGUGCUUAAUGAUGCAGAGGAGAAGCAAAUUGAGGAACCUUUAGUGAGAGACUGGCUUGACAAUCUCAGACAUAAUGUCUUGGCUGCGGAGGACUUACUGGAUGAAAUCGACACUGAAGCUUUGCGAUGCAAACUGGAAGAAGGUGAAGGUCAAACCCACAAUUUAACCAAGAAGGUACGUGAUUUUUAUCAACGCAUGAAUGUUGAGAUGAAAGAUUUAUUAGAAAGAUUAGAACAAUUUGUACAAGAGAAAAGUGCUCUUGGUUUGAGAGAAGGUGCUGGGAGGAAGGUUUCACAAAGAACAACAACUUCCUUGGUUCAUGAACCUUGUGUCUAUGGUAGAGAUGAAGUCAAGGAAAAUCUGUUGCAAAUUUUGUUAUCUGAUGAUGCAAGCAAGGAUGAUGUGUCUGUCCUCACCAUUGUUGGAAUGGGCGGGGUAGGCAAGACAACCCUUGCCCGACUGCUUUACAAUGACGAUAAGGUGAAAGAACAUUUUCCACUUCAAGCUUGGGUUUGUGUUUCGGAAGACUAUGAUUCUAAUAGGAUAACUAAAACUCUUCUAGAGUCAGUCACUUCAAAGUCUUCUGAUAAGACAGAUCUAAAUUUGCUUCAAGUUGAAUUAAGAGAAAAACUCCAGGGAAAGAAAUUCUUAUUUGUGUUGGAUGACCUAUGGAAUGAGAAAUAUGGUGAUUGGAAACGCCUCCAAACUCCUUUUACUUCUGGGGCAAGGGGAAGUAAAGUCAUUGUAACAACACGGAGCCAACAUGUAGUAUCUGUCCUGCAAAGUGUUCAUGUUCAUCACUUGGAACCCUUGUCGCACGAAGAUUGCUGGUUCUUACUUGCAAAACAUGCAUUUGGAAAUGAAAAUUGCAGUGAUCCAAACUUGGAAGAAAUUGGCAAGAAAAUUGCACACAAGUUCAAUGGGUUGCCUUUAGCUGCAGAAACACUUGGGGGUUUGUUACGUUGCAAUAUAGAUUCAGAGGAAUGGAAUACAAUACUAAAUAGCAGUAUUUGGGAGCUACCCUAUGAUAAAUGUGACAUUCUUCCGGCUCUUGGGUUGAGUUACCAUUAUCUCUCCUCCCAGUUAAAACGAUGCUUUGUUUAUUGUUCAAUUUUUCCAAAGGAUUAUGAGUUUAAAAAGGAAGAUAUAGUUCAAUUUUGGAUCGCAGAAGGUUUAAUUCCAAAAGCUGAGAAUGGAAAGAGCAUAGAAGCGGUAGCUAGAAAAUACUUUGAUGAGCUGUUGGCACGAUCGCUAUUUCAAAAGUCAAGCAAAUCCGGUUUCACAAUGCAUGAUCUCAUUAAUGACUUGGCCAUGUUCAUGUGUAAGGCAUUUUGCCUUAGGCUAGAAGGGGGGGAAUCACAUGACGUAGAAAAAGUUCGGCAUUUUUCAUAUGCUAUAGAAAGAUUUGAUGCAGCUCCAAAAUUUAAGCCAUUACAUGGGGCUAAGUUUAUGCGGACCUUUCUACAAGAUUUGUUGCCAUCACUAAGAUGUUUACGGGUGUUAUCAUUGUCACGUUAUCAAAAUGUUACUGUGUUACCUGAUUCUAUUGCAAACCUCAUUCACUUGCGCUACUUGGAUCUUUCCCAUACCGCUAUUGUUUCUCUCUCCUUGAAUUGCCUACAGACAUUAGAAAAUUGAUUAAUUUACAGAAACUGACGUUGAGAGGUUGUACGUCUCUUAAUAAAUUGCCUGCAGGCAUGAAGGAGUUGACUAAUUUGCAUCAUCUUGAUGUCAGUGGAACUAAAAUUGAAGAGAUGCCGGUGCAAAUGGGUAGAUUGAAAAGUUUGAGAACAUUGACUGCAUUUGUUGUGGGCAAAUCUACUGGGUCAGGCAUAAGAGAACUGAGGGAGUUCCCGCAACUUCAAGGAAAACUAUCAAUUUUGAAGCUACAAAAUGUAGUUGAUGCGAGGGAUGCACUGCACGCCAAUAUGAAGCACAAGAAAGAUCUCAAGGAGUUAGAGUUUUCAUGGGGUACGGAGGAUGCUGAUGAUUCCCAAAAGGAGAAAGAUGUACUCGACAAGCUCCAGCCUUGCAUGAAUUUGGAGAAAUUAACCAUCGGAUUUUAUGGUGGAACCAAUUUUCCGAAUUGGUUAGGAGACUCGUCUUUUUCUAACAUACGAGUCAUGCAUCUCAGUGACUGUAGUUAUUGUUGGUUGCUCCCACCAGUUGGACGGCUACCGGCACUCAAAGAGCUCUGUAUAGAAAGAAUGAAGUCUUUGAGGACGAUUGGCGUUGAAUUCUAUGACAGAGAUGGAGCUUAUCUGACUCAGCCAUUUCGAUCUCUGGAGAAGCUAGAGUUUAGGGAGAUGCCGGAGUGGGAGGAAUGGGUACCAAGUGGAAGUGCAAGUGGAGGUGAAUAUGGUCCAGACUUUCCUCGUCUCCAGGAGCUGAUUCUAAACGAGUGUCCGAAGCUAAGAGGAAGUUUGCCUUGUGAGUUGCCUUGCUUGAAGAAGCUUACGGUGUAUGGGUGUGAGGUUUUACAUGAUGGAAGGGCGGCUACCGCAACUACCAAUAGUCUUAACUAUAAAUCUCUGGAAGAAUUGGAUAUACAUGGUGGAUGCCAAACUCUGUUAUCAUUAUUAGAGACAAAGCUCCUGUCCCGACUUGACAGACAGUGCUUGCCCAACUGCAAUCGUCUUCAAAGUUUGACUCUUUCGAAUUGUCCAACGCUGUCGUCGUUUCCUAAAGAUGGCCUACCCAGUACGUUGACAUCACUUGAUAUAAACAAUUGUAGGAAAUUAGAAUUCCUACCUCAUGAGAUGUUGGCCAAAUUAACAUCGCUUGACUAUUUGUGCGUACAAAAUAGCUGUGAUUCAAUGAGGUCCUUCCCGUUGGGCAUUUUUCCCAAAUUGACGACGCUUCAAAUUCGUGGUUGUGAGAAUCUGGAAUCUUUUUCCUUGAUUGAAGAAGAAGGAGCUGUUGAGAAUCUUAGCCAUCUCAAUGACUUGCAAGUCUCUAAAUGUCCAAAAAUGGUGUGUUUUCACGAGGGAGAAUUGCCCACUCCCAACCUGAGUCACUUUGUAGUCAGUGAUUGCGAGAAUUUGAAGUCAUUGCCCGAACGCCUUCACACCCUCACAGCCCUUCGAUAUUUGUCGAUAUGGAAUCUUCCGAAUCUGGAGUCAUUUGCAGAAGAUGGGGGUUUGCCUCCCAACCUCCGAUCUUUUAGCAUUUGGAAUUGUAAGAGACUGAGGGCUUCAUCAGUGGGAGAGUACUGGGGUUUGCAAGCACUUGACUCCCUUGAGAUCGAUGGAAGUGACCAUGUCUUGGAGACGUUGCUGUUCCCUGCCACUCUUCACACUCUCCGCAUCUCUGAUCUAUCAACUCUGAAAUCUUUGGACGGAAAGGGUCUUGGACACCUCACUUCUCUUCAAAAGCUAGAAAUUGACAGCUGUCCAAGUCUGGAAUUACUGCCAGGAGAGGAACUUCAACACCUCACUUCUCUUCAAACUCUAAUUAUUAGUUCGUGUGGCAGUCUCCAAUGCCUGCCAGAAGAGGAUUUGCCGUCAUCUCUUUCUCAUCUGAGUAUCUGGCGGUGUCCUCCCCUGGAGAAAAGGUAUAAGAAUAAGACGGGACAAGAUUGGGCAAAGAUAUCUCACAUUCCUUGCAUCAAGAUAGGAUACGAACUGAUCAUAUAAUAUGAGCUAUUCCAUAUUUCAUGCUCAACCCUCAACUCUCAAAUCAAAGUCAGGUGAGGUGUGUGCCUUCUCUUACUUUAAAAAACUGCUUCUCUUCUUCUAAUUGAAUACAAAAACCAAAACACAUAUUCUCUUUCUCUUCCAAAAACCCAAAUACAUGUUGGACAUUGCCCAAAUUUGAUCUCCAAAUUCCUAAUUAUUUCACGCUUUUUGUUAUUUUAUGGUUGCUGGUCACAAAUUAUAUCCUACUUGGAGUAUCAAAUGCUGAAUAAUUAGCAGUCUUUUUGCAGGACGACAUACCUUCUCUUGGCCCUUGGGGAGCUUUUCAAAAUUUGCAAGGUUUCUUUAUGUGGCAUUUCCAGAGGAGGGUCACAGGGCGGAGAAACAGAAAAGGUUUACCUGGAAUAUCUCAUACAUUCCUGCAUGUAGGCAUCAAAUGUACACCAUUUUUAGGUACUUUUAUAUGAAAAAAAUUGUAUUUGAGUCUCAUUUGCACUAGUUUAAAUCAAAUUUAAUGCCUAUGGAUAGUCUAUUAAUAGGUUCAUGCCAUGAAUUAAUCUUUGGACUUUCCCAGGUACUGCAGGUUUGUUAUUAAUGUUGUGGCUAGGUUGUCUUACGUUGAGGAGAGAGAUCGAUCAGCAAUUACAAAAUUGUUAGCGAAUUUAGUUUGUUUAUCAUCUCUCUCCUUUUGUUUGUUAAGUUUUGUUGUUCUAGGUUAAACCCUUGUCCCCGCAUUUCACAGCAACUCUGUGUUAUUCCACUCUGUUUAGAUUUCAUUUAUGUUGUGAUUCGACUGCUGCUGUAUUUUAGAUUUCGUUCAUGUAAUGUUAGGAUGUUUAAUCUCUGAUCUGUGGUGGUAGUUGAGUAGUUGAGUAGUCUAGUUAAUCCAGUAGAUAACUUGUCCCCUGUUUUGUAUUGUUUUUAUUUCUCUGGUAAUGAAAGCACGUUUCUUAUAAAUAAAUAAAAAAUAUUUCAUUGAUAUUCAUUGCUUAUUUUGAACUGCAGAAGCCUACUUUUGUCAGAGUCAGUAGAUGCCAGAAUGAAGUCAUUGCCUAAACACAUUGGCACCCUCACAGCCUUCGACAUUUUGGGAUAUAUGAUCUUCAAAAUCUUGUGUCAUUUGCCUCCCAACCUGCAAUAUUUUCAUAUUUUAAAUUGUGACAGACUGAGCCCUUUGGUGGGAGAUUACUGGGGUUUGCAAGGACUUGGUGGCAAUAUCUUGUAGACGUUUCUCAAGGAACAGCUGCUCAAUGCCACUCUUCGCACUCUAUAUAUUAUGGCCUGUCAGUCUAAAAUUCCUGCCAGGAGAGGAACUUGAACGCCUCUCUUCACUGCAAAGGCUACAUAUUUGUGGGUGUGACAAUACCCAAUUCCUGCCAGAAGAGCGUUUGCUGCCAUCUCUUUCUUAUCUGUGCAUCGACCAUUGUUUUGCCAUGUAGAAAAGGUAUCUCACAUUCCUUGCGUCAAGAUAGGUGAAGAAGUGAUCAUAAGGUAUGAGCUCUCUCUCCCUCUCGCUCACAUACAAAGUACUUAAACACUCAAUCUGAUUUCUAUUAUUAUUUUGCUCAGUAAAUUUUGUUUAAAUUUGCUUUAUUUCUCAUUGCGCUUGUUCUGCUUAUCACAACUUAUAUCCUAUUUAAAUCUCAAAUGCUGAAUAAUUAGCAGGCUUUUCGCAGGACAACAUAUCUUCUCUUGGAGAGAUAUUCAUUUGCAAGGUUUCUUUAUGUGUCAUUUCCAGAGGAGGGUUUACUAUUUAAUAGAAAGGUUCACCUGGAAUAUCUCAACUGACACAUUCCCAAAUACAAGCAUUGAAUGCACAACAUUUUGAGGUACUAUUUUUGUAAUAAAAAUGUACUUGAGUCUCAUUUGAGCUAGUUUAAAUUGUAUUCAAUGUCUAUGGAUAACCUGUGAGCUUAAGUAGUAAGAUAAAACUCACAGUAUAUUAUUAGGGUUUAGGGUUCAACAGGUGAGCUUUAGUUGUACUUUCCUAGGUACUGCAUGUAUAUUAUCUUCGUAUCAACAGGUGGUCUUAUGUGGACGAGCGAGAACAUUGAGGAAUUACAAAAUCUUCUUAGCUUGUUUCAGCUCUGUUUGUCAUCCCUCACAUUUUCUUUGUUAAGCCUUGAUUUUUUAUUAGACAUAAGAAAAAAUGCUUUUAUAAGACAGGAGAUGAAUGCUUUUAUAUGUUGAUGUCAUAGUCAGUCUUCAACCACACUCUGUUUUUAGAAUUCAUUUAUGUUACAAGUGGAGUGCUGCUGUAUUUUAUAUUUCGUUCCUGUAAUGUUUGGAUGUUUAGCUUGAGUAGUCUAGCUUAUCCAGUAGAUAACUUGUCCCCUGUUUUGUAAUGUUUUUGUUUCCUCUAAUGAAAGCAGGUUUUACUUAUCUUGAAUUGCAGAAGCCUACUUUUUGACAUAGGUGGCAUGGCACAAACUCGCAUCCGCAUUUCCUUCCCCAUUGGCAUGCUGUCUCAUCUUUUCUAUUCUGUUACCAGCUUGAAGCUUGUGUAGACAUGUUAUGCUCUUGUAAUUCUGAUCACAAACAUCACUUGACAAAUGGAAAGUCACAAUCAGAUCUUUCAGGUGAUCUGGAGGUUUACUUUCUAACAUUUGUUUUCGUGGGGGGGGGGGGGGAGGACAACAAUACAGAAUUUAAAAUUUCUGAUAAUCAAUAGUAGUUUGCAUAUAUCAGCUGGGACCUGUAUGACUGUAUUAUGUAAUUAAUUAUUCUCUUAUUGUUUUGGUACUGUUAAAAGGAGUUAGCCACACAAAAUAAAAAAGGAGGCCUCUUAUUUCAUACUAAUCGUCUGGUCCAUCUGCUGCUUCACUCCCUAGUAGCUUCAUCUCCUGUCCUUUGCUUUAUUUCUGUUAUUUAUUUUGAUUUCAUGUCCAUUGCUUCAUUUCUGUUUGGAUUCUUAAUUAAAUCUGUCCUGGACUUGAACAAGGGUUAGGUUAGCUGUAUAAUUUGCGGUUUUAUAUACACAACUGUCUACAUUGAUUAAAACCAGCAUUAUUCUAAGGUUCAUUUAGAAUGUAUUAUCACCAAAAUUAUAAAGUAUACUUCUAUUACAAUUAAUUUGUUGAUUCUAAUUUGGACUUGUAGGAACAGACCAAACAUGUUCAUAUGUGGCAUUGCUCAAGUCAUCAUCAUUCGGGACAGAGAAUAAGCCUUCAAAUGUCUGCUGAGUCAAUGAACCUUUCUAGAUAUCUCAAGUGUAAUGGAAAUUGAUGAGUUACAAAGGAUUUGUAAACAUUUUCUACUGGAGGCUAGAAAUGCUUCAAAUAAAUGACUGUGUUGCAAUUAUUUUGUAGGAUCAAAGACUCUGCAAAGAGGUAAGAAAGUCAUCAUCAAAUAACUUUGCUCUUCAAACUUUUUAUUUUUAUUUUUAAAUAUCAGUAAUAACUGGGAAAGCUUGCAUCUCCUUAAAUUGCUCAUUCUUACAUCUUUUAUAGUUUGUUGAUCUUGGGCAAGUGGAGAGAGAGGCGUCAAGUGAUACACAACAACCAUUUUCUGUGAGCUGAUUUGAUAAAGAGAAAUGGUAUGCUUUCUUGUCUUAAGCGGUGUGUUCUGCAAUUAUUUGAAACAAAGGAUGCCGCACUUCAAGUUCGAGAAAAUCAGGUAUUUUAGUAUUUUAUUCUUGAGAAAUUUGAUUUAUGUAGAAACUUGAACAUGUAAAUGAGAGAAAUAUAUAUAUAUAUAUAUUAUAUAUUGUAUAUGCUGUUAAUGAGUUAAUAUGGUGCUUGCUCCUAGUUGGAAAUUUAUGUAGUCAUCUACCUAUGAUCAAAUAAAGAUGAAAAAUAAAAUAAAAUUGAGAGCAUCUUCCUCUCCCCUGCUUUGCUCAUCCCUUGUUCUUCCACUUCAGCCCCACUAUUACACCAUUUUUUCAGCCACAAUUAUAAUAGCUCCAUGAGCAUAUUAACAUCAGUGGCCACAGUUCCAUGAUUUGAGUGCACAGAAAGGUUUCAAAAAUUGUCCCAAAAGUACAGUCGUUCAAAGUGAAAGAGAGUUUUCAAAGCUUAAUUACAAGUUCAUGUUAUUUACAAUAGCAAAAAGCUUUCAUUCUUGCUUACAAACUUGUAUUUCCAAGUUCUGUAAACCUUGGAAUUUCACUUCAUCCAAAUCCCCUUCCAAAGCAGGAAAAAAUGGCAGCAGCUUUGAUUGGAGAGGCUCUCAUCUCUGCUUCUAUCGAGGUGUUGUGUGACAGAGUUACUUCAGCCGAGUUCAUAGACUUAUUUCAGCAGAAGAACUUGAUGAAACACUCCUCAUGAACCUGAAGACAACACUGUUGAUUUUGUUUGCGGUGCUCAAUGAUGCAGAGGAGAAGCAAAUUGUGAACCCUGCUGUGAGAGAGUGGCUUAACAGCUCAAGCAUGCUGUCUUUGAUGCAGAGGACUUAUUUGAUGAGAUUGACACUGAAGCUUUGCGAUGCAAGCUGGAAGGUGAGGAUCAAACCCACAAUAGUUAACCAACAAGGAUCUUUUUGAUUGUUUGAAAGAAGAGUCUUUGAUGAUUUGAAAGGAGAGGGUUGCUUUAUUUCUGUUGGAUGCGUAAUUAAAUCUUAUUUGGAGUUGAACAAGGAUUAGAUUAGCUGUAUAAUUAGUGGUAAACGCCUUUUUCUAAGGGUCAUUUAGACUCCUAUUACGAUUAAUUUGUUGUUUCUAAUUUGGACUUAUAGGAACAGACCAAAUAUGUUCACACGUGGCAUCGCUCAAGUCAUCAUCAUUUCAGACUGAAAAUCAGCCUUCAAGUGUCUGUUGAGCCAAUAAACCUUUCUAGAUAUAUCAAGUGCAAUGGAAAUUCAUGAGUUACAUAGAGAUUUGUAAACAUUUUGAAGAUUGCAACACCUGCAAGUGAGAUAGGCGGUGACGAAAUCAGAGCUGAUUUUGAAGCCUCUGAUGCCCCUGUUGUUGCAAGUUGCACCUGAGAACAUGUUUUUUUUUUCUUUGGGGUAAAAAAACUGGCAACAUGUUCGGAGCUGACAAUUCAAUCCCUGAUGAACUAGAGAAGCGAAGCUCCGGUAAGGAAUUGGUCAAGGUUGUGACAGGGAUGAUUGAUGGUGAAAUGGAUGCUAUUUCUUAUUGCAGCCUGUUCUCAAAGUUCUUGUUGGCAAAUGCAAGAGAUGGAGUAUUUUGAUUGGGAGGAGAUAUAAUGACAUGGCUUGACAAUUCUAGAACAGCCCAUCAUUAAUCCCAGAAAAAAUCCAGUUUCUGCUAAACAAUCACUUAUGGCAAGGCCAACUCUGUAAAUGGAAUUUGUGAUCCCUUGAAAUUGUACACAUUUUUUCUUUUUGAGGAAUUUAAUCAAACAGUAUUCUAAUGUAUUAUGAUAGCACUACACGCUUUUGUUGUAACAAAUUACAAGGAGGAAUUUGGAUUGAGUUUCUUGUAUAAGCACACCUUACACAAAUUUGGUAUAUUUUCUUCCAGCAAGUCUGUUUAUUAACCCCCUUAUCUGAAAUUAAUUGUUAAAAGUUUUGAUUCAUCUUUAAUCAGUGUCUAACCCUUGUUGAAUAACACUCCUCUUUCUAAUUUAUAUUUGAAGUUUGAGGUUUCAAUUUCAAUUGUGGGCUUUGAUUUUACAGAUUUUGUUUGUCAAUUUCAGUUUGGACAAAGCAUAUGCAAACAAAAUAAGCAUUUUAUGUUAUACUUUUGAAAUAGGUGUUGAUUUGAUUUAAUCAUAAGUUUUGCUGGUGCAUUUACUAGGCUAUCAUUCAAUACUUUUGAUCAUAGAACUUCUUUGGUCGAUAUUAUCUUUGUUAAGUUUAACCAUAAAUUUAGAGAGGGGACUUCAACAGAUUUAUAAUCUCAUCAUUAUAGUAUUAAAAAUUAGAGAUUAAGGCAUUGUCUAUUAUCUGAAUUCUGCUUACUUUUAGUUCAUAUGUUUACAUCUUAGCAUAUUCAUGCGAUUAGUGCGGCUCAUACCACAAAGGCAACUUUAGGCUCAUCAAGUGCUAAGCAAUGUCAAGCUUCCAAGUGACAAGUUCUCUACAUAGUUUGAGACCUACACUUACUAGAUAUUAGAUCAUUUCGAUCAUUUCCAUAUGUUUAUAUGUAAUUGACAUGUUAUAACAAUUUUUGUAGCGUUAUAUAAUUAUUUAGCAAUUUAAUUAUUUCUUUGCAUCAAGAAAUAGUUCUUAAGUUAUUAAAAAAAAAAAAAAAGAUUUAAAAAAAAAGAUUUGUUGAUGCUUAAAAAGCAUCAAGAACAGGUAGUUUCUUGACGGUUUAGUGACGUUUCAUAACUGUAGGAGGCUUUUUCUUCCGACAGCUGUAAAUGGGCUGGGUUGCCGUAAAGGGCAGACUGAUGAAAUUGUCCCCUUUUGUCUGAGCUAGAAAAUUAAGCCCCAAAAUACUUCGAAAGGGCAGCAGAGCCUUAGGAAGUAUUUUGGUUACCCUCACCAACUAAAACAACAACAACUUACAGGUAAUUUCUUAAUGCUUACAGAUGAACUCUUGAGCUUGGCAUGAGAGACAUGUGGCAUGGAAGCAAAAUCAACAUGAGUUUAGCACUGAGGGGAAAUUUAGGCUCUCUUGGGGGAAAAAGGGAAGUGUUAAGGUGAGAGAGGAGAAGUUUGUAGGAGAUUUAGCUAAGAAAGGAGAAAUAUAGAACAAUGCUCUUCUGGCAGCUUGACAGAUGCUCUGUCUGCCAGAAAAGGAAGAUGGAGAAGAAAUGUGAAUAGUGCACGAGUUUGCUAGAUUUUUGCAGGUAAGAGAGGAAGCUUGCUCUCUGGGUCUGAGUUGAGUUUUGUUAGGUGGAAGAGACCUCAUUUUAUAGCUCCUGGAAACCAUCACUUCCCAAGAAACCCUAAUGGCUUCUACCCAUUUUGGCCAAGCUUUUCCAUUCCUUUCUCAUUUCCUUCCUUGACUUUACCCCUCUUGAUGAAAUCCUCUCUACCUAUUUGCACCAGAUCAGAGUUUUUUGAAGCUUAAGGCCCCCUUUUCCCGCAGUUGUCUCAAUGGGAGACUUUCAUUCCUAGUCAUUUCCUUUAUUGCUUUCCUUUCUUUUUUUCAUGGCCAAGUCUGGUGGGGAAAGGAGUUGGGAUAAAUAUGCUAGUUUGAAGGGUGCUUCUCUUCUUGGCAUCUUACACACUAAUACCCCUUGGUUCCUUGAAUGUUUUGGCUUUGAAACUUGCUCCCCUCCAUGUAUUGGAACCUCCCAGCAGCCCUGGUCAAUGAAUCUUCAGACCUUCUCUUCGUGGCUUUUAUUUUUUUAUCAACUGGCUAGGGCUUUUGUGGCUCAUUGGGGCAAUUGUAUGGGCUAAGGUGGUUCAUUAAGUAAGUGGGCUAUUUUUAUUAAACAUUGAGCUUUUUGGUUGAGUCACUAGGCUAUUUUGAUUGGGCUAUUGGGCUAUUGUUUCCUCUCUUGUGCUCACCCACAUGUUUGGACCAAAGAAAUGAGCUUGAGUCCUGAGGCUCCCAAGCGACCCGAGACUUUCCAUUUAUCGGUCCAUCAAUGGGCCUCAUGUUGAUUUAUUACCAUCCAUACCACACCCCACUCAAGCAAGCCCCGGGCAUUUGAGUGGCUUGGGCCCACUUAGGCUUGUAGUGUGGUUGGGUGCAAAAUAACGAUUUCGUGCUUGGCAUGUUUUAAUUUUAUCAUCCAUGGGAAAGGCUGCGAUGUUUGAUUUCGGCAUGGGCUUGUAGAGCUGGUAUGCUUUAUUUCAACUCCUAGCAUGACGAAUUAUUUAUUUAGCAUGGCACGUGAAUUACAACUCGCAUGUGGUGGGUUUUUGUGUACUACACCUUACGCCUCUUCUUAAUAGAACAUCGUUUCUGAUAAUUUAUUUGGGCCCAACCGUGAAUUUUUUGGAUCUCAAUAAUAACCAUCAUGAAACAUUACAUUUUGACUGACAUCAAGAAAUGGGGUAUCCCUUUCUUGAUAGUGGCAUCCAUGAUGCCUUCCAAGCCGUCAAUUAAGGGCUAUCGCGAUGCAUUUUAGUUGUCAGCAAAAGGUGUUUUUCUUGUACUAUAUUCACUCAAAAUCGUGUUUCAUUUAAGAUUAGUAGUAUGGUUGAAUACCAUUUGUUUUGUUAAAGAAUAUUAUACAUUAGGGAUUUUUGUAGAAAUGUCAUUUGAACUUAUACCUUAGUUUCAAUUUGUCACCUUGAAGAAAAAUUUAAGAGAAAUAUCACCUUAAUUUUUUAAAAUCCAUGAUUUGUCAUAUGACUUUAAGAUCAUCCAAUUUUCCAUCCAUUUUAAGGGUAUUUUAGACUUUUCAUUUUCAAGGAAAAAAAAGAGAUGAAAAAAGAGACCUCUCUCUUACUUUGUCCCCCAACCCAACCCCACCCGCCCCCAAAAACACAUCACAUAGGAUUGCCUCCCCCUUCCCCACUUUUCUUUUUUCUUUUUGUCAUACUUUUCCACUGUGUUUAUGUUGAAGGAUCUAAAGUUUGCUUGGUCACCAUCUUUUACGUAGGCUUCCUAAUUGUUGGUUUGGGUGGGUUGUGGGAAUUUGUGUGUGGAGGGCAAGGCUCUAUCUGACAGGACCCACCUCGAAUUCCUCGAAACCCGAGACGAAUCUUGUAGAAUUUCCGACAUCACACCGAUGCCGGGUCCACUUCUGAACUAAAUCCUCUUUUCCAAAAUUAAGGAAAAAUAGUACGAGGCUUUCUGCCAAAAUUUCGGCAGUCUUCCCUAUAAAUUUAACGUUUCAGCUUUGGAGGCCGUUCUUUCAUUUCUGCUUUGGUGGCCGGAUGAGAGAACGGCCGGCUAAAACGUGGCCAGCUGGCACUGCCGUCACGAGAGAGAGAGAGAGAGAGAGAGAGAGAGAGAGAGAGAGAGAGAGAGAGAGAGAGAGAGAGAGAGAGAGAGAGAUGUUUAUCAAACCAUUUUUGCCAAAAUUACGAUUAUGCAACUGAGGGUAUUUUGAUCGUAUCUUUUUCGUUAUAACUCCGAUUCAAGCCCACUACAUAUCUACGGACUCAUCUCGCCGUGCUCUAUGCAAUUGUAUAGUUGAAAUUCCCAAAUUCCAUCCCAGUCAAAAAGUCAACUUUAAACCUUAUAAAAUAUUCUAAGGGCAAAAUGGUCUUUUAUCUAAUUAAAUUAAUAAUUGAAAAUUUAUUUAGGACCGGGUCGUUACACUGUCGUUGAUGGACUGUGCGAUGGCACUCACACAAAGUCCUUAAGAAUAAAACACACACACACCAUGAAGAGAGUAAAACAAAUGCACAAAGAUUUAUAAAGGUUUGGCCUCCUGCCUACAUCCUCUUGGUGAUCCACCCGAGAAAUUCACUUGUACGUAAGAACAACUUUGGUUACAACUAAACCCCCUUAGCUUUCAUAAGAACCCUAGAUCUCUUUUCUCCCACCCUUGCUCCAACCCUUUGAUGCCCUUGUAAACACUCAAGAAUUCAUCCUUGAAUUCUAUCAUGUGUUACAUCUUCUCUUCUCCCCUUUGCCAACCUAACCCUACAAGUUAUAUUUAAAAUUCAUUGGACUUUAAGUACAAGUUAACUAGGAAUAGGAAACAUAAAAGACCCCAAAAAUUGGAGAAAAUAUGUCUAGAUCUCAUUAGGAAAUUGCACAACACGUGCGAUCCUCUCGAGCGCCUGCAAAAUCAUCCCUUUGCCGCUCGAGCUGCCGAUAGCUCAUGGGAUGGGGGAAUUAGAAAUUUUUUUUUUUCAAUUUUAAUUGUUUAAAAGAUAUACAAUUUAUUAAUAAUAAUUUUUCCAUUUUUAAAAUACCCUUGAAAAUAGAAAGAUUAAAAUGCCCUUAAAAAUGGAUGGAAAAUUGGAUGGUGUUAAGGUCAGAUGACAAAUCAUGGAUUUUGAAAAAUUAAGGUAACGUUUCUCUUAAAUUUUUCUUUACAGUGACAAAUUGAAAUUGAGGUAUAAGUUCAAGUUACAUUUCUGCAAAAAUUCUUAUACAUUAUGAUAUUCUAACAAUAAUUGGCUAAAAUUGAUAUGUUCCCUCUUUUAUUUUCUUUUUCUCUUUUCCUUUUCAUUUUAUGAUCCAAUCCUUUUCAUAUAUUUUUGUUCAAGACUUUGUUUUAUAAUGCUCUAUUACUAAUUUGGUACAGGUCCCUAAAAUCUCGGAGCCGCCUUAGUACAUUCAUAACGUACAUGUUCAGAGUUCAAGAAUAAUGUAUAGAAUGUGAAAUUGACGAUGCCGGCCUUUAUGAGGCAACAUCUUUAUUUCUUUGGUUAUUCCAGUUUAGAAUAUUUGCACAAAUGAGAUGACUCCAAGCAUAAAGUCACAUUCGACCAAAAAGCAUAAAGUCACACACAAAAAGAACACGGACAAUUGCUAAGUUUAUCCUUGUACCCUUAUUUUAUUGAUCCGACCCAAUUGAAAAAUAAAAAAAGAUGAUAAAAAAUAUUGUUCACUGCUUUAAAAUCUAUGAGUAGAGUCCUCCAUUUGAAAUUUGGUCAUUAUACAAAAUUGGAAUGAAAAAAGAAAAUCCUAAAGCUAUAUUUGAUAUAUUUCAUUUUCAUUUUUUGCUGGGUGUUAGGGCUCGUCAAUGGGCCGGGCCUGGCUAGCCCGGCCCGAAUUUAAUGGGCUUGGGCCAGGCCGGCCCAGGCUUUAAAGAGGAGAGAGAAAAUAUCAGGUCGAGUUUUUUAAGAAAAUUCAAAGCCCAAGCCUGACCCAUGAGCCGGGCUUGAGAAAGCCCAUCGGGCCGGGCCGGGCCUAAACGGGCCCUACUUCAUUCAAAAAAAAUCAUUAACUUAAUCAUAAGGUCAUUUUAGUCCAAAUUUGAGAUUAAACUCACUUAAUUCUAAUAUUUUUACUUCAAACCAAAUUCAUAAAACACCCAAUAAAGUCACACAACUUGUAAGAUUUUCCACAAAAAUAAUAAAACCAAGUAUUAUUUUUGAGGUUAUUACAUAAUUAGAUCGUAAUACGUUUUAAAAAAUAAUUUUUAAAAAUAAUAUUAAUAAGUAUCAAAAAAAUAUUUUUUUAAAGGAUGGUAUGAAUAAAUAUGCAAAUAUUUGGUGAUGUGUUCAAGAAAAGGAUGAUUAUAUUUGGUGGUACGAUUAUGUUUCGUGAUACGAUUAUAUUUAGUGAUGUGAUAUGUUGUUCAUCUUAUAUAUAUAUAUAUAUAUAAUUGUUGAACUAAUAAUUGACACAAAUUAAUGUGUUAAUCAUCCAAUUAUAAACUAGGAGUGAAUAAAGAAAAGUAAAUGAAAUGAAACAAAUUAUAUGUGUGAUUUAAGUGAUAUAAUCCUAAACCUAAACUCUUAUUUAUACAUAAUUAUAUAUGUAUGCGGGCCUAACGGGCCGGACUUUUGUGGGCGUGUCGGGCCGGGCUUUCUUGGGCUUAAUCAGGCUGGACCUAUGGGUCAGGCCGGGCUUCAAACACCCCAACACGAGCCUAGCCUAGCCCGCCUUGGGCCGGGCCAUCUCAAAGCCCAUAACGAGCCGGAUCGGGCUUUUUUCGAUUGGCCGGGCGGGCCCCCUCGACCCAUGAGCCCGCGGGCCAAAUGAUGAGGCCUACUGGGUGUUCAAUUUUUCUUGUUUCUUGUUGAAAAGAAAAAUGAUAAUUAAUAAAAUCUGAUUUGGUGGUUGUGCUCGUCACAAAUCAAUGAAAUGACAGCAGUGAUUUUGCAAGACAGCAUACCUUCUCUUGGGGUGCUUUUCAUUUUGCAACAUUUCUUUACGUGUAAUUUCCAGAGGAGGGUUUAUCAUUGUAUAUAGCUCUUCGGGUGGUUUUUUCUGCAAAACAAAUGUCACAAGGAAGGAGGAGAAACGGAAAAGAUUUACUUGGAAUGUCUCAAGUCUCCUUUGAGAUAAAGGCAUCGAAUGCACAACAUUGUUUUUGUGCUAUUUCAUAAUUAAAGUGUGCUUCCCAAGUCUCCUUUGCGUUUUGUAACUUGUAAUGUUUGUUUUUUUGUUUCCCCUGUUUUGUCUUUUAUAAAAGAAAGAGGAAUGCUAGCAACCUUCUCUCUAAUCUUCUCUUUUGGACCUUCUCCCUUUUCUUUUUGACAAGUGUCAUUUUCCAUACACUUAAAACAAUGACAUUAAUGCAUCACACAAUUUAGUUUUUGUUUUCCAAGUUUACCAUUUUAAAAUGUAUUGGCUUUUAUAUUUCCUUCAAUUAUUCACAUUUUGUUAUAACUUGUUUAGCACAUUAUUUUUUUUAAUUUAAAAAAAGUCAUAUUUUUUAAAAAUAAAAAUAAAGUUUGUUUCAUGACAUUGUUAUCAUUUUUAUUUUGUUUUUAACAAAACACGCAUUCUCUUUGGAAAAAUUAAAAAUUAAAAAACAAUUCAGUUUUUAUUUUCUUAUUUAAUUUUUAACAAGCUAGUAAGAAAGUUAUAAAAAAAAAUUAGCUUGUUAUUAAAAAAAAAUUAAUACAUUUAAUAAGGGUAAAUUUGGAAAACAAAAACUAGUUUGUGUGAUGCAUUAAUGACAUUGUUUUUAGUUUAAGGAAAGUGACACUUGUCAUGAGAAGAAGGGAGAAGGUCCAAAAGAGAAGGUUAGAGAGAAGGUUGUUAGCACUCCCCAUAAAAGAAAUACAGGUCUGAACCACACGGAUCUACUUGCAUAAUAAUGGACCAAAUUUAUGAUUUUUAGAAAGAACCUUCUACUGGUGGAAUCUUGGGCUACUGUUGUGGCUCUCCUCUGUGUGCCUCCUUUUUAGAAUGGUAAAAUAUUCAAAAUACCAGAAAAUGUUCAUGAUUAAUGCAAAUAUUAAGAAUUGAAAUUAUUAAUUAAAUGAAGAUAAUAUGGUAAAUUCACACUUUUUCAUAUUAAAAAAAUUAAAAUUAAAAGAAAUAUCAGAUAAUUACUCUUAUUUUUAUGGAACACAGCUACCCAUUAUCUUUUUUAAUUAUAAAAUAAAUUUAAAUUAUAAAAAAAAAAUCCUCUCACAUGCACGGAAGCGCGUGCUCAGAGGCUAGUUAAAAAUAAUGAACUUUGCUUCUGAUGUCUAUACCAGACCCACUCAACCUGCUUUAUGAUUAUACAAAGAACAAACUCGUCCUUAGACUCAUUUGGUUAAACUUAGAAAAUAAUGAAACAAAAAUAUACACACCCACAAGUAACACAGCCAGGAUUGAAAACAACUGGACAAAGAAAGGCAUGUUAAAACAGAAUUUUCAACAACUCAUCACCAUUAGACAAGAAAAAGAAAAAUCAAUACAGAAACAGAAAGAACAGAGAAUAAAUGUGGUGGAAGAAAAACGUUGAAGCCAUUUGUGAAUCCAACAACACUACCACUCUGUUUCUCUCCUUUUGUUCAGGCGGAUCUGCAUAUAUCCUAAGGCGUAUUACGGAAACAACUUCUUGCCGUUAUACUUGAAUGUUGUGGAUGCUUCAACGUUGCCAUCUGGGUGGAGUGGAUUUGUCCAAUUCACCUUCACUAUGGUUAAUCAACUAGACAGACAUAAGUCAGAAACAAUAGGUAUAUAGGUCCAAAUUGUUGUUAUUUGAAAGGCUUCUAAAUUUUAACAUUUUGAUUUCUAAAUUUUGUUUUAAUAUUUCGGCCCACUUAGUUCUUCUCAAAAUAUGUCAUCAAUAUCGUUGAAAGGUUGAACUUAGUGAAUUAUUAUAGUGCAGUACGGUAAAAUAGGCACAUGAUAUAAUUUGUCCACAUGUUCUAAUAUAAGUGAAUAUUUAUUGAUAUUAUUUUCAAAAAUAAAAAAUAUCAACCAUUACAUCCUCCCAUAUUAUAAUACAUAUACAAAUUAUACCACAUUAUCAUACUCUAAUACCAUUUUAUAAUUUCUCGUACUUAGGAGGUAUAGAGCGAGUCAAUGACAUUACAUAAUAUAUAAUUGUUCAUAUAAUGGGGCAACUAACGUGAUCAACAAGUUGUGGUGAUUAAUUUAACAUAAUAAAAAACAUACCAUUUACUAUGUAACAAUUUGUUCUUUUAAAUUGGAUUGUCAUCACUUUAAUAUGUUAUGUUUCUUAUUCUAGUCUCCCAUGUUAAGUGCUUCAGCAUUGUUUGUGGUGUGUACACAAAUUUUCUUAUAAAAUGUUUUAAUGCUUCUCACAUGUAUAUCAGAUAUAGACAGUUGAUGUGACUUAGAAAUCAAAUUGUCAAUAAAGAAAAAAAAUAUAAUUGGUGAUCGAGGUCCAAUUUAAUAGAAAAUAGUCUUAAUUUGUAUAUUAAAGGUUUCAGAUUCGAAUCCUCACUGCAUUAUUGUUGUAUGCGUACACGAGAAAUUCUAUUUCCCAAUAAUUUAGAUUAUCACUUAUACUAAAAAAAAUAUAUAUAAUAAGUUUUACGAAUGCAAACAUAAAAUUACACCAAACAAUAAUGGAAUAGAAAGAUGGAAGUUUUUUUUUUUUCCUACAUCUAAAGUAUACUUUAUAUAUAUAUUUAUUAUGGGAGUUAUAACCGUUUAAUUUUCAGUUUUUAUUUUCUAUUUAUUGUGUUAAUUUUUAUGGUUUAAUAUGUAUGGAGAUUACAAGUAUUGGAUGUCUAUAAAGGGCCACUCCUCCUUCACAUCUGAAACAAACCACCAUCUCAUUUCUGUAUUUUCAUACUUUCAUAUAUUUUCUACUUUCCAGAUUAUUAUUUUUGGGCAACGGUUUUGUGACUUGGAGAUUUCUAUCCGAUUGUUAACAUGCUCAUAACGGACCUUGAGCUUGCGUAUUGGGGAUCGUAUCUUGGAGCCUUGUAGACCUUUAUUACGUGCAUGUAGGGAGGCUACAAAUGCUUUAGGUCAGCGUCUUUGACGUACUUUUGCUUUCUUUUUUUACUUAUUUCUUCGUUUCUUUAUUUUUACUUUACUUUUAAAUCUUUAUUUUAUGUAUUAUUUAUAUUUAAAAGUUUUGAAUAAGAGUUUUACAGAAAAGGAAAAACACAAUUUCAAAUAACACAAAUUUCUCGUUUUUUGUUCUUAAAAAAGAAGAAGCAUUGAUUGGGGAGUUAUGGUAAACUCAGUUUCAAUGGUUGCGAUGAGAGGCGGUGGCGGCGAGGAGAGGACGAAGGCUUUGCUGCCGACGGGGUGGUGUGGCUGGCUGCUUGGUCCUGGGUUCUCCUUUAAUUCUCUGUUUUCUUUUUUCAUUUUCUUUUUCUCUUAGAGUUAUUGAUGUUAAGUGAAUGGACAGAUGCCAAAAUAGGGACAGAAGAUGUGAACCCAAUUAUAUACAGCUGCUGCUAUAGCUGAUUACAUAAAGUAACAAAUUAAUUAAUGCUUGAGUGGAGGACAGGCUUGAGUGGAAGAAUUGAUUAAGGCUUGAGUGGAAGACAAACUUCAGUGGAGGAAAGUAUAGAUAAGGAAAGCAUGCCUCGUUUAACGGCUUUAUCUAAUAAAGAUUACUUGUUGGCACUUGGAGUUUCUUAGGAAUGCUGGUUUUGUUUCCUUGGUGGACUUGAAAGGUGGUGCCUUGGCUCGGACAUCUCCCAAGACAUACAACUGCUCAUUAGCUGAAUAUCUCGCUCUCUUUAAAGAGAUCGAAGCAAACACAAUUUGCAAUUUGUGUGAUUCAAGCAUGAAUAUCUGAUAUAGUAACUAUACCAUUUGUUGGUUUGAUAAGAAAAGUUUGGUUAGCGAGGAUGAAACCAUAAAGUUCCCAAAACACACAAAGAACACGGACAAUUGCUAAGUUUAUUCUUGAGUUCACACAUAUUUGCACAAAUGAGAUUAUUCCAAGCAUGAUUAUACCAUUUGUUGGUUUGAUGUGAAAAGUAUGGGCAACGAGGGGUAAAACCAUACAAACACACACGAAGAACGUGGACAAUACUAAAUUUAUCUUUACGUUAUUGAUCCGACCUAACUGUAAAAUAAAAAAGAUGAAAAUAUAUAAUGUUCAGUACUUAGAUCUAUGAGCACUUGCACAAAACAUCACUUUUGGUCUUUGGUAAAUUUUUAAAAUAAAUGAAUUUUUUACUUAUUUGUGAACUGAAAUGCCUCUAAAAAAAUAAUGAUAGUUCGAAGAAUUUGAUAGAAAUUAAAAAAUAUCCUCAAAUUACUUGGAAUUGAAGACCACAUAGGCAAAAACACGAAAUUGAAACCUCACUUUAAUGAUAAAAAUGGUAAACUACAAAGACAAAAAUGACGUCUUGCCUUAUAAAUAAUUGGAAUUUGCUGGUGAUAAUAGUCGAUAUCAUCUUUUGUCGGUCCGACCUAAAAAGAAGAAAAAGUUAAAAGCAUCUUGUACCAAUUUUUGCCAAUGUGGGCCCAAACAAUUUGAAGAAGUCCACCGGCAAUUUCUCAAAAGCUAUUGUGUGAGUGUGAAGCUAAACCAAUAUUAUUUUGCAUAUCCGACCCCACAUCCCCAUGUGAUGUGAGGCUACAGAGGUGUUUCCAAAACGAAAUAUGAUAUUUCAAAACGUAGCUAUGUAUAGAGUCAUUUGUAUUUGCUUUCACAAUAACAUUUGAUUUUAUAUUUAUACAUUCUGAUAUUUUAACAAAUAAAUUGACUAAAUUUGGCCAACAGGAUUUAGCCGAAUAGAAAAGUUCUUAUUUAUGGACUAGUAAUUUUAAAUUUAAAAUUUAGACUAUCGCAUGUAUUUAAAAAAAACUAAACAAUUGGCUUAAUUUGAUAUAUUUCCUUUUUUUCCUUUUUGCAUUUUAUGCUGGUUGCCGUUAUUAAGUUUUAUCCUUAUUUUUUGUUGAAAAGAAAAUUGAAAAAAAUAAUAAUAAUUCCUACAGCUAGCAACUUCUCCACCUACAAAAAAUAAUAUUUUUUGUUUUAUCCUCAUGUGAGGCUACAGAAAAUUUUUGAAAACGAAACUGGAUAUUUUAUCUCUAACGACAGCUUUCAUACUUCGUUUACCCUGUGUUUCCAAGUUGUGCUAGCUAUUUGCAAACCUUGGAAUAUUACUUCAUCCAAAUCCCUUGCAGAGAAAAGAAAGAUAUGGCUUUGAUCGGAGAGGCCCUCAUCUCUGCUACCAUCCAGACGUUGUGUGACAAAAUUGCUUCGCCUGAGUUCACCGACUUAUUUCGGCAGAAAAAGCUCGAUGAACAACUCCUCAACAAGCUGAAGACGACGCUGUUGACCUUGUCCGUAGUGCUUAAUGAUGCAGAGGAGAAGCAAAUUGAGGAACCUUUAGUGAGAGACUGGCUUGACAAUCUCAGACAUAAUGUCUUGGCUGCGGAGGACUUACUGGAUGAAAUCGACACUGAAGCUUUGCGAUGCAAACUGGAAGAAGGUGAAGGUCAAACCCACAAUUUAACCAAGAAGGUACGUGAUUUUUAUCAACGCAUGAAUGUUGAGAUGAAAGAUUUAUUAGAAAGAUUAGAACAAUUUGUACAAGAGAAAAGUGCUCUUGGUUUGAGAGAAGGUGCUGGGAGGAAGGUUUCACGAAGAACAACAACUUCCUUGGUUCAUGAACCUUGUGUCUAUGGUAGAGAUGAAGUCAAAGAAAAUCUGUUGCCAAUUUUGUUAUCUGAUGAUGCAAGUAAGGAUGAUGUGUCUGUCCUCACCAUUGUUGGAAUGGGUGGGAUUGGCAAGACAACCCUUGCCCGACUGCUUUAUAAUGACGAUGAGGUGAAAGAACAUUUUCCACUUCACGCUUGGGUUUGUGUUACGGAAGACUAUGAUUCUAAUAGGAUAACUAAAACUCUUCUAGAGUCAGUCACCUCAAAGUCUUCUAAUAUGACAGAUCUAAAUUUACUUCAAGUUGAACUAAAAGAACAACUCAAGGGAAAGAAAUUCUUAUUUGUUUUGGAUGACCUAUGGAAUGAGAAAUAUGGUGAUUGGAAACGCCUCCAAACUCCUUUUACUUCUGGGGCAAGGGGAAGUAAAGUCAUUGUAACAACACGGAGCCAACAUGUAGUAUCUGUCCUGCAAAGUGUUCAUGUUCAUCACUUGGAACCCUUGUCGCACGAAGAUUGCUGGUUCUUACUUGCAAAACAUGCAUUUGGAAAUGAAAAUUGCAGUGAUCCAAACUUGGAAGAAAUUGGCAAGAAAAUUGCACACAAGUUCAAUGGGUUGCCUUUAGCUGCAGAAACACUUGGGGGUUUGUUACGUUGCAAUAUAGAUUCAGAGGAAUGGAAUACAAUACUAAAUAGCAGUAUUUGGGAGCUACCCUAUGAUAAAUGUGACAUUCUUCCGGCUCUUGGGUUGAGUUACCAUUAUCUCUCCUCCCAGUUAAAACGAUGCUUUGUUUAUUGUUCAAUUUUUCCAAAGGAUUAUGAGUUUAAAAAGGAAGAUAUAGUUCAAUUUUGGAUGGCAGAAGGUUUAAUUCCAAAAGCUGAGAAUGGAAAGAGCAUAGAAGCGGUAGCUAGAAAAUACUUUGAUGAGCUGUUGGCACGAUCGCUAUUUCAAAAGUCAAGCAAAUCCGGUUUCACAAUGCAUGAUCUCAUUAAUGACUUGGCCAUGUUCAUGUGUAAGGCAUUUUGCCUUAGGUUGGAAGGGGGGGAAUCACAUGUCGUAGAAAAAGUUCGGCAUUUUUCAUAUGCUAUGGAAAGAUUUGAUGCAGCUCCAAAAUUUGAGCCAUUACAUAGGGCUAAGUUUAUGCGGACCUUUCUACCCAUAUCAUUAAAUUUUGUUUCCACUUCUUAUGUAACUAAAAAGGUUCUACAAGAUUUGUUGCCGUCACUAAGAUGUUUACGGGUGUUAUCAUUGUCACAUUAUCAAAAUGUUACUGUGUUACCUGAUUCUAUUGCAAACCUCAUUCACUUGCGCUACUUGGAUCUUUCCGGUACCGCAAUUGAAAGGUUACCUGGGGUACUUUGCAAUCUCUACAACUUGCAGACAUUACUAUUGUCAAAAUGUUUCUCACUCCUUGAAUUGCCUGCAGACAUUAGAAAAUUGACUAAUUUACAGAAAUUGACAUUGCUCGGUUGUAGUUCUCUUAAUAAAUUGCCUGCAGGCAUGAAGGAGUUGACUAAUUUGCAUCAUCUUGAUGUCAGUGGAACUAAAAUUGAAGAGAUGCCGGUGCAAAUGGGUAGAUUGAAAAGUUUGAGAACAUUGACUGCAUUUGUUGUGGGCAAAUCUACUGGGUUAGGCAUAAGAGAACUGAGGCAGUUCCCGCAACUUCGAGGAAAACUAUCAAUUUUGAAGCUACAAAAUGUAGUUGAUGCGAGGGAUGCACUGCACGCCAAUAUGAAGCACAAGAAAGAUCUCAAGGAGUUAAAGUUUUCAUGGGGUGCGGAGGAUGCUGAUGAUUCCCAAAAGGAGAAAGAUGUACUCGACAAGCUCCAGCCUUGCGUGAAUUUGGAGAAAUUAUCCAUCAAAUUCUAUGGUGGAACCAAUUUUCCGAAUUGGUUAGGAGACUCGUCUUUUUCUAACAUACAAGUCAUGCAUCUCAGUGACUGUAGUUAUUGUUGGUUGCUCCCACCAGUUGGACGGCUACCGGCACUCAAAGAGCUCUGUAUAAAAAGAAUGAAGUCUUUGAGGACGAUUGGCGUUGAAUUCUAUGGCAGAAAUGGAGCUUAUCUGACUCAGCCAUUUCGAUCUCUGGAGAAGCUAGAGUUUAGGGGGAUGCCGGAGUGGGAGGAAUGGGUACCAAGUGGAAGUGCAAGUGGAGGUGAAUAUGGUCCAGACUUUCCUCGUCUCCAAAAGCUGAUUCUAAACGAGUGUCCGAAGCUAAGAGGAAGUUUGCCUUGUGAGUUGCCUUGCUUGAAGAAGCUUACGGUGUAUGGGUGUAAGGUUUUACAUGAUGGAAGGACCGCUACCGCAACUACCAAUAGUGUUAACUAUAAAUCUCUGGAAGAAUUGGAUAUAAGUGGUGGAUGCCAAACUCUGUUAUCAUUAUUAGAGACAAAGCUCCUGUCCCGACUUCGGAUUCGAAAUGUUGUUGACAUACAGUGCUUGCCCAACUGCAAUCGUCUUCAACGUUUGACUCUUUGCCUAACGCUGUCAUCGUUUCCCAAAGAUGGCCUACCCACUACAUUGACAUCACUUUAUAUAAACAAUUGUAGGAAAUUAGAAUUCCUACCUCAUGAGAUGUUGGCCAAAUUAACAUCGCUUGACUAUUUGUGCGUACAAAAUAGCUGUGAUUCAAUGAGGUCCUUCCCGUUGGGCAUUUUUCCCAAAUUGACGACGCUUCAAAUUCGUGGUUGUGAGAAUCUGGAAUCUUUUUCCUUGAUUGAAGAAGAAGGAGCUGUUGACAAUCUCAGCCAUCUCAAUUCCUUGCGUGUCUAUAACUGUCCAAAAAUGGUGUGUUUUCACGAGGGAGAAUUGCCCACUCCCAACCUGAGUCACUUUGUAGUCAUUGGUUGCGAGAAUUUGAAGUCAUUGCCCGAACGCCUUCACACCCUCACUGCCCUUCGAUCUUUGAAUAUAUGGAAUCUUCCGAAUCUGGAGUCAUUUGCAGAAGAUGGGGGUUUGCCUCCCAACCUCCGAUCUUUUAUCAUUAGGAAUUGUAAGAGACUGAGGGCACUUGACUCAGUGGGUUUGCAAGCACUUGUCUACCUUCAGAUCGAUGGAAGUGACCAUGUCUUGGAGACGUUGCUGCUCCCUACCACUCUUCACACUCUCUGCAUCUCUGAUCUAUCAACUCUGAAAUCUUUGGACGGAAAGGGUCUUGGACACCUCACUUCUCUUCAAACUCUAAAAAUUUACAGCUGUCCAAGUCUUCAAUGCCUGCCAGAAGAGGGUUUGCCGCCAUCUCUUUCUCAUCUGAGUAUCCGCUGUUGUCCUACCCUGGAGGAAAGGUAUAAGAAUAAAACGGGACAAGAUUGGGCAAAGAUAUCUCACAUUCCUUGCAUCGAGAUAGGGGAAGAAGUGAUCAUAUAAUAUGAGCUAUUCCAUAUUUCACGCUCAACCCUCAACUCUCAAAUCAAAGUCAGGUGAGGUAUGUGCCUUCUCUUACUUUAAAAAACUGCUUCUCUUCUUCUAAUUGAAUACAAAAACCAAAACACAUAUUCUCUUUCUCUUCCAAAAACCCAAAUACAUGUUGGACAUUGCCCAAAUUUGUCUCCAAAUUCCUAGUUUAAAUCAAAUUUAAUGCCUAUGGAUAGUUUGUUAAUAGGUUCAUGCCAUGAAUUAAUCUUUGGACUUUCCCAGGUACUGCAGGUUUGUUAUUAAUGUUGUGGCCUGAUAUUCGUCGUAUCAAUACGUUGAGGAGAGAGAUCGAUCAGCAAUUACAAAAUUGUUAGUGAAUUUAGCUUGUUUAUCAUCUCUCUCCUUUUGUUUGUUAAGUUUUGUUGUUCUAGGUUAAACCCUUGUCCCCGCAUUUCACAGCAACUCUGUGUUUUUCCACUCUGUUUAGAUUUCACUAGCAGGAGAGCCCGCGCGAUGCUGCGGGUUUUGAAAUUGUGUAGACAAAAUUAGAUUGUUUAUAUAUACAAUGAGAUUUAAUUUAUAACAUUAUGUUUAACUACAGGAGUGUAAGUUGCAAAAAAGUAUAUAAUAACAUAUUUUACAGGCUACUUGUUAUGGUAAAAUACUAUACUUGUUUGUAUAUACAUUGAGAUGUUUAUAGUAGGAAGUAGGCAUCAAAAUAGCAAAAGUUGGAUAGUUUUGUACAGAAUGUUAUUUAAUUGGGCAAGCUUUGUUUUGCACUUGCUUCAUGAUUUUUCUUCUCUUUCAUGGAAGUCUUGAUCCUGUUAUAAAAAAAAGUGAGAAAAUAGUAAAUGUUAAUAUUGAUGAAUGGGGGAAAUUGAGUUAGGACAAUAAUCAUAAACAUUUAAUUAUGUAUAAACAGGAAUAAUAUAAUUUAUUGAUUUAAUAAGAAAGUUAUAAAUAGUUUUUCAAUCUAGGAAAUACAAAGUUACAAAAUUAAGAGAACUAAUGAGCAAGUUGUAGAUGGUUUUCUAAUUGAAGUAAUACAAAGUAAACAUAUUUUAAAUUUUGUGUUUGUCUAAAAGAAAAGUUGAAGAGAGGCAAAAUAAUUAUGGUUGAAUAUAUGGAGAAAAGGAUGUCAAUAUAAUGUUUAGGUUUUUAUGUAUUAGGAAUAUAUGACUUUUUUGCUGUUAUUUAGAGCAAAAAUUAUUUAAGGGCUUGACAUUUCUGUUAAAAAACGGGUAGAAUCUACCCUGAAAAAUGGACAUUUUGCCAAAAAAUUCACCUGUAAACUAAUUAGUACUGAAUACCGAUUGGCGAAGGCAAGACAAUCAUAGUUGUGGAGUACAUAGUUAGAAAGAUGAAUGUGCAAACGUACAUCUAACCCCAUGAUAUACAUCUAACCCCAUGUGAACAUGAUUUAUUCUACAACAAUGAUUAUCAAUUUUCUAAUUGCUCAUUUUCCUAACCCUAAUCAUCACAAACCCAAAAUUAACUCUAAAAAUUUCAAAUAAGCAUGGUUCUAAACCAAUUUCUAACUUACUUAGCGAAGUCUUUUCUAUAAAUGAUAGUUGUUGAAGAAAAAGGGAAACGAAAAUAAGCUUUUAGUGUAUAAGUACAUUGAAGCAAAACAUGAAGAGAAUCCAAUAUAUAACUUCAAUAUAUAACUUUAAUUUUCUAUAAGUGUUGAUCUAAAUUUACAUCCCUUACCACUCUUCAAUUUAAAAAUAGUUUUAGCUACAACAAACAACUUCAGAGAGAAGAUUUGGCCCUGUUUUAUAAGGCAAAACCUCUCUAACCACAUGACAUACAUCUAACUCCAUGUGAACGUGAUUUAUUCUACAACAAUGAUUAUCAAUUUCCUAAUUGCUCAUUUCCCUAACCCUAAUCAUCACAAACCCAAAAUUAAUUCUAAAAAUUUCAAAUAAGCAUGGUACUAAACCAAUUUCCAACUUACUUAGUGAAGUCUUUUAUAUAAAUGAUAGUUGUUAAGGAAAAACGGAAACAAAAAUAAGCUUUUAGUGUAUAUGCACAGCACAGAAAUUGCAUGUAGCUUUCCGAUUUUUAUCCCAACUUCGUUUCUGUGGAAUCACAAAACUACAUACGCACAGCACAGGGAAGGGAAAAAAAAAAAAAGGCACAUUUAAGAGACACCUAUCUUCUCAUUCUACAUCACAUCCUCUUUUCCUAGCUUUCCAACCUUGCAACCAAAGCAAACAUCUUUCCUGAUAAAGGGUAGGAAAGAAAGUGGUUGUGUGAAUUGGGAUGAGAGAGACAGAGACAGAGACAGAGACAGAGAGACAAAGAGAGAGAGAGAAAAGAGAAAUCAAAGUAUAUAUAUAAAUAGUAAGUAUAGUUUAUAUCAUGCAAAGUUUUGAUGGUUUCGUUCAAAAAAAAAACAGGGAAAAAGUUUUGAUGGGUAAUUCUAGUAAUAAUGUUCUUAUAAUUCUAUAUAUAUAUAGAUAUCAAACUGUACUACCAUAUUCUUCCUAUAUAUACACUUGGUCGUCAACUACCUCUCUCUCUCUCUCUCUCUCUCUCUCUCUCUCUCUCUCUCUCUCUCUCUCUCUGUGACCUGCAUUUAUACAGAACCAAUUAUUCCAUCUUCACUAUACAUUUUCCUCAUCUUCCCAUUCAUAUUUUAUGGCUCUCUUGUUCUUCCUCCUAAUUCUUUUGGUCCCUGCAAGCAAUACUAAUUGGCCACCAUCACCUGGCUACUGGCCAAGUUCUAAAUUCAGGUCUAUGAGCUUUUAUAAAGGAUUUAAAACUCUCUGGGGUCCUCAGCAUCAAAGCUUAGACCAACAUGCAUUAACAAUCUGGGUUUAAUGAGGCCAGAAAAUUUUAAGAACUUAUCUACCAAGCAUACCAAACUGACAAAGCAAACCAUAUCUGUAUUUUAUCAUCAAUUUCAUCAAUUUUAUCACCAACAACAGAUAAAAAAAGGGAAUUUUUUCAAAAAAAAAAAAAAGGAAAAAACAUAAAUAAAAAAAGGGGCACAUUUAAGAGAGACCUAUCUUCUCAUUCUACAUCACAUCCUCUUUUCAUUUUGAAGCGGUCAUGUGUUGUGAGUUUCUUGUUUUAUAAAUUUUCAAAACUGUUGUUUAGAACUGCAAAAUUCUUCAUCAUAUAUCUUGCCUUCUAAUAUACAUUCUGUAUCAGGAAACUGGAAUGAGGCUUGCUCUUUGAGGAAGAGAAAUAAAAGAAAAAGUUGUGGCAAAGGUUCACGGAUGUAGUUGGAUUGUAGUGGGACAGAGAACAAAUUUAUUUGUUGCAGGGGAAAAGUCUCAUCCAAAUGCUAUGAAAUCAUGGCAACUUUAAAGUAUUGGACAGCAAUAAUGAAAGAAGAGGGCUAUGUUGGUGACACAGAUUCUUGCUUGCAUGAAUAAGAGGGAGAAAAGCCCCUAUGGUAUUGACUGUUGCCGCCAAGUGCAUAUUGUUAUUACUAUGCGUACUACAUCCCAAGGCCUCUCUCAGCAGGAUUACAAAGUAAACCAGAAUUACUAUCCCAGCAGUAUUCUGCAACUUUGCUCUGCACUUCCUUAUGUAAUCUCUCUCUCUCUCUCUCUCUCUCUCUCUCUCUAUAAAUAUAUAUAUACACACACACACACACACACACAUAUAUCUAGGCAUGCAUAUUUAUGAGUUCCCCAUUGAGGAGGGAUUCCCUUUUGAGGAUUUUAUAAUUAGAAUUAGACUGCCUUCUUAACCAAUAGUUGGGUUUGUGUGGUAAGGUAUGCUGGGUUUGUUGAUGUGGAUAUUUAUGCCUGGAGGUGCUUUGUUUUACUACUUCGUUGAAGUAGAAACAGACACUGACAAAGAAGCCCUUCAUUCUUUGUCUCAAUAGUGAUUGGUUUCUUUGAUCCUAUUCAUCAUAUCUGGUGGUGAGGUUGCCUAAUCAGCCAAAUGUUGGGUUCAACUACCUCUCUCUCUCUCUCUCUCUCUCUCUCUCUCUCUGUCUCUCUCUCUCUUUCUCUCUCUCUCUGUGACCUGCAUUUAUACAGAGCCAAUUAUUCCAUCUUCACUUUACAUUUUCCUCAUCUUCCCAUUCAUAUUUUAUGGCUUUCUUGCUCUUCCUCCUAAUUCUUUUGGUCCCUGCAAGCAAUACUAAUUGGCCACCAUCACCUGGCUACUGGCCAAGUUCUAAAUUGGCCAGAAAAUUUUAAGAACUUAUCUACCAAGCAUACCAAACUGACAAAGCAAACCAUAUCUGUAUUUUAUCAUCAAUUUUAUCGCCAACAACAGAUAAAAAAAGGGAAUUUUUUCAAAAAAAAAAAAAAAAAAGGAAAAAACAUGUUUAGUCUUUGCUUUCCAAUGUUUUAUCCAAAAACCUGAAAAUCAAAGUAACUAAAUAAAUGAACCCAAUCAUUCCUAAUUUCUAUUUUGUCAAAACCUAAUUAAGCUUCACUUCUUUUUUGCUUGUAUUUUAUCAUCAAUUUCAUCUAUUUUAUCACCAAUAGCAGAUAAAAAAAGGAAAUUUUUUCAAUUAAAAAAAAAAAAAACAUACUCAGUCUUUGCUUUCCAAUGUUUUAUCUAAAAACCUAAAAUCAAAGGAAUCAAAUAAAUAGGGUUUAGGGCUCAAGAACCUGAAAUCAAAAGAACCAAAAAAAUGAACACAACUCUACAUAGCACGAAAAAUCUCCCAGCCAACAAUCAAAUUCAUGAAAUAAAUACCAAAAGAUCUGUUAAAAAAUUGAUGAGAUGCAUACCUGAAAACAAAGGAUGCAACAAAGAUGGAAGCCUGAGUCGAAGCAAGAACGAUGGAAGCCUGAGUCGAAGCAAGAAAGAUGGAAGCCUGAGUCGAAGGUUGUAGAAAAGACGAAAUCUCCCGAUCCCAAAUCUGUGACACGAAGACUGAAAGCACGGCUGGAUUUGCAGCUCACCUCCCAAACAAAAAUCGACGGCCUUCAACGCAUCUCCAGCAACGAACACAACUCUUCCAUGGCUGCCCCCCAACCAGCUGGUUGGAAACGAACGGGAGAAAAUGGUUUCUCUCAGCGGACGAAACCAUCUCAACGAAGGGGGAGGGGCAAAAACGGGAACAAAAGAAACUGUUUAGUCAAGGGCAGUUUCGUCAUUUAACUGUGCUGCAGGAAAAAAAACGAAAACAGCAGAAAAAUGAGGGGCAUUUCCGUCAUUACACUGUGCUUAGCUACAGUGUUUAGUUGCAUUGGGUUUUAGUAUAUAUAUAAUUUAUGUUGUGAUUCGACUGCUGCUGUAUUUUAGAUUUAUAGGAACAGACCAAACAUGUUGAUUCUAUCACCAAAAUUAUAAAGUAUACUUCCAUUACAAUUAAUUUGUUGAUUCUAAUUUGGACUUGUAGGAACAGACCAAACAUGUUCAUACGUGGCAUUGCUCAAGUCAUCAUCAUUCGGGACAGAGAAUAAGCCUUCAAAUGUCUGCUGAGUCAAUGAACCUUUCUAGAUAUCUCAAGUGUAAUGGAAAUUGAUGAGUUACAAAGGAUUUGUAAACAUUUUCUACUGGAGGCUAGAAAUGCUUCAAAUAAAUGACUCUGUUGCAAUUAUUUUGUAGGAUCAAAGACUCUGCAAAGAGGUAAGAAAGUCAUCAUCAAGUAACUUCGCUCUUCAUACUUUUUAUUAGGGGUGGGCAUUGGAACCGCAAAACCGCAAAACCGAACCAACCCAAUCCGAAAAAAACCGAAAAAAACCGUGUUGACCGAAAAAGUCAAAAACCGAGACAAAUCCAAACCGAACCGGUUCAGACCGGUUCCGGUUCCGAUUUUCCACCUUAAGGAACCGGUCCAAUCCGAACCGGUCCAAUAUAAUUAAUUUUUAUAUUAUAUUUAUAUUUAUAUUUAAAAUAUCAAAUUUUGUAGGCCCAAACCCAACUAUUUCAUUAUACCAACAAAAAGCCCAAAUCUCCCAAGUCCAUUGCCCAAGUCCAACAAGCCAUAUUUUAAUAUCCUAAUCACAUCAAAUCUCACUUCACUCUCUCUCUCUGACGCACUCUCUCUUUUCCUCUCAGAUUUUUUUUACUCUCUUUUUCUUUCUUUCUUCUCUCUUCCGCCUCUUUUCCUCUAGGUUCUUUAACUUCUUUUUACUUCUUUCUUUCUUCACUCUUCUGCCUCUUUUCCUCAGUUUUUUCUUCUUCUUUCUCUCUUAUUCUUUCUCCUCUCAAUUCGUCUCCAUUUUUUUUCCCUCUCUUUCUCUGAUUUUCUGUUACUCUGAUUUUUUUCUUCUUGGUUUUAUGUUUCUCUCUCUCCCUCUAUAUCUCUUUCUUUGCAACUCUGUUUUUCAAUUUCUCCUUUUUUUUCUCUCUUCAUUUUUUGUUUCUCUGUACAUAUAUGUGUUCAUCUUGUAGAUCUGGGUGAAAUUCUUGUAGAUCUAGGUGAAGUUCUUGGAGAUCUGCGUUAAGUUCUUGUAGAUCUAGGUAAAGAGCCAAUUCAAAGCAGGUCAGCGUCUCUUAUCUCCCCAAUCCCUUGUGAAGAUAUGUAUUUUUUUUGUUGUCAACAAUCCAUUUUGGUGUUUUUAUAUGGUAUUGAUAUUUUCUAUGAUUUUGGGCUGAUUUGAGGUCUGAUUCUUUUUUUUUCUUUCAAUUUUUUCCUGUUGUGUUUUGAUAGACAUGUUCUCUAUUCCUGAUAUCAUUCCUCAGUGGCAAAAUCUUUGAGCGUUGUUGUAAAUUUUAGACGGGAAAGAAGCUCAUUCAUAAUUCAAAAAAAGAAAAUAAAGUUACAACAACUGACAAUUUGUUGCUCUUUGAAAUAGGUACUGAAGUAGCAUGGAUAAAAAGAAAGACUGAAGAUGUUGCAGAAGAUUGAAUAUGUUCUAUUUCUGUAAUUUGUUUGUAAUUAAAUUUGUUUAUUUUGUUUUGUUUUUAGGUUGUAAGUUUUAUUUUAAUGUUUGAUAUUUGUUGUUUUGUCAAAAAAUUGUAUUAAUGCUUGAUGGAUUCAUUCAAUUUGCAGUGCGUGGAUGUGAAUUGGGCCAAUCGGUAAUAAUUAGGCCCAAAAGGUUUUAAAUAUCAAUUGGGCUGAAACUUACAAAAAAAUUUAAGAACAAAAAAAAAAUCAAUUAAGCUGUGUGUCGGCCCAAACCGUAAAAACCGGAACCGAACCGGAUUCAAAUGGGUUCGGGUUGGUCCGGUUUUCUCAAGCAUUUUAGUAAAAAUCCGAACCGGACCGGACCGGUGAACAGUACCGGUUCCGGUUUUAAAUUGAUGCAAAAACCGGUCCAAACCGGACCGUGCCCACCCCUAUUUUUUAUUUUUAUUUUUAAAUAUCAGUAAUAACUGGGAAAGCUUGCAUCUCCUUAAAUUGCUCAUUCUUACAUCUUUUAUAGUUUGUUGAUCUUGGGCAAGUGGAGAGAGAGGCGUCAAGUGAUACGCAACAACCAUUUUCUGUGAGCUGAUUUGAUAAAGAGAAAUGGUAUGCUUUCUUGUCUUAAGCGGUGUGUUCUGCAAUUAUUUGAAACAAAGGAUGCCGCACUUCAAGUUCGAGAAAAUCAGGUAUUUUAGUAUUUUAUUCUUGAGAAAUUUGAUUUAUGUAGAAACUUGAACAUGUAAAUGAGAGAAAAAAAAAUAAAUAUAUAUAUAUAUUAUAUAUUGUAUAUGCUGUUAAUGAGUUAAUAUGGUGCUUGCUCCUAGUUGGAAAUUUAUGUAGUCAUCUACCUAUGAUCAAAUAAAGAUGAAAAAUAAAAUAAAAUUGAGAGCAUCUUCCUCUCCCCUGCUUUGCUCAUCCCUUGUUCUUCCACUUCAGCCCCACUAUUACACCAUUUUUUUCAGCCACAAUUAUAAUAGCUCCAUGAGCAUUAAGUCCCUUUCAAAUUCUGCUGACAUUCAAAAUUGGAAUCUGCUGGUGAUAUAUGAUAGCGUUAACAUAUUGUACCAUUUUGGCCAGUGUACGCAAUAUUAUUGCAUCCAACUUUGCAUAUUAACAUCAGUGGCCACAGUUACACGAUUUGAGUGCACAGAAAGGUUUCAAAAGUUGUCCCACAGAGAACAGUCGUUCAAAGUGAGAGAGUUUUGAAAGCUUAAUUACAAGUUCAUGUUGUUUACAACCUCAAAAAGCUUUCAUACUUGCUUACAAACCUGUAUUUCCAAGUUCUGCAAACCUUGGAAUAUCACUUCAUCCAAAUCCCCUUCCAAAGCAGGAAAAAAUGGCAGCAGCUUUGAUUGGAGAGGCUCUCAUCUCUGCUUCUAUCGAGGUGUUGUGUGACAGAGUUACUUCAGCCGAGUUCAUAGACUUAUUUCAGCAGAAGAAACUUGAUGAAACACUCCUCAUGAACCUGAAGACGACACUGUUGAUUUUGUUUGCGGCGCUCAAUGAUGCAGAGGAGAAGCAAAUUGUGAACCCUGCUGUGAUAGAGUGGCUUAACAGCUCAAGCAUGCUGUCUUUGAUGCAGAGGACUUACUUGAUGAGAUUGACACUGAAGCUUUGCGAUGCAAGCUGGAAGGUGAGGAUCAAACCCACAAUAAUUAACCAACAAGGAUCUUUUUGAUUGUUUGAAAGGAGGGUCUUUGAUGAUUUGAAAGGAGAGGGUUGCUUCAUUUCUGUUGGAUGCUUAAUUAAAUCUUAUCUGGACUUGAACAAGGAUUAGGUUAGCUGUAUAAUUCGUGGUAAACACCUUUUUCUAAGGUUCAUUUAGACUCCUAUUACGAUUAAUUUGUUGUUUCUAAUUUGGACUUGUAGGAACAGACCAAAUAUGUUCACACGUGGCAUCGUUCAAGUCAUCAUCAUUUCAGACAAAAUCAGCCUUCAAGUGUCUGCUGACUCAAUGAACCUUUCUAGAUAUAUCAAGUGCAAUGGAAAUUCAAGAGUUACAUAGAGAUUUGUAAACAUUUUGAAGAUUGCAACACCUGCAAGUGAGAUAGGUGGUGACGAAAUCAGAGCUGAUCUUGAAGCCUCUGAUGCCCCUGUCGUUGCAAGUUGCACCUGAGAACAUGGUUUUUUUUUGGGUAAAAAACCAGCAACAUGUUCGGGGCUGGCAAUUCAAUCCCUGAUGAACUUGAGAAGCAAAGCUCCAGUAAGGAAAUUGGUCGAGGUCACGACAGGGAUAAUUGAUGGUGAAAUGGAUGCUAUUUCUUAUUGCAGCCUGUUCUCAAAGUUCUUGUUGGCAAAAGCAAGAGAUGGAGUAUUUUGAUUGGGAGGAGAGAUAAUGACAUGUGUUGACAAUUCUAGAACAGCCCAUCUGAGUUCUUUUGUCAGGCUGCAUCAUUUAAUCCCAGCAAAAAUCCAGUUUUUGCUAAACAAUCAAAUUGUACACAUUUUUUCUUUUCGAGGAAUUUAACAUUACACAUUUUUUCAUUUUUUCAUCAAACAGUUUUCUAAUGCAUUUGUUGUCCCAAGUUACAAUGAGGAAUUUGGAUUGAGUUUCUUGUGUUAAUAACAUUAUACUUUCAUGGAAUGGUUUAUCUUCUUUUUCUGGACAAAAAUAUUUAGAUUAAUUUCUUGGAAUAAUUUUUUAAUAAUUUUUUAAUUGCAGUAGCGAAAAAAGGAAAAUUGUAUUUUUCAAAACCAAUCUUAAGUCCAGUUUCCUCUUCUUGGUCGUCACACUUGGAAAUUGCUAACCAUAUAUAACUUGGGGUAACAAUCUUAGUCCGAAUGUGUACGAUCUUAGUCCGAUCAAUGGCUACGCGUAUUGGCUCGGCCUUGGGGUCUACCAUUCCAGUGUACAAGCUUCCUGGGUCUUGGGGCAAUUCCUUCAAAUUGUACACAUGUUUUCUUUGAGAAGCAAGGCUCUAGUAAGGAAAUUGGUUAUGUAACAAAUUUUGGUCCCUUUGGAUGGAAUGAUUUACAAUGAGGAAUUUUAUUAUUAUUAUUUUGUUUUUGUUGUUAGUGUAAUGAAAAUGAUCUAGGUUCAUACACUGGGUAUAGCUCUAAUUUGGCCAAUUUCAUUAUUUUAGUUUCUUCAUAUUUUCAAUUAUUAUAAUUUGGUGCGUUGUUUUUUAAAAACAUUCAUGAGAAUCUCCAUUUUUUAGGUGUUUAAGUUAUUCAUCCACAACGGUUUUAUAAUACCGUCAUCUUUUCAAACACAACGAUGAUUUUUUAAUCUAUCGUCGUUGUUUUCUGAUCGUCUUUUUCACUUUUUGUAGUAGUGUCAAUAAGUAAGAUGAAAUAAUACAUUCACAAUCUGUUUAAAUUUUAAAUUAAAAAAAACACAAGAAAAUUUUAAAUAAGUAAGUAAUUUUAAAUAUAUAUUUCCAUUGUUUUGGUUUUCUUUUCAUAUUAGUUUUCUACUAGCUGCUAAUUUCAUUUAAAUUGUUUUUCUUACUUCAUUUAACUUUUAAGCAUGCAGAUGCAAUCAUGACUUCUUCUUUUUUUCAAUAGACUGAUUCUCUUCCCACAUAUAUAAUGCUCUCUAAGUAUUCGUAAUAUGAGUAGGAAUUUAUUUUCAUUUCACAAGAAUUGUCCAUCAAAUUCUGAUAGGUUUGUCGAUAGCACAAGCAUGCACAUAUAGACACUACAAGAACUUUGUUUCUUCAUUUUGUUUCCUAAAGAUUUGUUGGCUUCGUGCAGAUGAAUAACAAGUCUCUCUGUCCUCUAUUUCUUCUUUUUCUUUUUUAACAAUUCAUAUUCUACUUUCUGUUUUCACCCAGUAAAAAUUGAUUUUAGACAUGGGCUUCUAAAUUAUGUGCGGAUAAUGGUUGCAUUUAUAGAAUAUCCAUGGGCUUCUAGUCACCGUGGUUGUUGAUUCAGCAUGUCAUAUUACUCUUGGACUAGCUGUUGACACUACUACAUUUUACACUUUGCGCGACGAAGAACAAAACGUCGCGCAAAGUCGCAUUUAGUCGCCCCAAUUUCAGCGCGACAAAAACGUCGUCGCGCAUAUUCCGUCGCGCGAAGAUCGUGAAGAAAGCCUUUGCACGACGAGGUACAACCCUUCGUCGCGCAAAAGUGUGCGACGGGUAAACCAUCGUUGCACCAACGGUGUGGAGACGAAACAACCCUUCGUCGCAAAAAUAUUUGCGCGACGAUAAAUUAUGCGGCGCACGUAUAUUUGCGAGACGACGGGAAUUGCGCGACAAAACAUUAUUCGUCGCGCAAAAUAUGUAUGGGAGACGUAUAUGUUCGUCGCAGAACAAUUCGCGCGAUGAGAAAGUUUUCGUCGCACAUAUAAUUGCGCGACGAAAAAUUAUGUCGUCGGCCAAAUAUUUUGCGCGACGAAACAUUUCGUCGCGCAAAACGUGUUAUGUGUUCGUCGCGCAUGAAUUAAAAGUGAUAAAAAAAUAUUUGAUUUUUUUUUGUUACAUGUUGGUUUGCGCGACGAAAGAUUUUCCGUCGCGCAAAAAUAAUAUUACAAUUUUUUUUUUAUUUAUAUUUUUUAUUUGAUAUAAAAUUGGUUUCUUUUUAUUGAUUAAACAAUGAAAUUGCAAUAAAAAUAAAUUAGAAUAAAAUUUUGUUAUAAAAUAAAAUAAAAUAAAUGUAUUACAAAUAAAAUAAAUACACUAAUCAAAUAAUGAAUCAAAAUCAACCGAGUCGUCGCCAGUAUGCGGCUCGGAGGGCGGGGCGUUCACCGGGGCAGUGGUCUGGUGGGGAUGCCCGGGAUGGACGGGCUCAGAGGUCGGCGCAUCAAAAUGCGGGACUGGAAUGCCGGACUGUGCGAGGGACUGCAGAAUGACCGACAUCUGGCUCUGAAGAGUGGCCACCUGUGCUGUCAAAGCAGUGACCUGACUGUUUGACUGCGCCGAUGAACGAGGUCGAGGUUCCCUCCGCCGGGCAUUCCCCAUCCCUCGACAAUAUGUCCCCGGCCUCCUCCCGAGAGUCUGAUCCAACGUCUCCGUCAAUAUCUGAAAUCCAGCAUCCUGUGGAGGAGCCACAGACUCGAUCGGAGUCUCGGGAGGAAGCUGGGAGGCGGACUCCUGAAGAACAAGCUGGCUCCUCUCCACCAUCGUCGUCUGUUGAACAUAACAUAAAAUAUAAAUUAAAACAUGCAUAUAAAUUGAAUGCGUAACAUAAGAAUUAAAAUUAAAUAAUACUUACAUGAAGGGACUCGGCCAACUCAUUCCCGGGUCGAACAUAAACGUCACCAAAGACGUCGAUCUCUGGGAACUUGGACCCCUCCUAAAUUGAACAAGAGAAGAAAAAUAUUAGUAUGAAAAAAAUAAAUUAAUAAAAAUGACAUUAAAAAUGAAAUAAAAAUUUUGUGAUUAUUACCCGACGCCGUGCAUCCAUCCUAUAAGAAAAGGGUCUGGAGCCGGAAUGGUGGAGAAGGGUCUUCUUCUUCCUAUUACCCUUAUUCACUUGGGCUUUAUUCUGUUAUACAAAAAAUGAAACGUAUUAGUUAAAAUAUAAAAAAUUAAAUAAUAAUGAAAUAAAAAAAUAAAAUAAACAUUAAUAAGUAAUAAGUAAUAAUUAAACAAAUAUAAUUAAAAAAAUACCGCAAAUUCGGGCGCUUGAAAAUGAGCGCAGAGCCACUCCCAACUAUCCUCCCGCCCCUCAAGCUCCUUCGGGCAACCCUCCUGAAGAGCGACUUGCGGAUCAUCAUAGGCCUGAAAAUGGUGGUGCAAGUCGCUCUUCCACUGCUUGUACCUCUCAGCGAAGAGUCGGUUGACGUACGUCAACGACUCUUCGUCGAGAUCCUCCAAGUUAUAGUUCGUCUGCAAUCAAUUAAUUAGAUACGUUAAGUAAUAGAAAUAUACACAAUUUUAAAGAAAAAUAAUGAAAAUGUAAGGUACAUACCGACAACUGGCCGUGAAUCUCCGCCUGGAUCUCGUCAGGCAUGACCCUCCAAGACUUCCAUUGCAUCGGGCAAUGGGUCCGCACGACGUGGCCAAUGUCGUGGGCCAAGGAGCUAUGCAACUUCGCCGUCGGUGCAGCACGAUGGCGCUCGUCGUAUCCGAUGCUGAUACGACUGUUGGUCACCCGGGUGACCUUCGCCGUCUUCAGCUGACGACACGGUCCUCGGGUGUUCCUCUUCGCUGCAAAGAAAUAAGGUAUUAAUGUUAAAUAAAAAAACAUUGUCAAAUUUCAAUAUAAAAUUAACAAUACAAAAGUGUAGUUAUACCUGGCUGUGAUCCCGAGGCACCAGUACCGUCGGUCGAUGUCGUGUCGAUGGUGUCGGUGGGCCGGUGCCGCCGCCUAGCACUAGCUGGUUGCGCCACGGAUGACGCAGAUGACACAGGCGCCUGGGGCGCCCCGGGACCAACCACCACGUGGUCCAACAAAGCAGGAGCAGUGGCAGCAGAUGCCGACUGAGCCAGGGGAUCCGAACUCGGUGCAGUCGUCAUCGACCUACCACGUCUAAUCAAGUCUGACAUCUGCACAUAUAAUUUCAUUCAGAAUGUAAACUAAUUAAUUAAAAGCAUAGCCUGACCUAGGGUUUGGAAUUUCGGAGUAUCCGGGACUCCGAUCAACGAUCGGUCGAAUCCUAAACGAUCCUAGAAACACAAAGGUACAACUACGCGAGUUUCAGUUCGAUCCAACGGUCCGAACAUAUCAAACCUGGAAAUCGCACAAUAGGCGAAAUUCGAUCAAGACUCAAACGGUAACCAAAUUCAAAUCCGAGCAAACCUACGCGCUCGUGACAAACAGGGGAUCGCUCUGGGACACAAUGCCCCACUGCCACAGCAUCCCACGCGCCGGCAGCGCGUGGGUGUCCAAAGCGAUAACAUUCGCCGGAAAAUUCUAAAAACUAACGGCCAAGGUUCCUACCCUAGGUUGAAAACAAUAUUUGGCGCCACUUUUGUUCUCGGACCUACCCCGAAAAAUGGCCGGAAGUGGCCGGAUUUGAAAUUGCCAAACCGGCCAAAACCUAGGGUUUUAAUUCCUAUUUCCUAUACCCAUCAGCUAGAGCACAAAAAAUAGUCGAGAAAUCAUACCUCAGGCGUCGGAAAUGGUGGCCGGAGGAGAGAGAAAACGGCCGGCGAGGAAUCGGUGAAAAACCGACGAUGUGCGACGGCAGGCUCGACGGCGAAGGCAGGGGAGGCUAUGGCAGGAGCGGCGGUGGCUGAGGUGACGGCGGAGAGAGAGGGCUGAGGUGACGGCGGAGAGAGAGGCAAACGGAGGAAAAAACCAGAAAUGGGGAAGAAGGAGGCAUCGCGACGUUUCUGCAAAUUUUUACGACUUUGCGCGACGAAUCACAUCAUUCGUCGCGCAAAAUGCUAUUAAUGAAUCUUGCGCGACGCUAUAUCCGUCGCGCAAGAUCUGUCAGAACGCCAAAUUCUGAAAGUGGAUUAGGGUCUGUAAGUUUUGCGCGACGAAAUAGACAUACUUCGUCGCGCAAAAGGCUGUCUUUCCGCCAAAAUUUUGGGAUUUAGGGUUUAGCGGGAGGCUGAAACUGAAGGGUUUGCGCUUUUGCGCGACGAAGACGGUAAACGUCGCGCAAUGGUAACCUUGCGCGACGGAACGUAUUAUAUUCGUCGCGCAAAAGGCUAUCUUUCCGCCCAAAUUUUGGGAUUCAGGGUUUAGCGGGAGGCUGAAGGGUUUGCGCUUUUGCGCGACGAAGACACUAAACGUCGCACAAAAGGCUGUCUGCUGAAAUGAAUGGUUUCUGCUUUUGCGCGACGAAGACAAUAAACGUCGCGCAAAACGUUGUCGUUCCGCCAACAAUUUGGGGUUUAGGGUUUAGUGUGAAAACUGGCGCCCAGAUUGCGCGACGAAGAGUACAUAUUUCCUUCGCGCAAUCUAUUUCACUUUCACUUUGCGCGACGGAUAUGUUGGUUCGUCGCGCAAUCUUCAAGAUUUUCAUUGAAAUUUUCACUAAGUGUUCAAAGGGGAUGGAGGUGUGAAAACUGGCGCCCAGAUUGCGCGACGAAGAGUACAUAUUUCCGUCGCACAAUCUAAUUCACUUUCACUUUGCGCGACGGUUAAAUUGUUCGUCGCGCAAAAUGUAGACCCUAAACCCCCUUGUAAACCCUAAACCCUGAACCCUAAGCCAUAAACCCUAAACCCUAAAAUAGUUUCAAUGAUCCAACCGGCAAACUUAUUGUUUGAAACUUGGAGAUCAUAUACGCCAAAAAUCAAGAAGACCAAACAUUCAGAUAUCAGGGAACGGGACUAAAUAUUUCGACGGUUAUAAAUGAAAAGUCAUGAUUUAACGGUUAUUGUAACUCCGAUUUUGAUCAAUUUUGACAGCAGCAUUUGUUGACCCUAUAUGAAUACAAUGACUGAAUUUGAUCUUCAAUUUCAGAUUUUUACACUAGGGGAUACCACAUAAACGUGAAGUUACAUUUGCACAAAUGUAUAAACAAAUUUUAGGGUUUUUGGUGAAUAUAUGAUUUUGAUAGCACAUGCAGUCUACGAAACAAGUUUCAGUCAUCCAGCCGUCAAACUUGUUUUUUUAGACUUCGAGAUCAUAGACAGCAAAAAUCGGACAAAAAAAACAUUCAGAGAUUAAGCAACGGGGUAAAACUUUUCGACGGUUCUAAAUAAAAAGUGAUGAUUGAACGGUUAAUUUAACUCCGAUGUUGAUGAUUUUUUGCAGCUACAGUCCUACACUCCAUAUGAAUACAAUGAACUACUUCGAUCGCCAAUUUUAAAUAUAUAUGUGUGUAUAUAUUAUACUAUAACGUUACCUAAUAUAUAUUUGCGCGACGAAAGUUUGCUUAUCGUCGCGCAAAAAUGCCAUACGCGACGCAUGUAUAUAUGCGUCGCGGAAACUAUGCGCGACCAGUUGUAUUCGUUGCGCAAACAUUACGCGACGCUUAUGUAUGCGUCGCGUAUGGUAUGUUUGCGCGACGAUAUGGAGCCCUUCGUCGCGCAUGGAUUUGGCGCCAUAAAUCCUCAUUGAUUUCAAAUUGUGUAUGCUUUGUAUUUUUUAGAAAGGUUUUGUAUUCAUCAUUUUUUAUGCUUUGUAUUUUGUGGAAAGGCUUUGAAAUAUUCAUUUCUUUUGUUAUUUUUAUUGAAGCUUUAACUUGUUCUGUUCCGCAGAAAAUUCCAAUGAAGUUUGUGAUGAAAUAUGGAGAAUGAAUACACAACUACAUAUGGACAACUACACAUAUUCAAAGAUUUGUAUUACACAAAAUUAAUACACUAACAUAAUAAAUUUACAAAUAAAUUCAUUAUUCAUCAUCUGAACUAUAAUAACUUUCGUUAUCGUCGCUAGCUUUAACUUGUUCUGUUCCGCAGAAAAUUCCAAUGAAGUUUGUGAUGAAAUCUGGAGAAUGAAUACACAACUACAUAUAGACAACUACACAUAUUCAAAGAUUUGUAUUACACAAAAUUAAUACACUACAUAAUAAAUUACAAAUAAAUUCAUUAUUCAUCAUCUGAACUAUAAUAACUUUCGUAUCGUCGCUAUCAUCACUCUCGGUCUCCCAAUCUUCUUCCUCCUCCUCCUCUAUAACUGCAUCAUCGGCGUUGCUAGGGCCCACUGCAACAUCGUAUCGGGGAAGAUCACCGAGGUCAAUUGUAAUUGACUGAAUCGGUAUUUCGACUGAAGACACUCCUUCUAUUUGAAACGGUUCUUGUAUAACAUUUGUAUCUCGAAGUGUUUCCGCAUCAUUUUCCAUUGAAGAUUCUAAACGAUGGUCAGCCACAUUGUCGACGUCGUUGUCACUUGGGUCUAGUUCUGGUAUAUUAUACACGUUCCUAUGAUCCAUCUUCUGCACAACUUUCCACCCGUUCCCGGCUUUAGGGUCAUCUAGAUACACAAUUUGGGACGCCAUGUUUGCCAAAAUGUACGGGUCGUCAUCAUACCAAGUUCUGUUAAUAUUCACAGACAGUACUCCAUGGUCGAUUUUAACACUUCCCGCCCUAUUUGGGUUGGUAUCGAACCAUCGACACUUAAACAUGAUGACUUGGUAUCGAUCUUUGUAAAGCAAUUGCACGACAGUUGUCAGUUUGCCAUAGAAAUCAAUGUCUGUACUUUCGCCUCCACCUGGGACAUGAACACCGCUAUUUUGCGUACACAACUUGUCAUCUCGUGCGGCCCCUAAAAAUUUGACGCCGUUAACAUUACAACCCGAGAACAAUUCAGCGCGAAUUGGGCCGAACGCCAAGUUAUAUAACUCAUCACUGUAAGUGGGGGAAUUCGAUGAUUUCAAUUUAUUCACCUAAUAGUAUACAAAACCAUUUACAUGUUAGUCUGACAAAAUUAAAUACUAAAAUUUAUAUUUGUCAAUUACAAAACACUUAUAACUUACAGAAUCCAAAAACCAUUGUGGAAAUAAUUCACGGUGUUUCCGGGCAACCAAAUGUGAUGGAUGUUCUCGCUUCAUCAUCUGUUCAUGCUCAUCUAAGUAGGCCAUUAUCUCAUCACAAUUGUUCAGUACGAACCAAUGCGCUACCUCCAUGUCAUUUCUAGAAAACGACUCUCCUCGUCCAGGAUCUCCAAAUGGUCGUGCGCUUUGGGCAAAAACAGAAAGUUUUUCAUUUCUCAUACCUCCGUCAUUAUUGCGGUGAGGACGAUUGAAAACCGUCUCCACAUCUUUUAAAUACAUUCCACAGAAAGUAAGCGACUCAUAUUGAACCCAAGCCUCUAUAAUUGAUCCUUCGGGCUUUGCCCUGUUGCGUACACUUUUUUUCAGCUCUCCGAGAAGCCUGCCAAAAUAAAACGAUAUGAUACAAAUUAGCAAAGUGUCGAUAAUGAUGCAUACACAAAUGAUAAAGAUUAUAUACCUUUCUAUUGGAUACAUCCAGCGAUAGUUGACAGGACCAGCAAGCAAUGCCUCUUCUGGCAAGUGAACCAUCACGUGCAUCAUACUUAUAAAGAAAGCUGGAGGAAAUAUCAUCUCAAACUUGCAUAGGACUUGGACAAUGUCAUGGCGCAACUGAAACAUGUCUGUCCUUCGCAAUGUUUUUGCCGUCAGUUGGGAAAAAAAUCUGGAUAACAACAUGAUUGGCUUCACCACAUCUUCCGGCAGUAAGUGUCGAAUACCCACAGGAAGUAGGCGUUGCAUGAACACAUGGCAGUCAUGGCUCUUAAGUCCAGUAAAUUUACCCCCAUCGACAUUCACGCAACGUGCGAUAUUAGAAGCAUACCCAUCGGGAAAUUUGACAGACGAUACAAACUUUAGAAACUCCUUUUUGUCAUUCGGUUUCAUAGAAAAGAAUGCAAGAUCCCUUCUAGCUUUAUCACUGUCCCUAUUCAUCCAUAAACCCCUUCGUAUGCCCAUUCUUUCCAAAUCAAGACGAGCUUUGAUCGUGUCCUUCGUCUUCCCCUCGAUAUCUAGAAUCGUGCCCACCAAUGUGUCGAAAACAUUUUUCUCAACAUGCAUCACAUCUAGAUUGUGCCUCAAUUUCAGUUUCGACCAAUAUGGGCGCUCAAAAAACAUAGACUUGUGCGUCCAGUUCAAAUGUGUAGAAGGUCGGGUCCGACUAACUGUUUUCCCGAACGGAGCAAAAUCCAAACGGUUCAGCUGUUCCAAGAUCUCAUCACCGGACCAUUCUCUAGGUCUGAGGCGACGCUCUGUGUUCCCGUCGAACUCUUUAUCUUUUUCUCGCCACUCGUGGUCCCAUGGCAACCAUCUCCGAUGACCAAGGUAACAAACUUUUCCCGCGUGCCAACCAGAAGUUACAUCUUCCUUGCAUACAGGACAUGCCAUAUAACCCUUUGUGCUCCACCCAGAAACCAUUGCAUAUGCUGGAAAAUCAUUCACAGUCCACAUAACUGCUGCUCGCAAAGUGAACAUCCUCCCAGUUGAUUUAUCGUACGUGCGAACACCGUUUGUCCAUAAAUCCUUCAGCUCAUCAACCAGAGGCCUUAAGUACACAUCAAUUGACCUGCCAGGAUCCUCAGUUAUCAAAACAGUCAUCAUCAUGUAUUCUUUUUUCAUGCAUUUCCAAGGCGGCAAAUUAUAUGGGAAUGCGAAAAUCGGCCAAGUGCUGUGGUGUUGGUUUAGAACCCCAUACGGAUUGAAUCCGUCAGUGGCAAGUCCCAAUCUAACAUUUCGGGGAUCAGCAGCAAAUUCGGGGAACGUUCGAUCGAACUCUUUCCAUGCCUCCCCAUCUGCAGGAUGCCGCAUCACAUCAUCGUCUACCCGUUUUUCCUUAUGCCAUCUCAUGUCUGUGGCAGUAUGCGUUGACAUAUACAAUCGCUGCAACCUAGGUUUAAGGGGCAGAUAACGCAUGACUUUUUGUGGUAUCUUAGUCGUUCUAUUCUGGGAUGUCAGUUUGAACCUCGACUCAUUGCAUAUAGGGCAUGUAUCCAACGUUUCAUGCUCUUUGUAGAAUAACAUGCAAUUGUUUUUGCAAGCGUGGAUUUUUUCAUAACCCAAUCCAAGACCGUGCAACACCUUCUGUGCAUGUUUAUGGUCUUUCGGCAAACAAUUGUCCGUCGGAAGCAUUCUCUUGAAAACCCCCAAAAAGUAAUCAAAACACAAGUUCGACAUACGAUACUUUAUUUUUCCGUGCAUUAGCUCCACAAUGGCAGUGAGAACGGAAAACCUCUCGCACCCCGGGUAUAACUCUUGGUUGGCAUUUUUUAACAGUUUUUCAUACUGUUCAAACUCCGCACUGUCUAUUGGUGUAGGCACGUCAUCUUCCCCUUCCUGAUUGAUGUUGGUCGAUGCGAAUGGAAAAGCAUCCUGUAUAAUACCCAUGACUUGAUCAUUAGGAUCCACAAUAGGUUCAACAUUGUCCACUCUCGGGGCAUUUGAAGACGAAGCAUGGUCUACUUGUUCGCCGUGAAGGUUCCAAAUGCUAUAUGUUUCAAUCAUUCCAUUCCUUACUAAAUGAAAUCCAACAUUUUCAAUUGUCUCCCACAACGUGUUGUUACACCUCCUACAAGGACAACGGAUUCUAGUUGCACCCGGGUUGUGUCUACGUGCAAACUCAAUAAAAUCCUCGAUUCCAUCCAAGUAUUCGUCUGCGCAUCUAUUCGGGUUCUGUAUCCACCUUCUGCUCAUAAUUCCUGAAACCACAAUCACGACACAACAAUCACAACAACUUCAUACGAAGUUAUAAUGUCACCUUAUGCCUCCGGUAAGGGCCCUAUCCCAUUCGGGAAUGCAUAGUCCUGUCACGUAACCUACGGCUACAUGAGAUUAGAUUUCGACGUGGAUUAAUUUCAGCAGCAUCUCGACACAGUUCUUGAAGUGGGCAUAGGUAUAAAUACCUACGUACCACCCGAAGAACGUACCGAGAUGACACCGAAAUCUCCACAAUCGAAACCUAAUCCUGUAGCCGAAGAUUAUGUGACAACACUAUGCAUUACCAAACUGUCCAAAUAAUGGGACAAUUCAAGAAUUAAUUGGACCGCAGUCAUGCAUUACGCAUCCAUGCACGAAAUUCAACUAAUCUCGAACGGGAAACUACGUGUUACUAAACAUAAAAAUAAAAGUACGAAGUUAAUUUCAAUUAACUUCGUACAUCACAACACAUUGUGCUAUGUCACGCACAAUUUCACAACAUUAUACACAUAUAACUUCACAAAAAAAUUACAAACAUAACAAACAAACUUUUACAAUAACAUACCUUCUCAAUCGUUCUCCACCAAUCACAAAUAUCCCUAACGAUAACAAAAUUAAUAGCGUUACUACGAAUUUACAUUAAUACAUUUAAACUAACGACAAAAAAUACAUACCCAAUGAACGUACUGAAUUCACAGUAGAGCAACGGCAGAGAGAGUGAGAGAGAGGUAGAAUGCAGUGGGAGAGUGAGAGAGAGGCAGAAUGCAGAAACUGCAUUCUGCCUCUGCAAUGGAACUGGCUAAAAUGAAGAAGAAGGACUUUGCGCGACUAACAAUCCAAUCCGUCGCGCAAAAUGCCGUCGCGAAAACCCACUUUUCCGUCGCACAAAAAAACAUUUCCGUCGCGCAAUUACCUGCCGACAUCAGGUUUUUUGCGCGACGAAUACAAUUAUCCGUCGCACAAACAUCCGUCGCGCAAAUAACAUUAUUCGUCGCGCAAGGUUUAUAUUACGUCGCGCAAAUAACACUUAUUUCGUCGCGCAAGAAAUUACACUUUACGCGACGAAGGUAAUUCCGUCGCGCAAAAAAGUUUUUUCCACCCUGCAUUUUGCCGCCAAAAUUAAGUAACCCUCGUUUUCUUACGCGACGGUACAUAUUUCCGUCGCGCUAAGGCGUCUUUUGCGACGAAAAUGUUCGUCGCGCAAGAUUCUGGCGCCAAAAACAUAAACUGGGGAUUUUUCCCCGACCUUUGCUCGACGAAAUUAGUUUUGGUCGCGCAUAGAUUGUUUGCGCAACGAAGAUUGUUCGUCGCGCUAGUGUUCUGCUGUUUGCGCUACGGUAUUUUUUUUUCGUCGCAAUAGUGAUUUUUGCGCGACGAAAAUAUAUUCGUCGCGCAAACGUCCGUCGCGCAAAUAGUAAAUCGUAGUAGUGUGAUUUGGUUUAGACUUGGUUUAAUUAUCAUUGUUGUGGUUGGUUCACCAAAAAGAUUUGGCUUAGAAUUACCAGUUUUGUUGUUGGUUUAGUUAUGCUUGGCAUUUGAGGAUCCUAUGCUUACUUGUAUGGGUAAUACAUUUUAUUGAUCGUUUCAUAUACUAAUUAUGAACUUUUAGUUCCAUUGUGCAUUUAAGAGUACACAUAUUUCAUAUGUAAUUCGAAAGUUUGUCGCUGAAAUUUCUGAGAAUUUGAAACUAGAUAAGCACACCUUGCACAAAGUUCAUAUAUUUUCUUCCAGCAAGUCUGUCUAUUAACCCCCCUUAUCUGAAAUUAAUUGUUAAAAGUUCUGAUUCAUCUUUAAUCAUUGUCUUACCCUUGUUGAAUAACACUCCUCAUUCUAAUUUAUAUUCGAAGUUUGAGGUUUCAAUUUCAAUUGUGGGCUUUGAUUUUACAGAUUUUGUUUGUCAAUUUCAAUUUGGACAAAGCAUAUGCAAACAAAGUAAGGCAUUAUCUAUUAUUUGGAUCAUUUCCAUAUGUUUAUAUGUUUUUAAUAUCAUUUGCCUAUGUAGUUGACAUGUUAUAACAUUUUCGUAGUGUUGAAUAUAUAUAUAUAAUAAUUUUAUUUUAGUGGAUGUGAGAUCUCAGUUUGUUGCUUUAUAUAAUUAUUUCUUUGCAAUUUAAUUUUUUUUAUCAGUCAUACUAUUGUUGACGGCUAAAAACCAUCAAGAAACAACUCUUAAGUUUUUUAAAAAAUAAAUAAAUAAAUAAAGAUUUGUUGAUGCUUAAAAAGCAUCAAGAAAAGAUAGUUUCUUGACGGUUUUGUGACGUUUCAUAACCGUCAUGAAACAUUACAUUUUGACGAACGUCUUUCUGAUAGUGGCAUCCGUGACGCUUUCCGAGCCAUCAAUUAAGGGCUAUCGUGAUGCUUUUUAGUUGUCAGCAAAAGGUGUUUUUCUUGUACUGUAUUCACUCAAAAUCGUUUUUCAUUUAGGGUUGCUAGUGUGGUUGAAUGCCAUUUGUUUUGUUAAUGAAUAUUAUACAUUAUGGAUUUUUGUAGAAAUGUCGCUUGAAAUUAUACCUCAGUUUCAAUUUGUCACCUUAAAGAAAAAUUUAAGAGAAAUGUCACCUUAAUUUUUCAAAAUCCACGAUUUGUCAUCUCACUUUAACAUCAUCCAAUUUUCCAUCUAUUUUAAGGGUAUUUUAGUCUUUUCAUUUUCAAGGGAAAAAAAGAGAGGAAGAAAAAGACCUCUCUCUUACUUUCUCCCCCAACCCAACCCCACCCGCCCCCCAAAACACAUCGCAUAGGACCGCCUCCCCCUUCCCCACAUUUCUUUUUUCUUUUUGGCCUACUUUUCCACUAUGUUUAUGUUGAAGGAUCUAAAGUUUUCUUGGUCACCAUCUAUUACGUAGGCUACCGACUUGUUGGUUUGGGUGGGUUGAGGGAAUUUGUGUGUGGAGGGCAGGUGUUCAUGUUGUGUGCACCAAGACCUUAUCGUUGAUGAACUAUGUGACGGCACACACACAAACUCGUUGAGAAUAAAACAAACAUACCACCAAGAGAGUAAAACAAACACACAAGGACACAAAGAUUUAUAGAGGUUCGGCCUCCUGCCUACGUCUUUUUGGUGAUUCACUCGAGAAAUUCACUAGUAUGUAAAAAUAACUUUGGUUACAACUGAACCCCCUUAGCCCUCACAAGAACCUUAGAUCUCUUUUCUCUCACCCUUGCUCAAACCCUUUGAUGCCCUUGUAGACACUCAAGAAUUCACCCUUGAAUUCUAUCUUGUGUUACAUCUUCUCUUCUCCCUUUUGUUAACCUAACCCUAAAAGUCCUAUUUAUAAUGCAUAGGACUUAAGUUACAAGUUAACUUGGAAUAGGAAACAUAAAAUACCCCAAAAAUUGGAGAAAAUCUGUCCAAAUCUAGCCUGCAAAAUCAUCCUUCUGCCGCUCGAGCUGCCGGUGGCGCUCAUGGGAUGGGGGAAUUGGAGAUUUUCUUUUCAAUUUUAAUUGUUUAAAAGAUAUACAAUUUUUUAUUAUAAUAAUUUUUCCAUUUUUAAAAUACACUUGAAAAUAGAAAGCUUAAAAUGCCCUUAAAAAUAGAUGGAAAAUUGGAUGGUGUUAAAGUCAGAUGACAAAUCAUGGAUUUUGAAAAAUUAAGGUGACAUUUCUCUGAAAUUUUUCUUUUAAAAGUGACAAAUUGAAACUGAGGUAUAAGUUCAGGCGACAUUUCUACAAAAAUCCCUAUACAUUACAAUAUUAUAACAAUAAAAUUGGCUAAAAUUGAUAUGUUCCCUCUUUUCUUUUCUUUUUCUCUUUUCCUUUUCAUUUUAUGCUUUGUUGCUAUUGCUAUGUUUAUCCUACAAAUAUAGCAACUUCUCCACCAUUCAUUUGUUAGUGACUACGAUGCUUAGUAACUUCUUCAGCUCCCCUUAUUUCCAUGUACUAACCAGGGACACCAGGUCAGCAUCUUCGGUAAGAAUCCUAACUCAAUCAAACAAUGACAUCUGUAAAUAUUCAAAAUUGGAAUUUGCAUUGUGAUAGUUGAAAGCAUCCUUGUCCCAAAAAAAGCCAAAAAAUAAAAUAAAAUUGAGAGCAUUAAGUCCUUUUCAAAUUAUGCUAAUAUGCAAAAUUGGAAUUUUGAUGGAGUUGCUUCCUUGACUUUUCCACCUUUGUAUCCAGUCCACUUUGCACAAGGAGCCAAGUUUGAGAGAUAGUUUUCUGUAUUUACACCAUCCAGGAGAAAAUUAAAAAACUAUUUCAUGCCAAACUAACUACGGAUUCUUGCAAAGGACCCAUUAGUGUAGUGGUUUGGAGUAUUUACUCCCUCAGGCAAGGUCUUGGGUUCGAGUCCUAGCAUUCAUGUUGUGUGUGUGAGUUUAAUAUGCUAUCACCCCUUCCAAUAGGAAAGGACCUCAAAAAAAAAAAAAAAACUACAGAUUCUUUAAUUGAAAGAAACCCCAUAUUAAUCAUCCUUUGGCACAUAAAUGUUUGGUAAUUGGCAUUAAAGUAUCUAAAGGUUACGAAAUUAAAGAUUUUAAUGCAAACCUAAAAUUGGAAAAGAGGGCACCAAUUCAUGUAAAAUAUGGUGUACUUAGUAGAUCCAACAUAUUUUUUUAGCAACCAAGGACAAUCAUCAUUUUUUUUUUUAAGAACCAAGGAUAGCUUACAUUCUAGUUUGUCCAUCAUGUCAACACAUUUAUAAUUAAAACUUCUUUUUUGGUGAGGUUUCAAUUUUUGUCACUGUAACAAGACCACAAUUGCCAUUCAGUAUGCUAACAUUGUCACUAUGUUUGCCAAUUGCAUAUUAUCUAGAACAUAAAGGCUUUGGUGUUUUGUAUAUCCUCGGGGUGCCAAACCUGUCUUUAUAAAAAUGGUCCUUAUGAUACUACUUUAACAACAAAAAAAUAUAAUAAACUAGGCCUUUGUAGUCACUGAACGAAUGUUUUCUCAUAGAUAUGACUAUUUAAAUGUAAUUACGGGAUUAAAACAUUAUAAUAAAUUGGAGUGAACCAUAACAUUAUAUAUGAUCCAAUCCUUUUCAUAUAUUUUUGUUCAAGACUUUGUUUUAGAAUGCUCUUUUACUAAUUUGGUACAGGUCCCUAAAAUCUACGCCUUUAUGAGGCAACGUCUUUAUUUCUUUGGUUAUUCCAGUUUAGAAUAUAUUUGUACAAAUGAGAUGACUCCCAACAUAAAGUCACAUUCAACCAAAAAGCAUGAAGUCACACACAAAAAGAACACGGACAAUUGCUAAGUUUAUCUUGUAUCCUUAUUUUAUUGAUCCAACCCAAUUGAAAAAUAAAAAAGAUGAUAUAAUAUAUUGUUCACUGCUUACAUCCAUGAGUAAAGUCCUCCAUUUGAAAUUGCGUGAUUAUACAAAAUUGGAAUGAAAAAAGAAAAUCCUACAACUAAAUUUGAUAUAUUCCUUUUCAUUUUAUGUUGGAUGUUAAGUUUUCUUGUUUCUUGUUGAAAAGAAAAAUGAAAAGAAAUAAAUAAAUUACACAGCUAGCAACUUCUCCACCUUCCCUUCUUCCCAUGUACUGACAACAAGGGAGGCCUUCAAUCCAAAAUAAAGACAAGGGAUGCCAGGUCAGCAUCUCAGAUAAGUAUCCCAACCAAAACCAAUCAAAUAAUGACAUAUGUAUCUCUUUUUGUGUUUUGUUCUAUUUCUCUUUGAAUUAACUGCGAAGUUUCAUAAGCGUGUCCUCCUUUUGAAAUUGUGUAUUAUUCAAAAUUGGAAUUUGCUGGUCAUACUUGAUAUAAGCUAAAACAGUUUCCAACAUCUUGUACCAUUUUUUUCCAGUGUGGGUCAUAACUUGAAGAAGCCCACCGACAAUUUCUCAAAAGCUAUUACCAUCCAACUUUGAAAAAUAAAAGUUUCAAAAGUUACCCCAAACAACAGCCCUUGAAAGAGAGUUUUCCAAGGCUAAAGAUUACAAGGAUGUUAUUGGCACAUGCAUUAACGUGUGACAAGAAGUUAGUUAUAUUUAUAAAGUAAAAGAACGAAGUACAUAACAUGUAAGUUGAUGCCAAAUAUUUGAUCAACAGAGCUAAACAUAAAACCACGACAAUAUAACGUUGUUCACCAAAAAUUGUGUUUCGUUGAGGGUCAGUAGUGUAGGUUUCAAGAUACGAUUUAUUUUGUUAAAGAAUAUUCUGAUAUUCUAACAAUAAAAUUGGCUCAAUUUGAUAUGUUUCUUUUUUUUUUUGUUUUUGUUUUCCCUUUCAUUUUAUGCUUUGUUGUGCUAUUGCUAAGUUUAUCCUAGAGACCAGGGAUGCUUAGCAAGUUUCUUCACCUGCCCUUCUUCCCAUGUACUAACUAGGGAUACCAUGUCAGAAUCUUAGAUAAGAAUCCCAACCCAAUCAAACUAUGACAUCUGUAAGUAUUCAAAAUUGGAAUUUGCAUUGUGAUAGUUGAGUGGAAGAAUCGAUUAAGGCUUGAGUGGAAGACAAACUUCAGUGGAGGAAAGUAAUUAAUCUCACAAGACAUAGCCCAUCAGUUGGCUCAUUUUUCUUGAGUGUGUAGUCCUGGCCUUGAGGCGAGGCCACAUUGCUUUGGAGAUUUCUUUCUACUUGGUGAAAUUAUAAUUUAGAAGAAGCAAACUGCGUUUUGCAAUUUGUGCGAUUCAAGCAUAUCUGACACUAGUAAUUAGACCAUAAUCUUUGUCCGACCAGAAAAUAAGAAAAGUUGUCUUGUACCAUUUCUGCCAGUGUGGGUCCCACCCACCCCAUACGAGUAAUUUGAAGAAGUCCACCGACAAUUUCCCAAAAGCUUUGGCGUCCAACUUUGCCGACCCCAUCCCCAUGUGAGGCCAUAGAAAAGUUUUCAGCCACAAUCAAAGAAGGGAACAGUCCUUGAAAAGAGAGGGUUUUCCAAGGCCAAGAUUACAAGUUCAUGUUAUUUACAGUCUCAAAAAGCUUCCAUACUUGUUUACAAACCUGUAUUUUCAAGUUGUGCUAGCCUAGCUAUUUGCAAAUCUUGGAAUAUUUUACUUCAUCCAAAUCCCUUGCAGUCUGCAGAGAAGAUAAAAGACAUGGCUUUGAUUGGAGAGGCUCUUAUCUCUGCUUCCGUCCAGGUGUUGUGCGACAGAAUUACUUCACCCGAGUUCGUUGACUUAUUUUGGCACAAGAAACUCGAUGAGCCACUCCUCAGGAAGCUGAGGACGACACUGUUGGCCUUGAACUUGGUGCUCAAUGAUGCAGAGGGGAAGCAACUUGUGAACCGAGAUGUGAAAAAGUGGCUUGACGAGCUCAGACAUGCUGUCUUUGAUGCGGAGGACUUACUGGAUGAGAUUGACACUGAAGCUUUGCGAUGCAAGCUGGAAGAAGGUGAAGAUCAAACUCACAAAUUUACCAAUAAGGUGCGGAACUUGCUCUUUUCUCCUCGUAGUCAUUUUUAUCAGAGCAUGAAUGAUAAGAUAAAAGAGUUACUAGCAAGGUUAGAAAACUUUGUACAACUGAAAAGUGCUCUUGGUCUGGGAGAAGUUGCUGGGAGGAAGGUUUCGCAAAGAACUCAAACAACCUCCUUGGUUCUUGAACCUUAUGUAUAUGGUAGAGAUGAAGUCAAAGAAAAGUUAUCAAAAGUGUUGCUAUCUGAUGAAGCAGGCAAGGAUCCUGUGUCUUUCCUCACCAUUGUUGGAAUGGGUGGGGUUGGCAAGACAACCCUUGCUCGAAUGCUUUACAAUGACGAUAAGGUGAAAGGGCAUUUUAAACUUAAAGCUUGGGCUUGUGUUUCAGACUACGAUGAUUAUAUUAAAAUUACUAAAACUCUCCUUGAGGCAGUCACUUCAAAGCCUUGUAACACGGCAAAUCUGAAUUUGCUUCAAAAAGAUCUAAGAGAGCAAUUGAGGGGAAGGAAAUUUUUAUUUGUGUUGACCUAUGGAAUGAGAAUAAUGAGGAUUUGAACUACCUUAGAGCUCUUUUUAUUACUUUAGGAACAAUGGGAAGUAAAGUCAUUGUAACAACACGGAACAAAAAUGCAGCAUCUGUCAUGCAAAAUGUUCAUAUUCAAUACUUAGAACCAUUGUCGUAGGAGGACUGCUGGUUAUUACUUGCAAAACAUGCAUUUGGAAAUGAAAAGUGUAGUGCACAUUCAAACUUGGAAGACAUUGGAAAGCAAAUUGCACUCAAGUGCAAAGGGUUGCCUUUAGCUGCACAAACACUUGGGAGUUUGUUACGUUGCAAUAUGGAUUUCGAGUACUGGAAUAGAAUACUAAAUGAUAGUUUUUGGGACCAACCCUAUGAUAAAACUAACAUUCUUCCGGCUCUAGGGUUGAGUUACCAUUAUCUUCCUACUCAGUUGAAACGAUGCUUUGCUUAUUGUUCAAUUUUUCCAAAGGAUUAUGAGUUUGAAAAGGAAGAUAUAGUUCAAUUAUGGAUUGCAGAAGGUAUAAUUCCACAAGCUGAGAAUGGAAAAAGGAUGGAAGCAUUGGCUAGAAUAUACUUUGAUGAGCUGUUAUCACGAUCGUUGUUUCAAAAGUCAAGUAAAUUCAGCUUCAUUAUGCAUGAUCUCAUUAAUGACUUGGCUAUGUUCAUGUCUCAGGGGUUUUGCCUUAGGCUCGAAGAUGGGGUAUCCCGUGAAGUUAAAAGAGCUCGUCAUUUGUCAUAUGCUAGGGGAGAAUUUGAUGCUGCUCCAAGAUUUGAACCAUUAUAUGAGGCUAAAUGUUUGCGGACCUUCCUACCUACCAUUUGUUGUGGGCAAAUCUACUGGAUCAGGCAUAAGAGAACUGAGGCAGUUCCCGCAACUUCGAGGAAAACUAUCAAUUUUGAAGCUACAAAAUGUAGUUGAUGCGAGGGAUGCACUGCACGCCAAUAUGAAGCACAAGAAAGAUCUCAAGGAGUUAGAGCUUUCAUGGGGUGCGGAGGAUGCUGAUGAUUCCCAAAAGGAGAAAGAUGUACUCGACAAGCUCCAGCCUUGCGUGAAUUUGGAGAAAUUAACCAUCAAAUUCUAUGGUGGAACUAAUUUUCCGAAUUGGUUAGGAGACUCGUCUUUUUCUAACAUACAAGUCAUGCAUCUCAGUGACUGUAGUUAUUGUUGGUCGCUCCCACCAGUUGGACCGCUACCGGCACUCAAACAGCUCUGUAUAAGAAGAAUGAAGUUUGUGAAGACGAUUGGCGUUGAAUUCUAUGGCAGAAAUGGAGCUUAUCUGACUCAGCCAUUUCGAUCUCUGGAGAAGCUAGAGUUUAGGGAGAUGCCAGAGUGGGAGGAAUGGGUACCAAGUGGAAGUGCAAGUGGAGGUGAAUAUGGUCCAGACUUUCCUCGUCUCCAGGAGCUGAUUCUAUACGAGUGUCCGAAGCUAAGAGGAAGUUUGCCUUGUGAGUUGCCUUGCUUGAAGAAGCUUACGGUGUAUGGGUGUAAGGUUUUACAUGAUGGAAGGGCCAUUACCGCAACUACCAAUAGUCUUAACUAUAAAUCUCUGGAAGAAUUGAAUAUAAGUGGUGGAUGCCAAACUCUGUUAUCAUUAUUAGAGACAAAGCUCCUGUCCGGACUUGAGAUUCGAAAUGUUGUUGACAUACAGUGCUUGCCCAACUGCAGUCGUCUUCAACAUUUGACUCUUUCGAAUUGUCCAACGCUGUCAUCAUUUCCCAAAGAUGGCCUACCCACUACAUUGACAUCACUUUAUAUAAACAAUUGUAGGAAAUUAGAAUUCCUACCUCAUGAGAUGUUGGCCAAAUUAACAUCGCUUGACUAUUUGUGCAUACAAAAUAGCUGUGAUUCAAUGAGGUCCUUCCCGUUGGGCAUUUUUCCCAAAUUGACGAGGCUUGAAAUUCGUGGUUGUGAGAAUCUGGAAUCCCUUUCCUUGAUUGAAGAAGAAGGAGCUGUUGAGAAUCUCAGCCAUCUCAAUUACUUGCAAGUCUAUAACUGUCCAAAAAUGGUGUGUUUUCACGAGGGAGAAUUGCCCACUCCCAACCUGAGUCACUUUGUAGUCGGUGGUUGCGAGAAUUUGAAGUCAUUGCCCAAAAGCCUUCACACCCUCACUGCCCUUCGAUCUUUGUCGAUAUGUAAUCUUCCGAAUCUGGAGUCAUUUGCAGAAGAUGGGGGUUUGCCUCCCAACCUCCGACAAGUAAGUAUUAGGAAUUGUGAGAGACUGAGGGCUUCAUCAGUGGGUUUGCAAGCACUUGACUCCCUUGAGAUCAGUGGAAGUGACCAUGUAUUCUCUAUCACACUCUUCACAUCUAUUCUCUAUCAACUCUGAAAUCUUUGGACGGAAAGGGUCUUGGACACCUCACUUCUCUUCAAGAGCUAGAUAUUAACAGGUGUCCAAGUCUGGAAUUCCUGCCAGGAGAGGAACUUCAACACCUCACUUCUCUUCAAAAUCUAUACAUUUGGAACUGUCCCAGUCUUCAAUGCUUGCCAGAAGAGGGUUUUCCAUCAUCUCUUUCUCAUCUGAGUAUCCGCCGGUGUCCUACCCUGGAGGAAAGGUAUAAGAAUAAAACGGGACGAGAUUGGGCCAAGAUAUCUCACAUUCCUUGCAUCGAGAUAGGCAACGAAGUGAUCAUAUAAUAUGAGCUAUUCCAUAUUUCACGCUCAACCCUCAACUCUCAAAUCAAAGUCAGGUGAGGUAUGUGCCUUCUCUUACUUUAAAAAACUGCUGCUCAAUAACACUCUUCGCACUCUAUAUAUUAUGGCCUGUCAGUCUAAAAUUCCUGCCAGGAGAGGAACUUGAACGCCUCUCUUCACUGCAAAGGCUACAUAUUUGUGGGUGUGACAAUAUCCAAUUCCUGCCAGAAGAGCGUUUGCUGCAAUCUCUUUCUUAUCUGUGCAUCGACCAUUGUUUUGCCAUGUAGAAAAGGUAUCUCACAUUCCUUGCGUCAAGAUAGGUGAAGAAGUGAUCAUAAGAUAUGAGCUCUCUCUCCCUCUCGCUCACAUACAAAGUACUUAAAACACUCAAUCUGAUUUCUAUUAUUAUUUUGCUCAGUAAAUUUUGUUUAAAUUUGCUUUGUUUCUCAUUGCGCUUGUUCUGCUUAUCACAACUUAUAUCCUAUUUAAAUCUCAAAUGCUGAAUAGUUAGCAGUCUUUUCGCAGGACAGCAUAUCUUCUCUUGGAGAGCUAUUCAUUUGCAAGGUUUCUUUAUGUGUCAUUUCCAGAGGAGGGUUUACUAUUUAAUAGAAAGGUUCACCUGGAAUAUCUCAAAUGACACAUUCCCAAAUACAGGCAUUGAAUGCACAACAUUUUGAGGUACUAUUUUUGUAAUAAAAAUGUACUUGAGUCUCAUUUGAGCUAGUUUAAAUUGUAUUCAAUGUCUAUGGAUAACCUGUGAGCUUAAGUUGUAAGAUAAAACUCACAGUAUAUUAUUAGGGUUUAGGGUUCAACAGGUGAGCUUAAGUUGUACUUUCCUAGGUACUGCAUGUAUAUUAUCUUAGUAUCAACACUUGGUCUUAUGUGGACGAGAGAGAACAUUUGAGGAAUUACAAAAUCUUCUUAGUGAAUUAAGCUUGUUUCAGCUCUGUUUGUCAUCCCUCACAUUUUCUUUGUUAAGCCUUGAUUUUUUAUUAGACAUACGAAAAAAUGCUUUUAUAAGACAGGAGAUGAAUGCUUUUAUAUGUUGAUGUCGUAGUCAGUCUUCAACCACACUCUGUUUUUAGAAUUCAUUUAUGUUACUAGUUGAGAGCUGCUGUAUUUUAUAUUUCGUUCCUGUAAUGUUUGGAUGUUUAGCUUGAGCAGUCUAGCUUAUCCAGUAGAUAACUUGUCCCCUGUUUUGUAAUGUUUUUGUUUCCUCUAAUGAAAGCAGGUUUUACUUAUCUUGAACUGCAGAAGCCUACUUUUUGACAUAGGUGGCAUGGCACAAACUCGCAUCCGCAUUUCCAUCCCCAUUGGCAUGCUGUCUCAUCUUUUCUAUUCUGUUACCAGCUUGAAGCUUGUGUGGACAUGUUAUGCUCUUGUAAUUCUGAUCACAAACAUCACUUGACAAAUGGAAAGUCACAAUCAGAUCUUUCAGGUGAUCUGGAGGUUUACUUUCUAACAUUUGUUUUCGUGGGGGGGAGACAACAAUACAGAAUUUAAAAUUUCUGAUAAUCAAUAGUAGUUUGCAUAUAUCAGCUGGGACCUGUAUGACUGUAUUAUGUAAUUAAUUAUUUCUCUUAUUGUUUGGGUACUGUUAAAAGGAGUUAGCCACACAACAUAAAAAAGGAGGUCUCUUAUUUCAUACAAUUUUUCAAAUGUGAUCAUUAAUCCGUUUCUUUUUCAACAAUAGAGGAAUGUAUACUAAUCGUCUGGUCCAUCUGCUGCUUCACUCCCUAGUAGCUUCAUCUCCUGUCCUUUGCUUUAUUUCUGUUGAUGAAUGUUUUGUCUGGGUUAUUUAUUUUCAUUUCAUGUCCAUUGCUUUAUUUCUGUUUGGAUUCUUAAUUAAAUCUGUCCUGGACUUGAACAAGGGUUAGGUUAGCUGUAUAAUUUGCGGUUUUAUAUACACAACUGUCUACAUUGAUUAAAACCAGCAUUAUUCUAAGGUUCAUUUAGAAUGUAUUAUCACCAAAAUUAUAAAGAAUACUUCUAUUACAAUUAAUUUGUUGAUUCUAAUUUGGACUUGUAGGAACAGACCAAACAUGUUCAUGCGUGGCAUUGCUCAAGUCAUCAUCAUUCGAGACAGAGAAUAAGCCUUCAAGUGUCUGCUGAGUCAAUGAACCUUUCUAGAUAUCUCAAGUGUAAUGGAAAUUGAUGAGUUACAAAGGAUUUGUAAACAUUUUCUACUGGAGGCUAGAAAUGCUUCAAAUAAAUGACCGUGUUGCAAUUAUUUUGUAGGAUCAAAGACUCUGCAAAGAGGUAAGAAAGUCAUCAUCAAGUAACUUUGCUCUUCAAACUUUUUAUUUUUAUUUUUAAAUAUCAGUAAUAACUGGGAAAGCUUGCAUCUCCUUAAAUUGCUCAUUCUUACAUCUUUUAUAGUUUGUUGAUCUUGGGCAAGUGGAGAGAGAGGCGUCAAGUGAUACGCAACAACCAUUUUCUGUGAGCUGAUUUGAUAAAGAGAAAUGGUAUGCUUUCUUGUCUUAAGCGGUGUGUUCUGCAAUUAUUUGAAACAAAGGAUGCCGCACUUCAAGUUCGAGAAAAUCAGGUAUUUUAGUAUUUUAUUCUUGAGAAAUUUGAUUUAUGUAGAAACUUGAACAUGUAAAUAAAAUAAAUAAAAUAUAUUAUAUGCUGUUAAUGAGUUAAUAUGGUGCUUGCUUCUAGUUGGAAAUUUAUGUAGUCAUCUACCUAUGAUCAAAUAAAGAUGAAGAAUAAAAUAUAAUUGAGAGCAUCUUCCUCUCCCCUGCUUUGCUCAUCCCUUGUUCUUCCACUUCAGCCCCACUAUUACACCAUUUUUUCAGCCACAAUUAUAAUAGCUCCAUGAGCAUUAAGUCCUUUUCAAAUUCUGCUGACAUUCAAAAUUGGAAUUUGCUGGUGAUAUAUGAUAGCAUCUUUGUCCGACCAAAAAGAGAAAAAAAAAAAGUUGAUAGCAUAUUGUACCAUUUUGGCCAGUGUACGCAAUAUUAUUGCAUCCAACUUUGCAUAUUAACAUCAGUGGCCACAGUUCCAUGAUUUGAGUGCACAGAAAAGUUUCAAAAGUUGUCCCACAAAGAACAGUCGUUCAAAGUGAAAGAGAGAUUUCAAAGCUUAAUUACAAGUUCAUGUUAUUUACAAUAUCAAAAAGCUUUCAUACUUGCUUACAAACCUGUAUUUCCAAGUUCUGCAAACCUUGGAAUAUCACUUCAUCCAAAUCCCCUUCCAAAGCAGGAAAAAAUGGCAGCAGCUUUGAUUGGAGAGGCUCUCAUCUCUGCUUCUAUCGUGGUGUUGUGUGACAGAGUUACUUCAGCCGAGUUCAUAGACUUAUUUCAGCAGAAGAAACUUGAUGAAACACUCCUCAUGAACCUGAAGACGACACUGUUGAUUUUGUUUGCGGUGCUCAAUGAUUCAGAGGAGAAGCAAAUUGUGAACCCUGAAGCUUUGCGAUGCAAGCUGGAAGGUGAGGAUCAAACCCACAAUAAUUAACCAAAAAGGAUCUUUUUGAUUGUUUGAAAGGAGGGUCUUGAUGAUUUGAAAGGAGAGGGUUGCUUUAUUUCUGUUGGAUGCUUAAUUAAAUCUUAUUUGGAGUUGAACAAGGAUUAGGUUAGCUGUAUAAUUAGUGGUAAACGCCUUUUUCUAAGGGUCAUUUAGACUCCUAUUACGAUUAAUUUGUUGUUUCUAAUUUGGACUUGUAGGAACAGACCAAAUAUGUUCACACGUGGCAUCGCUCAAGUCAUCAUCAUUUCAGACUGAAAAUCAGCCUUCGAGUGUCUGUUGAGUCAAUAAACCUUUCUAGAUAUAUCAAGUGCAAUGGAAAUUCAUGAGUUACAUAGAGAUUUUUAAACAUUUUGAAGAUUGCAACACCUGCAAGUGAGAUAGGCGGUGACGAAAUCAGAGCUGAUUUUGAAGCCUCUGAUGCCCCUGUUGUUGCAAGUUGCACCUGAGAACAAGUUUUUUUUUUCUUUGGGGUAAAAAACUGGCAACAUGUUCGGAGCUGACAAUUCAAUCCCUGAUGAACUAGAGAAGCAAAGCUCCGGUAAGGAAAUUGGUCAAGGUUGUGACAGGGAUGAUUGAUGGUGAAAUGGAUGCUAUUUCUUAUUGCAGCCUGUUCUCAAAGUUCUUGUUGGCAAAUGCAAUUGAUGGAGUAUUUUGAUUGGGAGGAGAGAUAAUGACAUGGCUUGACAAUUCUAGAACAGCCCAUCAUUAAUCCCAGAAAAAAUCCCGUUUCUGCUAAACAAUCACUUAUGGCAAGGCCAACUCUGUAAAUGGAAUUUGUGAUCCCUUCAAAUUGUACACAUUUUUUCUUUUUGAGGAAUUUAAUCAAACAGUAUUCUAAUGCAUUAUGAUAGCACUACACGCUUUUGUUGUAACAAAUUACAAGGAGGAAUUUGGAUUGAGUUUCUUGUAUAAGCACACCUUACACAAAUUUCGUAUAUUUUCUUCCAGCAAGUCUGUUUAUUAACCCCCUUAUCUGAAAUUAAUUGUUAAAAGUUUUGAUUCAUCUUUAAUCAGUGUCUUACCCUUGUUGAAUAACACUCCUCUUUCUAAUUUAUAUUUGAAGUUUGAGCUUUCAAUUUCAAUUGUGGGCUUUGAUUUUUCAGAUUUUGUUUGUCAAUUUCAGUUUGGACAAAGCAUAUAUGCAAACAAAGUAAGCAUUUUAUGUUAUACUUUUGAACUAGGUGUUGAUUUGAUUUAAUCAUAAGUUUUGCUGGUGCAUUUACUAGGCUAAUCAUUCAAUACUUUUGAUCAUAGAACUUCUUUGGUUGAUAUUAUCUUUGUUAAGUUUAACCAUAACUUUAGAGAGGGGACUUCAACAGAUUUAUAAUCUCAUCAUUAUAGUAUUAAAAAUUAGAGAUUAUUUAAGGCAUUGUCUAUUAUCUGAAUUCUGCUUACUUUUAGUUCAUAUGUUUACAUCUUAGCAUAUUCAUGUGAUUAGUGCGGCUCAUACCACAAAGGCAAUUUUAGGCUCAUCAAGUGCUAAGCAAUGUCAAGCUUCCAAAUGACAAGUUCUCUACAUAGUUUGAGACCUACACUUACUAGAUAUUAGAUCAUUUCGAUCAUUUCCAUAUGUUUAUAUGUAAUUGACAUGUUAUAACAUUUUUGUAGCGUUAUAUAAUUAUUUAGCAAUUUAAUUAUUUCUUUGCAACUUAAUUUUUUUUGUCAAUCAUACUAUUGUUGACUGCUAAAAACCAUCAAGAAAUAGUUCUCAAGUUAUAAAAAAAAAAAAAUUUUAAAAAAGAUUUGUUGAUGCUUAAAAAGCAUCAAGAACAGAUAGUUUCUUGACGGUUUUGUGACAUUUCAUAACUGUAGGGGGCUUUUUCUUCCGACAGCUGUAAAUGGGCUGGGCUGCCGUAAAGGGCAGACUGAUGAAAUUGUCCCCUUUUGUAUGAGCUCAAAAAUUAAGCCCCAAAAUACUUUGAAAGGGCAGCAGAGCCUUAGGAAGUAUUUUGGUUACCCUCACCAACUAAAACAACAACAACUUACAGGUAAUUACUUAAUGCUUAUGGAUGAACUCUUGAGCUUGGCAUGAGAGACAUAUGGCAUGGAAGCAAAAUCAACAUGAGUUUAGCACUGAGGGGAAAUUUAGGCUCUCUUGGGGGAAAAAGGGAAGUGUUAAGGUGAGAGAGGAGAAGUUUGUAGGAGAUUUAGCUAAGAAAGGAGAAAUAUAGAACAAUGCUCUUUUGGCAGCUUGACAGAUGCUCUGUUUGCCAGAAAAGGAAGAUGGAGAAGAAAUGUGAAUAGUGCAAGAGUUUGCUAGAUUUUUGCAGGUAAGAGAGGAAGCUUGCUCUCUGGGUCUGAGUUGAGUUUUUUUGUGUGGAAGAGACCUCAUUUUAUAGCCCUUGGAAACCAUCACUUCCCAAGAAACCCUAAUGGCUUCUACCCAUUUUGGCCAAGCUUUUCCCUUCCUUUCUCAUUUCCUUCCUUGACUUUACCCCUCUUGAUGAAAUCCCCUCUGCCUAUUUGCACCAUAUCAGAGUUUUUUGAAGCUCAAGGCCCCUUUUUCCCGCAGUUGUCUCAAUGGGAGACUUCCAUUCCCAGUCAUCUCCUUUAUUGCUUUCCUUUCUUUUUUUCAUGGCCAAGUUUGGUGGGGAAAGGAGUUGGGAUAUAUAUGCUGGUUUGAAGGGUGCUUCUCUUCCUGGCAUCUUACACACUAAUACCCCUUGGUUCCUUGAAUGUUUUGGCUUUGAAACUUGCUCUCCCCCCCCCCCCCCCCCCCCCCAUGUACUGGAACCUACCAGCAGCUCUAUUCAAUGAAUCUUCAGACCUUCUCUUCGUGGCUUUUAUUUUUUAUCAACGGGCUGGGGCUUUUGUGGCUCAUUGUGGCAAUUGUAUGGGCUAAGGUGGUUCAUUAAGUAAGUGGGCUAUUUUUAUUAAACAUUAGGCUUUUUGGUUGAGUCACUAGGCUAUUUUGAUUGGGCUAUUGGGCUAUUUUUUUCCUCUCUUGUGCUCACCCACAUGUUUGGACCAAAGAAAUGAGCUUGAGUCCUGAGGCUCCCAAGCGACCCGAGACUUUCCAUUUCUGGCCCAUCAAUGGGCCUCAUGUUGAUUUAUUACCAUCCAUACCACAACCCACUCAAGCAGGCUCCGGGCAUUUGAAUGACUUGGGCGCACUUAGGCUUGUAGUGUGGUUGGGUGCGAAAUAACGAUUUCGUGCUUGGCAUGUUUUAAUUUUAUCAUCCUUGGGAAAGGCUGCGAUGUUUGAUUUCGGCAUGGGCUUGUAGAGCUGGUAUGCUUUAUUUCAACUCCUAGCAUGACGAAUUAUUUAUUUAGCAUGGCACGUGAAUUACAACUCGCAUGUGGUGGGUUUUUGUGUACUACACCUUACGCCUCUUCUUAAUAGAACAUCGUUUUGGGCUGAUAAUUUAUUCGGGCCAAACCGUGAAUUUUUUGGGUCUCAAUAAUAACCAUCAUGAAACAUUACAUUUUGACUGACGUCAAGAAAUGGGGUAUCCCUUUCCUGAUAGUGGCAUCCAUGAUGCCUUCCAAGCAGUCAAUUAAGGGCUAUCGUGAUGCAUUUUAGUUGUCAGCAAAAGGUGUUUUUCUUGUACUGUAUUCACUCAAAGUCGUGUUUCAUUUAAGAUUAGUAGUAUGGUUGAAUACCAUUUGUUUUGUUAAAGAAUAUUAUACAUUAGGGAUUUUUGUAGAAAUGUCAUUUGAACUUAUACCUUAGUUUCAAUUUGUCACCUUGAAGAAAAAUUUAAGAGAAAUGUCACCUUAAUUUUUAAAAAUCCAUGAUUUGUCAUAUGACUUUAAAAUCAUCCAAUUUUCCAUCCAUUUUAAGGGUAUUUUAGUCUUUUCAUUUUGAAGGAAAAAAAAGAGAUGAAAAAAGAGACCUCUCUCUUACUUUGUCCCUCAACCCAACCCCACCCGCCCCCCAAAACACAUCACAUAGGAUUGCCUCCCCCUUCCCCACUUUUCUUUUUUCUUUUUGUCCUACUUUUCCACUAUGUUUAUGUUGAAGGAUCUAAAGUUUGCUUGGUCACCAUCUGUUACGUAGGCUUCCCAAUUGUUAGUUUGGGUGGGUUGUGGGAAUUUGUGUGCUCGAAACCCGAGACGAAUCUUGUGGAAUUCCCGACAUCACACCGAUGCCGGGCCCACUUCUGAACUAAAUUCUCUUUUCCAAAAUUAAGGAAAAAGAGUACGAGGCUUUCUGCCGAAAUUUCGACAGAGUAUUCCCUAUAAAUUUAACAUUUCAGCUUUGGUGGCCGUUCUCUCAUUUCAGCUUUGGUGGCCGGAUGAGAGAACGGUCGGCUAAAACGUGGCCAGCUGGCACUGCCGUCGCGAGAGAGAGAGAGAGAGAGAGAGAGAGAGAUUUUUAUCAAAUCAUUUUUGCCAAAAUUACGAUUAUGCAACUGAGGGUAUUUUGAUCGUAUCUUUUUCAUUAUAACUCUGAUUCAAGCCCACUACGUGUUUACGGACUCAUCUCGCCGUGCUCUAUGCAAUUGUAUAGUUGAAAUUCCCAAAUUCCACCCCAGUCAAAAAUUCAACUUUAAACCCUACAAAAUAUUAUAGGGGCAAAAUGGUCUUUUAUCUAAUUAAAUUAAUAAUUGAAAAUUUAUUUAGGACCGGGUUGUUACACUGUCGUUGAUGGACUGUGCGAUGACACUCACACAAAGUCCUUGAGAAUAAAACACACACACACCAUGAAGAGAGUAAAACAAAUACACAAGUACACAAAGAUUUAUAAAGGUUUGGCCUUCUGCCUACGUCCUCUUGGUGAUCCACCCGAGAAAUUCACUAGUACGUAAGAACAACUUUGGUUACAACUAAACCCCCUUAGCUUUCAUAAGAACCCUAGAUCUCUUUUCUCCCACCCUUGCUCCAACCCUUUGAUGCCCUUGUAAACACUCAAGAAUUCACCCUUGAAUUCUGUCAUGUGUUACAUCUUCUCUUCUCCCCUUUGUUAACCUAACCCUAAAAGUUAUAUUUAUAAUUCAUAGGACUUUAAGUACAAGUUAACUAGGAAUAGGAAACAUAAUAGACCUCAAAAAUUGGAGAAAAUAUGUUUAGAUCUCGUUAGGAAAUUGCACAACACGUGCGAUCCGCUCGAGCGCCUGCAAAAUGAUCCCUUUGUCGCUCAAGCUGCCGAUAGCUCAUGGGAUGGGGGAAUUAGAGAUUUUUUUUUUUUUCAAUUUUAAUUGUUUAAAAGAUAUACAAUUUUUUAAUAAUAAUUUUUCCAUUUUUAAAAUACCCUUGAAAAUAGAAAGAUUAAAAUGCCCUUAAAAAUGGAUGGAAAAUUGGAUUGCGUUAAGGUCAGUUGACAAAUCAUGGAUUUUGAAAAAUUAAGGUAACAUUUCUCUUAAAUUUUUCUUUAAAGUGACAAAUUAAAAUUGAGGUAUAAGUUCAAGUUACAUUUAUGCAAAAAUCCUUAUACAUUAUGAUAUUCUAACAAUAAAAUUGGCUAAAAUUGAUAUGUUCCCUCUUUAUUUUCUUUUUCUCUUUUCCUUUUCAUUUUAUGAUCCAAUCCUUUUCAUAUAUUUUUGUUCAAGACUUUGUUUUAGAAUGCUCUAUUACUAAUUUGGUACAGGUCCCUAAAAUCUCGGAGCCGCCUUAGUACAUUCAUAAUGUACAUGUUCAGAGUUCAAGAAUAAUGUAUAGAAUGUGAAAUUGACGAUGCCGGCCUUUAUGAGGCAACGUCUUUAUUUCUUUGGUUAUUACAGUUUAGAAUAUUUGCACAAAUGAGAUGAUUCCAAGCAUAAAGUCACAUUCGACCAAAAAGCAUGAAGUCACACACAAAAAGAACACGGACAAUUGCUAAGUUUAUCCUUGUACCCUUAUUUUAUUGAUCCGACCCAAUUGAAAAUUAAAAAAAGAUGAUAAAAAAUAUUGUUCACUACUUUAAAAUCUAUGAGUAGAGUCCUCCAUUUGAAAUUUCGUCAUUAUACAAAAUUGGAAUGAAAAAAGAAAAUCCUACAGCUAAAUUUGAUAUAUUUCCUUUUCAUUUUAUGCUGGGUGUUAGGGCUUGUCAAUGGGCCGGGCUAGGCUAGCCCGGCUCAAAUUUAAUGGGCUUGGGCUAGGCCGGGCCAAGCUUUAAAGAGGAGAGAGAAAAUAUCCGGCCGAGUUUUUUAAGAAAAUUCAAAGCCCAAGCCCGAAUCACUGCUGUCUAGCCCGGCCCAAAUUUAAUGAGCUUGGGCCAGGCCGAGCCAAGCUUUAAAGAGGAGAGAGAAAAUAUCCGGCCGAGUUUUUUAAGAAAAUUCAAAGCCCAAGCCCGAAUCACUGCUGUCAUUUCAUUGAUUUGUGACGAGCACAACCACCAAAUCAGAAUUUACUCACGAAAAUAUCAAGUAUGUCUAGCAAAUUUCAAUUUUGAAUAAUACACAAUUUCAAAAGGAGGACAUGUUGCAAGACAGCAUACCUUCUCUUGGGGUGCUUUUCAUUUUGCAACAUUUCUUUACGUGUAAUUUCCAGAGGAGGGUUUAUCAUUGUAUAUAGCUUUUCGGGUGGUUUGUCUACAAAACAAAUGUCACAAAGAAGGAGGAGAAACGGAAAAGAUUUACUUGGAAUGUCUCAAGUCUCCUUUGAGAUAAAGGCAUCGAAUGCACAACAUUGCUUUUGUGCUAUUUCAUAAUUAAAGUGUGCUUCCCAAGUCUCCUUUGUGUUUUGUAACUUGUAAUGUUUGUUUUUUUGUUUCCCCUGUUUUCCCUCUUAUAAAAGAAAUACAGGUCCAAACCACACGGAUCUACUUGCAUAAUAAUGGACCAAAUUUAUGAUUUUUAGAAAGAACCUUCUGCCGGUGGAAUCUUGGGCUACUGUUGUGGCUCUCCUCUGUGUGCCUCCUUUUUAGAACGGUAAAAUAUUCAAAAUACUAGAAAAUGUUCGUGAUUAAUAUAAAUAUUAAGAAUUGAAAUUAUUAAUUAAAUGAGGAUAAUAUGGUAAAUUCACACUUUUUUAUAUUAAAAAAAUUAAAAUUAAAAGAAAAAUCAGAUAAUUGAUAUUAUUUUUAUGGAACACAGCUACUCAUUAUCUUUUUUAAUUCUAAAAUAAAUUUAAAUUAAAGAAAAAAACCCCUCUCACAGGCACGGAAGCGCGUGCUCAGAGGCUAGUUAAAAAUAAUGAACUUUGCUUCUGAAGACGUCUAUACCAGACCCACUCAACCUGCUUUAUGAUUAUACAAAGAACAAACUCGUCCUUAGACUCAUUUGGUUAAACUUAGAAAAUAAUGAAACAAAAAUAUGCACUCCCACAAGUAACACAGCCAGGAUUGAAAACAACUGGACAAAGAAAGGCAUGUUAAAACAGAAUUUUCAACAACUCAUCACCAUUAGACAAGAAAAAGAAAAAUCAAUACAAAAACAGAAAGAACAGAGAAUAAAUGUGGUGGAAGAAAAACGUUGAAGCCAUUUGUGAAUCCAACAACACUACCACUCUGUUUCUCUCCUUUUGUUCAGGCGGAUCUGCAUAUAUCCUAAGGCGUAUUACGGAAACAACUUCUUGCCGUUAUACUUGAAUGUUGUGGAUGCUUCAACGUUGCCAUCUGGGUGGAGUGGAUUUGUCCAAUUCACCUUCACUAUGGUAUAUACGUCCAAAUUGUUGUUAUUUGAAAGGCUUCUAAAUUUUAACAUUUUGAUUUUUAAAUUUUGUUUAAAUAUUUCGGCCCACUUAGUUCUUCUCAAAAUAUGUCAUCAAUAUCGUUGAAAGGUUGAACUUAGUGAAUUAUUAUAGUGCAGUACUGUAGAAUAGACACAUGAUAUAAUUUGUCCACAUGUUAUAAUAUAAGUAAAUAUUUAUUGAUAUUAUUUCUAAAAAUAAGAAAUAUCAACCAUUAUAUCCUCCCAUAUUAUAAUACAUAUACAAAUUAUACCACAUUAUCAUACUCUAAUACCAUUUUAUAAUUUCUCGUACUUAGAGCGAGUCAAUGACAUUACAUAAUAUAUAAUUGUUCAUAUAAUGGGGCAACUAACGUGAUCAACAAGUUGUGGUGAUUAAUUUAACAUAAUAAAAAAUAUACCAUUUACUUGAGUGAUGUAACAAUUUGUUCUUUUAAAUUGGAUUGCCAUCACUUUAAUAUGAUAUGUUUCUUAUUAUAGUGUCCCAUGUUAAGUGCUUCAGCAUUGUUUGUGGUGUGUACACAAAUUUUCUUAUAAAAUGUUUUAAUGCUUCUCACAUGUAUAUCAGAUAUAGACAGUUGAUGUGACUUAGAAAUCAAAUUGUCAAUAAAGCAAAAAAAUAUAAUUGGUGAUUGAGGUCCAAUUUAAUAGAAAAUAGUCUUAACUUGUAUAUUAGAGGUUUCAGAUUCGAAUCCUCACUGCAUUAUUGUUGUAUACGUACACGAGAAAUCCUCUUCUCCAAUAAUUUAGACUAUCACUUAUACUAAAAAAAUAUAUAUAUAUAAUGACUUUUACGGAUGCAAACAUAAAAUUACACCAAACAAUAAUGGAAUAGAAAGAUGCAAGUUAUUUUUUUUUUUUUUACAUCUAAAGUAUACUUUAUAUAUAUAUUUAUUAUGGGUGUUAUAACCGUUUAAUUUUCAGUUUUUAUUUUCUAUUUAUUGUUUUAAUUUUUAUGGUUUAAUGUGUAUGAAGAUUACAAGUAUUGGAUGUCUACCACUCCUCCUUCACAUCUGAAACAAACCACCAUCUCAUUUCUGUAUUUUCAUACUUUCAUAUAUUUUCUACUUUCCAGAUUAUUAUUUUUGGGCAACGGUUCUGUGACUUGCAGAUUUCUAUCCGAUUGUUAACAUGCUCAUAGCGGACCUUGAGCUUGCGUAUUGGGGAUCGUAUCUUGGAGCCUUAUAGACCUUUAUUACCUGCAUGUAGGGAGGUUAUAAAUGCUUUAGGUCAGCAUCUUUGACGUGCUUUUGCUUUCUUUUUUUUUUUACUUAUUUCUUCGUUUCUUUAUUUUUACUUUACUUUUAAAUUUUUAUUUUAUGUAUUAUUUAUAUUUAAAAGUUUUGAAUAAGAGUUUUACAGAAAAGGAAAAACACAAUUUCAAAUAACACAAAUUUCUCGUUUUUGGUUCUUAAAAUAAAUGAAUUUUUUACUUAUUUGUGAACUGAAAUGCCUCUAAAAAAAUAAUGAUAGUUUGAAGAAUUUGAUAGAAAUUAAAAAAUAUCCUCAAAUUACUUGGAAUUGAAGACCACAUAGGCAAAAACACCAUUUUGGACAAAGGCUGGUGAUAAUAGUCGAUAUCAUCUUUAAGUACUUUAAUAUGAUAUGUUUCUUAUUAUAGUGUCCCAUGUUAAGUGUUUCAGCAUUGUUUGUGGUGUGUACACAAAUUUUCUUAUAAAAUGUUUUAAUGCUUCUCACAUGUAUAUCAGAUAUAGACAGUUGAUGUGACUUAGAAAUCAAAUUGUCAAUAAAGCAAAAAAAUAUAAUUGGUGAUCGAGGUCCAAUUUAAUAGAAAAUAGUCUUAACUUGUAUAUUAGAGGUCUCAUAUUCGAAUCCUCACUGCAUUAUUAUUGUAUGCGUACAUGAGAAAUCCUCUUUCCUAAUAAUUUAGACUAUCACUUAUACUAAAAUAUAUAUAUAAUGACUUUUACGAAUGCAAACAUAAAAUUACACCAAACAAUAAUGGAAUAGAAAGAUGGAAGUUUUUUUUUUUUUUCCUACGUCUAAAGUAUACUUUAUACAGUCCCGAUCUCUUGGACCACAGGAGUCCAAGAGAUUGUGGUCACCCACCGUUGGAUAUUAAUCCAAUGGUUCAAAAUGAUAUAUAUAAAUGCAAUAUGACAUAAAUGAUUAUUACCCGAUCCAAGUCAACCGUUGAAUUUACAUUCAACGGUGGGUGACCAUAAAUCUCUUGGACUACAGGGGUCCAAGAGAUCAGGACUGAUACUUUAUAUAUAUAUAUAUAUAUAUUUAUUUAUUAUGGGAGUUAUAACUGUUUAGUUUUCAGUUUUUAUUUUCUAUUUAUUGUUUUAAUUUUUAUGGUUUAAUGUGUAUGGAGAUUACAAAUAUUGGAUGUCUAUAAAGGGCCACUCCUCCUUCACAUCUGAAACAAACUACCAUCUCAUUUCUGUAUUUUCAUACUUUCAUAUAUUUUCUACUGUCCAGAUUAUUAUUUUUGGGCAACGGUUCUGUGACUUGGAGAUUUCUAUCCGAUUGUUAACAUGCUCAUAGCGGACCUUGAGCUUGCGUAUUAGGGAUCGUAUCUUGGAGCCUUGUAGACCUUUAUUACCUGCAUGUAGGGAGGGUACAAAUGCUUUAGGUCAGCGUCUUCGACGUACUUUUGCUUUCUUAUUUCUUCGUUUCUUUAUUUUUGCUUUACUUUUAAAUCUUUAUUUUAUGUAUUAUUUAUAUUUAAAAGUUUGAAUAAGAGUUUUACAGAAAAGGAAAAAUACAAUUUCAAAUAACACAAAUUUCUCGUUUUUUGUUCUUAAAAAAGAAGAAGCAUUGAUUGGGGAGUUAUGGUAAACUCAAUUUCAAUGGUUGCGAUGAGAGGCGGUGGCGGCGAGGAGAGGACGAAGGCUUUGCUGCCGACGGGGUGGUGUGGGUGGGUGGAGACCUCGGCUGGCUGCUUGGUCCUGGGUUCUCCUUUAAUUCUCUGUUUUCUUUUUUCUUUUUCUUUUUCUCUUAGAGUUAUUGAUGUUAAGUGAAUGGACAGAUGCCAAAAUAGGGACAGAAGUAGGGGUGGGCAUCAAUCCGGCCGAUCCGGUCAAUCCGGCCGAACCGAUUAUAUUGGAUUGGUUUGGUUUGGUUUUGACCAAAGAAAAAGUCAACAUUUUGAAAAACCGAACCGAACCGGUUUGGUUUGGUUCAGCUGUGGUUUGAGAGUUUUAAAAACUGUCCUAAACCGAACCGGACCGAUUAUAAAUCAAUUUAUUAUUUAUUUAAUUUAGUUUACAUGUGGCAAGGUUUGUGUGCGUUUUGUGAGUCCGCGUAUCUGAAUGUUGGUGCACGUUUUGAUCUUCUAAUUUGCAUAUCCCAGUUAUUUGUGUGUGCUUGUAUUUCCCUCUCUUUCUAUCUCUACUAUGUGUGUUUGCUCUUUGUGUUGUGUGGCUCUUCUUACUCUAUCUAUCUUAAUUAAUGGGUCCAUUUCAUAAUUUCAUACGCAUUCAAACUCCACCUCUGUGAUAAAAACAUUUACCUCUUUGUGAUAAAAGCUUUUCAUUUGUUUGUAUUUCUCUUUGGCUUUUUGACUCACUCACUGUCUUUCUUUCUUUUAAUGCUACUUGUGAUGAAUGCAAUGAGUAAAUUUAAUGCUACUUGGUUAAUGCAAAUUUUGUAUAUGUUUGUUUUGAUGGAAAUUGUGAACUUAGAUGCAUGCUAGACAUUGGACAACCUUUGAAUAAAUGGAAUGAUGUUGUAUUAGCCUUUGAUGGAAUGAAAUGAAAUGAUAUAAUGGCAAAAUGUUAGCAUUAUAAUGUAAGAGCAGGUUGAAAAAUGCAUGGUUUUGUGUUAGGCACAAACCGGCCGAACCAAUCCGAACCAAACCGAUUACAAGUGGUUUGGAUUGGUUCGGUUUCCAUUAUGAUUUUAGGCUAAUCCGAACCAAACCGGACCGUUAUUUUCUUAUUGGUUCAGCUGUGGUUUGAGAGUAAAACCGAACCAAUCCGGACCGUGCCCACCCCUAGACAGAAGAUGUGAACCCAAUUAUAUACAGCUGAUUACAUAAAGUAACAAAUUAAUUAAUACUUGAGUGGAGGACAGGCUUGAGUGGAAGAAUUGAUUAAGGCUUGAGUGGAAGACCAACUUCAGUGGAGGAAAGUAUAGAUAAGGAAAGCAUGCCUCGUUUAACGGCUUUAUCUAAUAAAGAUUAGUUGUUGGCACUUGGAGUUUCUUAGGAAUGCUGGUUUUGUUUCCUUGGUGGACUUGAAAGGUGGUGCGUUGGCUCGGACAUCUCCCUAGUAAUUAAUCGAAGGUGGAAUCUUACAAGACAUACAGCUGCUCAUUAGCUGAAUAUCUCGCUCUCUUUAAAGAGAUCGAAGCAAACUGCAAUUUGCAAUUUGUGUGAUUCAAGCAUGAAUAUCUGAUAUAGUAACUAUACCAUUUGUUGGUUUGAUAAGAAAAGUUUGGUUAGCGAGGAUGAAACCAUAAAGUUCUCCAAAACACACAAAAAACACGAACAAUUGCUAAGUUUAUUCUUGAGUUCACACAUAUUUGUACAAAUGAGAUUACUCCAAGCAUGACUAUACCAUUUGUUGGUUUGAUAUGAAAAGUACGGGCAACGAGGAUAAAACCAUACAAACACACACAAAGAACGUGGACAAUAUACUAAGUUUAUCUUUGCGUUAUUGAUCCGACCUAACUGUAAAAUAAAAAAGAUAAAAAUAUAUAAUGUUCACUACUUAGAUCUAUGAGCACUAAAGUCCUCCUUUUGAAAUUGCACAAAACAUCACUUUUGGUCUUUGGUAAAUUUUUAAAAUAAAUGAAUUUUUUACUUAUUUGUGAACUGAAAUGCCUCUAAAAAAAUAAUGAUAGUUUGAAGAAUUUGAUAGAAAUAAAAAAAUAUCCUCAAAUUACUUGGAAUUGAAGACCACAUAGGCAAAAACACCAAAUUGCAACCUCACUUUAAUGAUAAAAAUGGUAAACUACAAAGACAAAAAUGACGUUUUGCCUUAUACAUAAUUGGAAUUUGCUGGUGAUAAUAGUCUACCAUCUUUUGUCGAUUUGCUGGUGAUAAUAGUCUAUCAUCUUUUGUCGGUCCGACCUAAAAAGAAGAAAAAGUUGAUGGCAUCUUGUACCAUUUUUGCCAAUGUGGGCCCAAACAAUUUGAAGAAGUCCACCGGCAAUUUCUCAAAAGCUAUUGUGUGAGUGUGAAGCUAAACCAAUAUUAUUUUGCAUAUACGACUCCACAUCCCCAUGUGAUGUGAGGCUACAAAAGUGUUUCCAAAACGAAAUAUGAUAUUUCAAAACGAAGCUAUGUAUAGAGUCAUUUGUAUUUGCUUUCACAAUAACAUUUGAUUUGUGAAAGCAUUUUAUAUUUAUACAUUCUGAUAUUCUAACAAAUAAAUUGACUAAAUUUGGCCAACAGGAUUUAGCCGAAUAGAAAAGUCCUUAUUUAUAGACUAGUGGUUUCAAAUUUAAAGUUUAGACUAUCGCAUGUAUUUAAAAAAAAAAAAACAAUUGGCUUAAUUUGAUAUAUUUCCUUUUUUUCCUUUUUCAUUUUAUACUGGGUGCCGUUAUUAAGUUUUAUCCUUAUUUUUUGUUGAAAAGAAAAUUGAAAAAAAAUAAUAAUUCCUACAGCUAGCAACUUCUCCACCUUCCCUUCUUCGCAACUAGGGAUGCCAUUGCAAGGUCACCAUCUCAGAUUAAGUCCUCCUUUUAAAAUUGUGUCGUUAUUCAGAAUUGGAAUAUAAUCCUGUACCACUUUGGCCACUUUUGAAGAUGUUCACCGACAAUUUCUCAAAAGCUAUUAAGCUGUACAUCCACAAUAUUAUUGCAUCCAUCCCCAUGUGAGGCUACAGAAAAAUUUUGAAAACGAAACUGGAUAUUUUAUCUCUAACAACAGCUUUCAUACUUCGUUUACCCUGUGUUUCCAAGUUGUGCUAGCUAUUUGCAAACCUUGGAAUAUUACUUCAUCCAAAUCCCUUGCAGAGAAGAGCAAGAUAUGGCUUUGAUCGGAGAAGCCCUCAUCUCCGCUACCAUCCAGACGUUUUGUGACAAAAUUGCUUCGCCUGAGUUCACCGACUUAUUUCGGCAGAAAAAGCUCGAUGAACAACUCCUCAACAAGCUGAAGACGACGCUGUUGACCUUGUCCGUAGUGCUUAAUGAUGCAGAGGAGAAGCAAAUUAAGGAACCUUUAGUGAGAGACUGGCUUGACAAUCUCAGACAUAAUGUCUUGGCUGCGGAGGACUUACUGGAUGAGAUCGACACUGAAGCUUUGCGAUGCAAGCUGGAAGAAGGUGAAGGUCAAACCCACAAUUUAACCAAGAAGGUACGUGAUUUUUAUCAACGCAUGAAUGUUGAGAUGAAAGAUUUAUUAGAAAGAUUAGAACAAUUUGUACAAGAGAAAAGUGCUCUUGGUUUGAGAGAAGGUGCUGGGAGGAAGGUUUCACAAAGAAGAACAACUUCCUUGGUUCAUGAACCUUGUGUCUAUGGUAGAGAUGAAGUCAAAGAAAAUCUGUUACAAAGAAGAGGAUUUGCCGUCAUCUCUUUCUCAUCUGAGUAUCUCGCGGUGUCCUGCCCUGGAGAAAAGGUAUAAGAAUAAGACGGGACAAGAUUGGGCAAAGAUAUCUCACAUUCCUUGCAUCAAGAUAGGAUACGAACUGAUCAUAUAAUAUGAGCUAUUCCAUAUUUCACUCUCAACCCUCAACUCUCAAAUCAAAGUCAGGUGAGGUAUGUGCCUUCUCUUACUUUAAAAAACUGCUUCUCUUCUUCUAAUUGAAUACAAAAACCAAAACACAUAUUCUCUUUCUCUUCCAAAAACCCAAAUACAUGUUGAACAUUGCCAAAUUUGAUCUCCAAAUUCCUAAUUAUUUCACGCUUUUUGUUAUUUUGUUGCUUAGUAAAUUAUGGUUGCUGGUCACAAAUUAUAGUCUGUUAAUAGGUUCAUGCCAUGAAUUAAUCUUUGGACUUUCCCAGGUACUGCAGGUUUGUUAUUAAUGUUGUGGCCUGAUAUUCGUCGUAUCAAUAGGUUGUCUUACGUUGAGGAGAGAGAUCGAUCAGCAAUUACAAAAUUGUUAGUGAAUUUAGCUUGUUUAUCAUCUCUCUCCUUUUGUUUGUUAAGUUUGGUUGUUCUAGGUUAAACCCUUGUCCCCGCAUUUCACAGCAACUCUAUGUUAUUCCACUCUGUUUAGUUUCAUUUAUGUUGUGAUUCGACUGCUGCUGUAUUUUAGAUUUCGUUCAUGUAAUGCUAGGAUGUUUAAUCUCUUAUCUGUGGUGGUAGUUGAGUAGUCUAGCUAAUCCAAUGAUAACUUGUCCCCUGUUUUGUAUUGUUUUUAUUUCUCUGGUAAUGAAAGCACGUUUCUUAUAAAUAAAUAAAAAAUAUUUCAUUGAUAUUCAUUGCUUAUUUUGAACUGCAGAAGCCUACUUUUGUCAGAGUCAGUAGAUGCCAGAAUGAAGUCAUUGCCUAAACACAUUGGCACCCUCACAGCCUUCGACAUUUUGGGAUAUAUGAUCUUCAAAAUCUUGUGUCAUUUGCCUCCCAACCUGCAAUAUUUUCAUAUUUUAAAUUGUGACAGACUGAGCCCUUUGGUGGGAGAUUACUGGGGUUUGCAAGGACUUGGUGGCAAUAUCUUGUAGACGUUUCUCAAGGAACAGCUGCUCAAUACCACUCUUCACACUCUAUAUAUUAUGGCCUGUCAGUCUAUAAUUCCUGCCAGGAGAGGAACUUGAACGCCUCUCUUCGCUGCAAAGGCUACAUAUUUGUGGGUGUGACAAUAUCCAAUUCCUGCCAGAAGAGUGUUUGCUGCCAUCUCUUUCUUAUCUGUGCAUCAACCAUUGUUUUGCCAUGUAGAAAAGGUAUCUCACAUUCCUUGCGUCAAGAUAGGCGAAGAAGUGAUCAUAAGAUAUGAGCUCUCUCUCCCUCUCGCUCACAUACAAUGUACUUAACACAAACACUCAAUCUGAUUUCUAUUAUUAUUUUGCUCAGUAAAUUUUGUUUAAAUUUGCUUUAUUUCUCAUUGCACUUGUUCUGCUGAUCACAACUUAUAUCCUAUUUAAAUCUCAAAUGCUGAAUAAUGAGCAGUCUUUUCGCAGGACAACAUAUCUUCUCUUGGAGAGCUAUUCAUUUGCAAGGUUUCUUUAUGGGUCAUUUCCAGAGGAGGGUUUACUAUUUAAUAGAAAGGUUCACCUGGAAUAUCUCAACUGACACAUUCCCAAAUACAGGCAUUGAAUGCACAACAUUUUGAGGUACUAUUUUUGUAAUAAAAAUGUACUUGAGUCUCAUUUGAGCUAGUUUAAAUUGUAUUCAAUGUCUAUGGAUAACCUGUGAGCUUAAGUUGUAAGAUAAAACUCACAGUAUAUUAUUAGGGUUUAGGGUUCAACUGUUCAACAGGUGAGCUUAAGUUGUACUUUCCUAGGUACUGCAUGUAUAUAAUCUUAGUAUCAACACUUGGUCUUAUGUGGACAAGAGAGAACAUUUGAGGAAUUACAAAAUCUUCUUAGUGAAUUAAUGUUGUUUCAGCUCUGUUUGUCAUCCCUCACAUUUUCUUUGUUAAGCCUUGAUUUUUUAUUAGACAUAAGAAAAAAUGCUUUUAUAAGACAGGAGAUGAAUGCUUUUAUAUGUUGAUGUCGUAGUCAGUCUUCAACCACACUCUGUUUUUAGAAUUCAUUUAUGUUACUAGUUGAGUGCUGCUGUAUUUUAUAUUUCGUUCCUGUAAUGUUUGGAUGUUUAGCUUGAGCAGUCUAGCUUAUCCAGUAGAUAACUUGUUCCCUGUUUUGUAAUGUUUUUGUUUCCUCUAAUGAAAGCAGGUUUUACUUAUCUUGAACUGCAGAAGCCUACUUUUUGACAUAGGUGGCAUGGCACAAACUCGCAUCCGCAUUUCCUUCCCCAUUGGCAUGCUGUCUCAUCUUUUGUAUUCUGUUACCAGCUUGAAGCUUGUGUAGACAUGUUAUGCUCUUGUAAUUCUGAUCACAAACAUCACUUGACAAAUGGAAAGUCACAAUCAGAUCUUUCAGGUGAUCGGGAGGUUUACUUUCUAACAUUUGUUUUCAUUGGGGGGAGGACAACAAUACAGAAUUUAAAAUUUCUGAUAAUCAAUAGUAGUUUGCAUAUAUCAGCUGGGACCUGUAUGACUGUAUUAUGUAAUUAAUUAUUUCUCUUAUUGUUUUGGUACUGUUAAAAGGAGUUAGCCACAAAAUAAAAAAGGAGGCCUCUUAUUUCAUACAAUUUUUCAAAAGUGAUCAUUCAUCCGUUUCUUUUUCAACAAUAGAGGAAUGUAUACUAAUCGUCUGGUCCAUCUGCUGCUUCACUCCCUAGUAGCUUCAUCUCCUGUCCUUUGCUUUAUUUCUGUUGAUGAAUGUUUUGUCUGGGUUAUUUAUUUUCAUUUCAUGUCCAUUGCUUCAUUUCUGUUUGGAUUCUGUCCUGGACUUGAACAAGGGUUAGGUUAGCUGUAUAAUUUGCGGUUUUAUAUACACAACUGUCUACAUUGAUUAAAACCAGCAUUAUUCUAAGGUUCAUUUAGAAUGUAUUAUCACCAAAAUUAUAAAGUAUACUUCUAUUACAAUUAAUUUGUUGAUUCUAAUUUGGACUUGUAGGAACAGACCAAACAUGUUCAUACGUGGCAUUGCUCAAGUCAUCAUCAUUCGGGACAGAGAAUAAGCCUUCAAAUGUCUGCUGAGUCAAUGAACCUUUCUAGAUAUCUCAAGUGUAGUGGAAAUUGAUGAGUUACAAAGGAUUUUUAAACAUUUUCUACUGGAGGCUAGAAAUGCUUCAAAUAAAUGACUGUGUUGCAAUUAUUUUGUAGGAUCAAAGACUCUGCAAAGAGGUAAGAAAGUCAUCAUCAAGUAACUUUGCUCUUCAAACUUUUUAAUUUUAUUUUUAAAUAUCAGUAAUAACUGGGAAAGUUUGCAUUUCCUUAAAUUGCUCAUUCUUACAUCUUUUAUAGUUUGUUGAUCUUGGGCAAGUGGAGAGAGAGGCGUCAAGUGAUACACAACAACCAUUUUCUGUGAGCUGAUUUGAUAAAGAGAAAUGGUAUGCUUUCUUGUCUUAAGCGGUGUGUUCUGCAAUUAUUUGAAACAAAGGAUGCCGCACUUCAAGUUCGAGAAAAUCAGGUAUUUUAGUAUUUUAUUCUGGAGAAAUUUGAUUUAUGUAGAAACUUGAACAUGUAAAUGAGAGAAAAAAAAAUUUAUAUAUAUAUAUAUUAUAUUGUAUAUGCUCUUAAUGAGUUAAUAUGGUGCUUGCUCCUGGUUGGAAAUUUAUGUAGUCAUCUACCUAUGAUCAAAUAAAGAUGAAAAAUAAAAUAAAAUUGAGAGCAUCUUCCUCUCCCCUGCUUUGCUCAUCCCUUGUUCUUCCACUUCAGCCCCACUAUUACACCAUUUUUUCAGCCACAAUUAUAAUAGCUCCAUGAGCAUUAAGUCCUUUUCAAAUUCUGCUGACAUUCAAAAUUGGAAUUGCUGGUGAUAUAUGAUAGCAUCCUUGUCCGACCAAAAAGAAAAAAAAAAAAAGUUGAUAGCAUAUUGUACCAUUUUGGCCAGUGUACGCAAUAUUAUUGCAUCCAACUUUGCAUAUUAACAUCAGUGGCCACAGUUCCAUGAUUUGAGUGCACAGAAAGGUUUCAAAAGUUGUCCCACAAAGAACAGUCGUUCAAAGUGAAAGAGAGUUUUCAAAGCUUAGUUACAAGUUCAUGUUAUUUACAAUAUCAAAAAGCUUUCAUACUUGCUUACAAACCUGUAUUUCCAAGUUCUGCAAACCUUGGAAUAUCACUUCAUCCAAAUCCCCUUCCAAAGCAGGAAAAAUGGCAGCAGCUUUGAUUGGAGAGGCUCUCAUCUCUGCUUCUAUCGAGUUGUUGUGUGACAGAGUUACUUCAGCCGAGUUCAUAGACUUAUUUCAGCAGAAGAAACUUGAUGAAACACUCCUCAUGAACCUGAAGACGACACUGUUGAUUUUGUUUGCGGUGCUCAAUGAUUCAGAGGAGAAGCAAAUUGUGAACCCUGCUGUGAGAGAGUGGCUUAACAGCUCAAGCAUGCUGUCUUUGAUGCAGAGGACUUACUUGAUGAGAUUGACACUGAAGCUUUGCGAUGCAAGCUGGAAGGUGAGGAUGAAACCCACAAUAAUUAACCAAAAAGGAUCUUUUUGAUUGUUUGAAAGGAGGGUCUUGAUGAUUUGAAAGGAGAGGGUUGCUUUAUUUCUGUUGGAUGCUUAAUUAAAUCUUAUUUGGAGUUGAACAAGGAUUAGGUUAGCUGUAUAAUUAGUGGUAAACGCCUUUUUCUAAGGGUCAUUUAGACUCAUAUUACGAUUAAUUUGUUGUUUCUAAUUUGGACUUGUAGGAACAGACCAAAUAUGUUCACACGUGGCAUCGCUCAAGUCAUCAUCAUUUCAGACUGAAAAUCAGCCUUCAAGUGUCUGUUGAGUCAAUAAAACUUUCUAGAUAUAUCAAGUGCAAUGGAAAUUCAUGAGUUACAUAGAGAUUUGUAAACAUUUUGAAGAUUGCAACACCUGCAAGUGAGAUAGGCGGUGACGAAAUCAGAGAUGAAGCCUCUGAUGCCCCUGUUGUUGCAAGUUGCACCUGAGAACAUGUUUUUUUUUCUUCUUUGGGGUAAAAAACUGGCAACAUGUUCGGAGCUGACAAUUCAAUCCCUGAUGAACUAGAGAAGCAAAGCUCCGGUAAGGAAAUUGGUCAAGGUUGUGACAGGGAUGAUUGAUGGUGAAAUGGAUGCUAUUUCUUAUUGCAGCCUGUUCUUAAAGUUCUUGUUGGCAAAUGCAAGAGAUGGAGUAUUUUGAUUGGGAGGAGAGAUAAUGACAUGGCUUGACAAUUCUAGAACAGCCCAUCAUUAAUCCCAGAAAAAAUCCAGUUUCUGCUAAACAAUCACUUAUGGCAAGGCCAACUCUGUAAAUGGAAUUUGUGAUCCCUUCAAAUUGUACACAUUUUUUCUUUUUGAGGAAUUUAAUCAAACAGUAUUCUAAUGCAUUAUGAUGGCACUACACGCUUUUGUUGUAACAAAUUACAAGGAGGAAUUUGGAUUGAGUUUCUUGUAUAAGCACACCUUACACAAAUUUCGUAUAUUUUCUUCCAGCAAGUCUGUCUAUUAAACCCCUUAUUUGAAAUUAAUUGUUAUAAGUUUUGAUUCAUCUUUAAUCAGUGUCUUCCCCUUGUUGAAUAACACUCCUCUUUCUAAUUUAUAUUUGAAGUUUGAGGUUUCAAUUUCAAUUGUGGGUUUUGAUUUUACAGAUUUUGUUUGUCAAUUUCAGUUUGGACAAAGCAUAUGCAAUCAAAGUAAGCAUUUUAUGUUAUACUUUUGAACUAGGUGUUGAUUUGAUUUAAUCAUAAGUUUUGCUGGUGCAUUUACUAGGCUAAUCAUUCAAUACUUUUGAUCAUAGAACUUCUUUGGUUGAUAUUAUCUUUGUUAAGUUUAACCAUAACUUUAGAGAGGGGACUUAACAGAUUUAUAAUCUCAUCAUUAUAGUAUUAAAAAUUAGAGAUUAUUUAAGGCAUUGUCUAUUAUCUGAAUUCUGCUUACUUUUAGUUCAUAUGUUUACAUCUUAGCAUAUUCAUGUGAUUAGUGCGGCUCAUACCACAAAGGCAAUUUUAGGCUCAUCAAGUGCUAAGCAAUGUCAAGCUUCCAAGUGACAAGUUCUCUACAUAGUUUGAGACCUACACUUACUAGAUAUUAGAUCAUUUGGAUCAUUUCCAUAUGUGUAUAUGUAAUUGACAUGUUAUAACAUUUUUGUAGCGUUAUAUAAUUAUUUAGCAAUUUAAUUAUUUCUUUGCAACUUUAUUUUUUUUGUCAGUCAUACUAUUGUUGACUGCUAAAAACCAUCAAGAAAUAGUUCUUAAGUUAUAAAAAAAAAUUAUAAAAAAAAAGAUUUGUUGAUGCUUAAAAAGCAUCAAGAACAGAUAGUUUCUUGACGGUUUUGUGACGUUUCAUAACUGUAAGGGGCUUUUUCUUUCGACAGCUGUAAAUGGGCUGGGCUGCCGUAAAGGUCAAGACUGAUGAAAUUGUCCCUUUUUGUCUGAGCUCGAAAAUUAUGCCCCAAAAUACUUUGAAAGGGCAGCAGAGCCUUAGGAAGUAUUUUGGUUACCCUCACCAACUAAAACAACAACAACUUACAGGUAAUUUCUUAAUGCUUACAGAUGAACUCUUGUGCUUGGCAUGAGUGACAUGUGGCAUGGAAGCAAAAUCAACAUGAGUUUAGCACUGAGGCGAAAUUUAGGCUCUCUUGGGGGAAAAAGGGAAGUGUUAAGGUGAGAGAGGAGAAGUUUGUAGGAGAUUUAGCUAAGAAAGGAGAAAUAUAGAACAAUGCUCUUCUGGCAACUUGACAGAUGCUCUGUCUGCCAAAAAAGGAAGAUGGAGAAGAAAUGUGAAUAGUGCACGAAUUUGCUAGAUUUUUGCAGGUAAGAGAGGAAGCUUGCCCUAUGGGUCUGAGUUGAGUUUUGUUGGGUGGAAGAGACCUCAUUUUAUAGCCCCUGGAAACCAUCACUUCCCAAGAAACCCUAAUGGCUUCUACCUAUUUUGGCCAAGCUUUUCCCUUCCUUUCUCAUUUCCUUCCUUGAGUUUACCCCUUUUGAUGAAAUCCCAUCUGCCUAUUUGCACCAGAUCAAAGUUUUUUGAAGCUCAAGGCCCCCAUUUUCUUGCAGUUGUCUCAAUGGGAGACUUCCAUUCCCAGUCAUUCUCCUUUAUUGCUUUCCUUUCUUUUUUUCAUGGCCUAGUCUGGUGGGGAAAGGAGUUGGGAUAUAUAUGCUGGUUUGAAGGGUGCUUCUCUUCCUGACAUCUUACACACUAAUACCCCUUGGUUCCUUGAAUGUUUUGGCUUUGAAACUUGCUCCCCCCCUCCCCCCAUGUACUGGAACCUCCCAGCAGCUCUGUUCAAUGAAUUUUCAGACCUUUUCUUCAUGGCUUUUAUUUUUUUAUUAACUGGCUGGAGCUUUUGUGGCUCAUUGUGGCAAUUGUAUGGGCUAAGGUGGUUCAUUAAGUAAGUGAGCUAUUUUUAUUAAACAUUGGGCUUUUUGGUUGAGUCACUAGGCUAUUUUGAUUGGGCUAUUGGGCUAUUUUUUCCUUUCUUGUACUCACCCACAUGUUUGGACCAAAGAAAUGAGCUUGAGUCCUGAGGCUCCCAAGCGACCCGAGACUUUCCAUUUCUCGGCCCAUCAAUGGGCCUCAUGUUGAUUUAUUACCAUCCAUACCACAACCCACUCAAGCAAGCCCCGGGCAUUUGAGUGGCUUGGGCCCACUUAGGCUUGUAGUGUGGUUGGGUGCGAAAUGACGAUUUCGUGCUUGGCAUGUUUUAAUUUUAUCAUCCUUGGGAAAGGCUGCGAUGUUUGAUUUCGGCAUGGGCUUGUAGAGCUGGUAUGCUUUAUUUCAACUCUAGCAUGACGAAUUAUUUAUUUAGCAUGGCACGUGAAUUACAACUCGCAUGGGGUGGGUUUUUGUGUACUACACCUUACGCCUCUUCUUAAUAGAACAUCGUUUUGGGCUGAUAAUUUAUUCGGGCCCAACUGUGAAUUUUUUGGGUCUCAAUAAUAACCAUCAUAAAAUAUUACAUUUUGACUGACGUCAAGAAAUGGGGUAUCCCUUUCCUGAUAGUGGCAUCCAUGAUGCCUUCCAAGCCGUCAAUUAAGGGCUAUCGUGAUGCAUUUUAGUUGUCAGCAAAAGGUGUUUUUCUUGUAUUGUAUUCACUCAAAAUCAUGUUUCAUUUAAGACUAGUAGUAUGGUUGAAUACCAUUUGUUUUGUUAAAGAAUAUUAUACAUUAGGGAUUUUUGUAGAAAUGUCAUUUGAACUUAUACCUUAGUUUCAAUUUGUUACCUUGAAGAAAAAUUUAAGAGAAAUGUCACCUUAAUUUUUAAAAAUCCAUGAUUUGUUAUAUGACUUUAAGAUCAUCCAAUUUUCCAUCCAUUUUAAGGGGAUUUUAGUCUUUUCAUUUUCAAGGAAAAAAAAGAGAUGAAAAAAGAGACAUCUCUCUUACUUUGUUGCCCAACCCAACCCAACCCCACCCGCCCCCCAAAACCACAUAGGAUUGCCUCCCCUUUCCCCACUUUUCUUUUUUCUUUUUGUCCUACUUUUCCACUGUGUUUAUGUUGAAGGAUCUAAAGUUUGCUUGGUCACCAUCUGUUACGUAGGCUUCCCAAUUGUUGGUUUGGGUGGGUUGUGGGAAUUUGUGUGUGGAGGGCAAGACCCUAUCUGACAGGACCUGCCUCGAAUUCCUCGAAACCCGAGACGAAUCUUGUGGAAUUCCCGACAUUACACCGAUGUCGGGCCCACUUAUGAACUAAAUCCUCCUUUCCAAAAUUAAGGAAAAAGAGUACGAGGCUUUCUGCCGAAAUUGCGGCAGUGUCUUCCUUAUAAAUUUAACAUUUCAGCUUUGGUGGCCAUUCUCUCAUUUUAGCUUUGGUGGCCGGAUGAGAGAACGGCCGGCUAAAACGUGGCCAACUGGCAUUGCCGUCGCGAGAGAGGAGAGAGAGAGAGAGAUUUUUAUCAAACCAUUUUUGCCAAAAUUACGAUUAUGCAACUGAGGGUAUUUUGAUCGUAUCUUUUUUGUUAUAACUCCGAUUCAAGCUCACUACAUGCCUAUGGAUUCAUCUCGCCGUGCUUUAUGCAAUUGUAUAGUUGAAAUUCCCAAAUUCCAUCCCAGUCAAAAGUCAACUUUAAACCCUAUAAAAUAUUCUAGGGGAAGAAUGGUCUUUUAUCUAAUUAAAUUAAUAAUUGAAAAUUUAUUUAGGAUCGGGUCGUUACACUGUCGUUGAUGGACUGUGCGAUGACACUCACACAAAGUCCUUGAGAAUAAAACACACACACACCGUGAAGAGAGUAAAACAAAUACACAAGUACACAAAGAUUUAUAAAGGUUUGGCCUCCUGCCUACGUCCUUUUGGUGAUCCACCCGAGAAAUUCACUAGUAUGUAAGAACAACUUUGGUUACAACUAAACCCCCUUAGCUUUCAUAAGAACCCUAGAUCUCUUUUCUCCCACCCUUGCUCCAACCCUUUGAUGCCCUUGUAAACACUCAAGAAUUCACCCUUGAAUUCUGUCAUGUGUUACAUCUUCUCUUCUCCCCUUUGUUAACCUAACCCUAAAAGUUAUAUUUAUAAUUCAUAGGACUUUAAGUACAAGUUAACUAGGAAUAGGAAACAUAAAAGACCCCCAAAAUUGGAGAAAAUAUGUCUAGAUCUCGUUAGGAAAUUGCACAACACGUGCGAUCCGCUCGAGCGCCUGCAAAAUCAUCCCUUUGCCGCUCGAUCUGCCGAUAGCUCAUGGGAUGGGGGAAUUAGAGAUUUUUUUUUUUUCAAUUUUAAUUGUUUAAAAGAUAUACAAUUUUUUAAUAAUAAUUUUUCCAUUUUUAAAAUACCCUUGAAAAUAGAAAGAUUAAAAUGCCCUUAAAAAUGGAUGGAAAAUUGGAUGGUGUUAAGAUCAGAUGACAAAUCAUGGAUUUUGAAAAAUUAAGGUAACAUUUCUCUUAAAUUUUUCUUUAAAGUGACAAAUUGAAAUUGAGGUAUAAGUUCAAGUUACAUUUCUGCAAAAAUCCUUAUACAUUAUGAUAUUCUAACAAUAAAAUUGGCUAAAAUUGAUAUGUUCCCUCUUUUAUUUUCUUUUUCUCUUUUCCUUUUCAUUUUAUGAUCCAAUCCUUUUCAUAUAUUUUUGUUCAAGACUUUGUUUUAGAAUGCUCUAUUACUAAUUUGGUACAGGUCCCUAAAAUCUCAGAGCCGCCUUAGUACAUUCAUAACGUACAUGUUCAGAGUUCAAGAAUAAUGUAUAGAAUGUGAAAUUGACGAUGCCGGCCUUUAUGAGGCAACGUCUUUAUUUCUUUGGUUAUUCCAGUUUAGAAUAUUUGCACAAAUGAGAUGACUCCAAGCAUAAAGUCACAUUCGACCAAAAAGCAUGAAGUCACACACAAAAAGAACACGGACAAUUGCUAAGUUUAUCCUUGUACCCUUAUUAUCCGACCCAAUUGAAAAAUAAAAAAAGAUGAUAAAAAAUAUUGUUCACUGCUUUAAAAUCUAUGAGUAGAGUCCUCCAUUUGAAAUUUCGUCAUUAUACAAAAUUGGAAUGAAAAAAGAAAAUCCUACAGCUAAAUUUGAUAUAUUUCCUUUUCAUUUUAUGCUGGGUGUUAGGGCUCGUCAAUGGGCCGGGCCAGGCUAGCCCGGCCCAAAUUUAAUGGGCUUGGGCCAGGCUGGGCCAGGCUUUAAAGAGGAGAGAGAAAAUAUCAGGCCGAGUUUUUUAAGAAAAUUCAAAGCCCAAGCCCGACCCAUGAGCCCGGCUUGAGAAAGCCCAUCGGGCCGGCCCGGGCCUAAACAGGCCCUACUUCGUUAAAAAAAAAUCAUAAACUUAAUCAUAAGGUCAUUUUAGUCCAAAUUUGAGAUUAAACUCACUUAAUUCCAAUAUUUUCACUUCAAACCAAAUUCAUAAAACACCCAAUAAAGUCACACAGCUUGUAAGAUUUUCCACAAAAAUAAUAAAACCAAGUACUAUUUUUGAGGUUAUUACAUAAUUAGAUCGUAAUAUGUUUUAAGAAAUAAUUUUAAAAAAUAAUAUUAAUAAGUAUCAAAAAAAUAAUUUUUUAAAGGAUGGUAUGAAUAAAUAUGCAAAUAUUUGGUGAUGUGUUCAAGAAAAGGAUGAUUAUAUUUGGUGGUACGAUUAUGUUUCGUGAUAUGAUUAUAAUUAGUGAUGUGAUAUGUUGUUCAUCUUAUAUAUAUAUAUAAUUGUUGAAUUAAUAAUUGACACAAAUUAAUGUGUUAAUCAUCCAAUUAUAAACUAGGAAUGAAUAAAGAAAAGUAAAUGAAAUGAAACAAAUUAUAUAUGUGAUUUAAGUGAUAUAAUCCUAAACCUAAACUCUUAUUUAUACAUAAUUAUAUAUGUAUGCGGGCCUAACGAGCCGGACUUUUGUGGGCGGGUAGGGCCGGGCUUUAUUGGGCUUAAUCGGGCUUUAUUGGACUUAAUCGGGCUGGGCCUAUAGGUCGGACCGAGCUUCAGACAUCCAAGCCCACGCCUAGCCUCGCCCGCCUUGGGCCGGGCCAUUCUUUUUUUGGGGUUCUAUUUCUCUUUGAAUUAACUGCUGAGUUUCAUGAACAUGUCCUCCUUUUGAAAUUGUGUAUUAUUCAAAAUUGGAAUUUGCUGGACAUACUUGAUAUUUUCGUGAGUAAAUUCUGAUUUGGUGGUUGUGCUCGUCACAAAUCAAUGAAAUGACAGCAGUGAUUUUGCAAGACAGCGUACCUUCUCUUGGGGUGCUUUUCAUUUUGCAACAUUUCUUUACGUGUAAUUUCCAGAGGAGGGUUUAUCAUUGUAUACAGCUCUUCGGGUGGUUUUUCUACAAAACAAAUGUCACAAAGAAGGAGGAGAAGCGGAAAAGAUUUACUUGGAAUGUCUCAAGUCUCCUUUGAGAUAAAGGCAUCGAAUGCACAACAUUGUUUUUGUGCUAUUUCAUAAUUAAAGUGUGCUUCCCAAGUCUCCUUUGUGUUUUGUAACUUGUAAUGUUUGUUUUUUUGUUUCCCAUGUUUUGUCUCUUAUAAAAGAAAGGCUUUUUAUCACAAAUGGUCCUUCAGGUUUACAAAAUUAUCACAAAUCGUCCUUCAAGUUUUUUUGUGACACUAAUAGUCCUUCAGGUUAUCAUUUACCCAUCAAAAUGGUCCUUCUGUCAGUUUCUGUCAAAACUGACGUUAAAUUCCUGUGCUCAGCCUGCUUUUGAAAUGAUAAUCUCAUCUUUUCCACUCAACCUUCAACCAAACUCAACUGUCAGAACCCUUUCCCUCCAUUUCCUCAUGGUCCUUCCAGUUUGGCGCCCCUGUAAUAUAUAACCAAUCUUAAAAAUUAAACUUCUGAAGAAAUUGAAACAAUCCAAGCUCAAGAGAAAGACCAACAAUUGAGAACUGCAGAGAAAGAUCAAACUCAUGGAUCAAUAUGGUAAAGCCAAAUUGAAAAACAUAAUUUGCUAAAGAUAAAGCCAAACUGAAAAACCAAACUGAAAAACAUAAAGAUAUCAUUGACAAAUAUAAAAAGUUAAAAAAUAUUGCACAAUCAAAAUACAACCACAUGUUUCACAAAACAAAACAAAACAACCACAUUUGCAGACAAGCUGUAGUUUACACUUUAACAAAGAUUAAAAAACUAACCUGUAUACUUUGGUUGUUUCCCCCCCUUUCGAAAGAACUCCUCGGACUCAUCCAUCUAGUCACUUUUGUAAGAAGAAUAAUGCGUAUUUGACUCUUACGAACCCAGAUAUUCCUUUUGCAGACCAGCUUUAUCAAUUAAAAACCCAAAAAACCUUAAUUGUGCAGGGCCCGAGGAUGAAAUGGAGGGAAAAGGUUAUAUAUGCGGUUUAGAGCGCCAAAAUGGAAGGCCCGAUGAAGAAAUGGAGGGAAAGGGUUAUUUCAGUUGGGUUUGGUCGAAGGUUGAGUGGAAUGAUGCGAUUAUCAUUUCAAAAGGCAGGCUGAGCACGCGACUUUAACGUCAGUUUUGACAGAAACUAACAGAAGGACUAUUUUGAUGGAUAGAUGUUAAACUAAAGGACUAUUAGUGACACAAAAAAACCUAAAGGAUGAUUUGUGAUAAUUUUGUAAACCUGAAGGACCAUUUGUGAUAAAAAGCCUAAAAGAAAUACAGGUCCAAACCACACGGAUCUACUUGCAUAAUAAUGGACCAAAUUUAUGAUUUUUAGAAAGAACCUUCUACUGGUGGAAUCUUGGGCUACUGUUGUGGCUCUCCUCUGUGUGCCUCCUUUUUAGAACGAUAAAAUAUUCAAAAUACCAGAAAAUGUUCAUGAUUAAUGCAAAUAUUAAGAAUUGAAAUUAUUAAUUAAAUGAAGAUAAUAUGGUAAAUUCACACUUUUUCAUAUUAAAAAAAUUAAAAUUAAAAGAAAUAUCAGAUAAUUACUCUUAUUUUUAUGGAACACAGCUACCCAUUAUCUUUUUUAAUUAUAAAAUAAAUUUAAAUUAAAAAAAAAAUCUCUCUCACAGACACGGAAGCGCGUGCUCAGAGGCUAGUUAAAAAUAAUGAACUUUGCUUUUGAAGACGUCUAUACCAGACCCACUCAACCUGCUUUAUGAUUAUGCAAAGAACAAACUCGUCCUUAGACUCAUUUGGUUAAACUUAGAAAAUAAUGAAACAAAAAUAUACACACCCACAAGUAACACAGCCAGGAUUGAAAACAACUGGAAAAAGAAAGGCAUGUCAAAACAAAAUUUUCAACAACUCAUCACCAUUAGACAAGAAAAAGAAAAAUCAAUACAGAAACAGAAAGAACAGAGAAUAAAUGUGGUGGAAGAAAAACGUUGAAGCCAUUUGUGAAUCCAACAACACUACCACUCUGUUUCUCUCCUUUUGUUCAGGCGGAUCUGCAUAUAUCCUAAGGCGUAUUACGGAAACAACUUCUUGCGGUUAUACUUGAAUGUUGUGGAUGCUUCAACGUUGCCAUCUGGGUGGAGUGGAUUUGUCCAAUUCACCUUCACUAUGGUUAAUCAACUAGACAGACAUAAGUCAGAAACAAUAGGUAUAUACGUCCAAAUUGUUGUUAUUUGAAAGGUUCUAAAUUUUAACAUUUUGUUGUAAAUGUGGAGAGAAAAAGUAGAGAAUUGGAAUAGAGAGGAGAGACUGAUUUUCUCAUUCAUAUGUUCAGAUGAAUGUCUUCAGUGUAUAUUUUACAAGUAGGGGGAGGUAUCUAUUUAUAGGCUAAGGUUUUGGUAAAAUACAGGGAAGGAAAGUUCCUGGAAGAUGCAAGGAAACUUCCUCUGUGGGCUCCACCUUCAAACUUUUACAACACUCCCCCUUGGAGACCACAAAUGAUAUGGAAUAUGCCUCGUUAAAAACCUUGCCAGUAAAAACCCAGUGGGACAAAAACUGGUCAAAGGGAAAAAGAGUACAUAAUGAUGUGUAACAUAAAAUUCUGUGUAUAUUGACGCGCGUGCGACACUGCCUCGUUAAAACCUUGCCAGGAAAAACCCAGUGGGAUGAAAACCUGGACGAAGGAAAAAGAGUACAGUGUUUGAAGAUCUUUAUUGAUAGCAUGCUCCCCCUGAUGCUUGGUAAAAUAUCUUUAAGUCAUACUGUUGAUCACCUUUCUGAAUAUCGUAGUUGACACUGCUGCUGUGAGUCAAUCUUGAGCGACACUGCCUCGUUAAAACCUUACCAGGAAAAACCCAGUGGGAUAAAAACCUGGAUGAAGGAAAAAGAGUACAGUGUAUGGAGGUCUUUAUGAAAAACCACGCUCCCCCUGAAAAAUAUCUCCCCCUAAAAAAUUUCAUGACUAGCUUUUCCAGUAUGCGACCAUAGAAAUUUUCAUAGUAUACUCUAAACCCUUGAGCGACACUGCCUCGUUAAAACCUUACCAGGUAAAACCCAAUGGGAUAAAAACCUGGAUGAAGGAAAAAGAGUACAGUGUGGAGCUGACCUCUAUCUGGUCUAGUAUACUUCCGGAAAAACAUUUAAGGUGUCCAACGGAUAAUCCUCAUAAAAAUGCUUCAAUACUUUCUUAGUAUAAGCAAGAAUCUCGUUGGCAUAAUGCUCGAUCUUUAAGUCGAGACAAAUAUUUCGUGACUUCUGCAGAAGCUUUAAUGUGUUGCAAACACAUUAUAAACAAUGUACUCACUGAGGUAAUUUAUGCAUAUUAAUAUUGAGUACAAAUUUUGUGCUUCAAGCACAUGUCCUUUAGGGACUUGCUUUAUGCAAUGUCAAUCCUCUCAACGGAUUUUGUUUAAAAGGGGAUUAAACUUUAUGACACAUUAUAUAGCUUUAACCCAGCUAUUUAUACAUCUUUAGGGAAUCACUUCAAGUGAUAUGCUCUGUGCAUUUAAUAACCCUUAAAGAUAACAUGUUGGUCUCCGUAAUUGUGCAGUAAGGGGGGAGGCACAAUUGAAUCUGUAAAUAUGGAAAAGACCCAACAUUCAUUGUUUCUGCCAGAAACAUUGUGUCAUACAAAGUAGGUAUAUUCCCUUUUAUUCCGAACACCCAAGUAUAAGUUUCAAUAUUAACAUCUUUUGGGGUUCGUACUGUGGGUUUGUUCUUUCACGUUCAUUCUCAUCUAUAAUGGAAUUACCUCUUUCCAUUUUGGCCAAUGAUAUUGUCGACAUCUAAUAAUUGAACGUGGUUCCAAUCAACACAGCCCAUUGAUGAUUUGAGUAGCUACUCCAAAACCAAAAAUUGUCAUUCAUCAAUUCAUUAUCCCACCAUUCUCAUGUGCAUGCGCAUGCAUCAAUUAUAAGCAUUUCUUUGCUUUUGGGUACCCAAGCCACUUCAGGGGGCUUUUAUUAUGUGAGAAUGUGGAUUAUAACCUCCAAUGGAGCGUUAUUUUGCAGUAGGGCGUGGAUAAUCUCCAUUUAGGGAGUUGGAACAUUUAGAACCCAUAUAUCUGUCAUGCUGCAGGCAUGCCACAGAUUAAUACAUACAUGUCAAUUAGUUUAUGGGACUUUAACCCAUAUGAUGGGACUUUAACCCAUGUAAUUUGCUACGCAUUCGGCGUGCAUAAUCUCAAUAUUGACAUGUCAAAGGAUUGUCCAUUCGGGACUUCAAUCCACAUCAUUUGCUACGCAAUAGGCGUGCAUCAUAUUGAUCACUGCUAUACCCAUAUUCUGUUCUUAUGGGACUUUAAUCUGUGCAAUGUAUUAUCAAUGUAUCCAACUUGCAAUCUGUAAAAUUUGCAUUAAUAAUACAUGGAUACAUACAAGCCAUUCUUUUGGGACGGACUUAUCUCCCCAUUUGGUUACCUUUCAAUAUAAAAUAUCAAAUAGGUAUAUAAGCAUAAAAUAACACAAGUAUUGCUUACAUCCUUAGGUGGGAGAAACUUUUCUCAAGUAUCGCUUGAUGAUCUUGUUAUAUCCUGCAAGAGCAAAAAUCACAAUUCCUUUCUCUGUCAAAAACAAAUAAGAGGAAUAGGUAGAACCGGUGAAUUUCAAAUUAACCAUAGGAAAAUUGCGAGAUUCUCGGGAUGCUUUUGAAAAAGUAGCUCCGUGAAAUCCGUAAAGCAAGAUUGGCUUUGAAAAUAAUACUUGAAAACGCCGAAAGUGCCGACAGGCAUUAUUAGAGGCCACGUGAAGUUUUGGACUUCUAGGAAAGAAAAAGAUAAUAUGGGGAUUCGAGAAGAUAUUGGGGUCUUGAAAAACAGUAGCCAUAUUUCCUCCUAUAGAUAUGGCCUUUGCAACAAUUGCGCACCUUCUUAAACUUGCACCUGUGGUUUUUACGCCUUUUCAAAAUGACGGUUUGGAACCUUGUGCCUUAUAGGUUCAAAUAACCACAUUGUUUCUCCCAAAUUUCAUAUUUUAUCGCAUGGUAGCCCGAAACUUUUGGCCUGGGCACAAAUUCAGAAUUUAUUUGCCCUUUUCAAAUGGACAUGAAAUAUGAAUUGAGUAAAAGCCAUGAUAAUAUCGCAAUAUAGUAGUGAAGAGCAUUAACUACUAUAUACCCACAACUUCAAGUUCAGGAUCUCUCAUAUAUUUGGAUCCAUGGGUUUCCGGCCCAGAUAUAACAAAAUAUGUGGGGAGCCUCAAUUCAUCAUUUGAGGUUCAUACUGAUAUUAUCCAUUUCACGGUGUAUUCUUGACAACCGGAAUUCACAAAAUAUAUUUCUUCCUUGAAGUGUCGAUUAUAACAAAAUCGAACUUUAAAUUCAUCAUCUUCUUAUGCCAAAGAAAUAUGUGGCAUACCACAAUUUGCAAUAAUACCUCAAGGGUUGUCCAUUUAAUUGUUGGAACUUCAGGUUCUCAACACUGUUAGAUUUUGAACUUCUGGCCAAAAUCACAUAUUCUCAUGGUAUGGACAUUCAAUCCCCUUAGAUUUUGAACUUCGGGCCAAAAUCACAUAUUCUCAUGGUAUGGACAUUUUUACAAUUUUCUGUACAUAUUUCUGGACUUCAAGCCCUUACAUAAUUGUCCAUAUUUUGAGGAACUUCUGGCAUCUCAUUUAAUUGCUCAUCCAUGAGUUUAAGGAACUGCAGGUUCCCUUUUGAAUGGUGAUGGUUUACCCAAAAUGGUAAAUACUUAUGCAUACAUCACUAUUCAUGUAUACGGCACUAUUUAUGUAUACAGUACAUUUGCCAGUACAGUUAUCAUCCAUGUGUACGGCAUUAUGAACAAAUACGGUACUGUUACAUCAUUAAGGAACCCCAUGUCCUUAUUUACAUGUCAGGGAUCAAGGACCCUCAAGUCCGAUCACAUGUUUACAAAUAUAGUACCGGAGAGACUGCCAGCUCUCAUAUUAACAUCAUCAUCAAGGAUCUUCAAGUCCUGAUGUAAUUGUAUGAUGAGGAUCAAAGAACUUCUGGUCCUGAUCUGUAUACUGUAAAAACUCAUCAUACAGCACAUUUAAUCCAUAGAAUAAAUUGCUGGUAAAUAAAUUACUGGUAUGGACGAUAAACUCGCACCAUACUUUAAAUAAAUAUUGCCUUACAUACACUUACAGCAUCAAUAAUUGAUAUCCAUCCAUGAUCCACCUGUAUAAAUGUAUAUAUAUAUAUGUAUAUAUAUAUAUAUUAUUUUUAUUUGGACUUAAACAGAAACAGGCAUUUUCUAUAGCUGUAAGUAUAAUUGUACCUGCCUACGCUGAAGAUUCCUUUCAUUGUUGCAGGAUGGUGGGCAUUCAGUUUAAAUAAAGCAAACACACACAUUUCAAAUUUUAAUUGAAUUUCAAAUUAGCAGUUUACUUACAUGCCCAUCCAUGACGUAAAAAGCAGAGACAAGUGAUUGUCUUUCGACAAUGACAUGAUAUCACAGUAGUGGGGAUAACGCUAUGAUAUUGGCCGAUCGGCUUCGCUGUAUCCCUGCACACCUUUAAUAAUUAUAUAAUAUUAAAAUAAUAUAAUUAUGUACCUGCACUAUAGACCUGCAUCUUAAGCUUCUUCCCUUUAUGGGGUCUGCCGCUUUGCCUUUUGUUUCCUUUGCUUUGCUUUCCACUGAAGCAAGUUGGCCAGCACCAAUAAUGCCGCCCACAAUGCAAAAAUCAAGUUGGCCAGCACCAAUAAUGCCGCCCACAAUGCAAAAAUCAAGUUGGCUACUUUUGCCUGUUGCUUUCUCAAUUUCCUCCACCCUUUCAUUGUCUUUUCUUCUUUCACUACUUCUCAUCUUCUGCCUCUCUCUUGCCUUUUUUUUUUCUUUUUUUUUUUUUGUAUUCGAUUUUCUGGCAAGCCUCCAAAGACAGCAACGACCAAGUUGCCUUGUCAUGGCUGGCGGCCAUUGCAAAAGCCUUUUCCAUGAAGAAAUGGACUUGGACACGAGGCUGGUUGAUUAUGUAGUUGGAGAUGAAGAAAGCAGCUGACAGUCUAGGGAGGGAGCGAACCAGAGAGUUUGUUACUCCACUGGUGUGGUUGGGAGGUAGGGAUCGUCUGUGGUUGGUACAGAGUUUUCUUCCUCAGCUCAAGCAAGGCAAUAGAGGUAGGUUUGUUUGCUCAGCUCAGCUCAACCUGUGCUCUCUGUGUUUGUUUGCUGGGUUAUCUGGGAGAGUAAUUUUCUUCGGGUUCGGUUCUGGUAUGCUUUUGCAUAUAGAAAACAGAGAACCCAGAAAGGAAAUCCAAGAGAGAGACUUUGGUUGAGAAAAUGGCAAUUUUUGAGAAAAAUGGAGAUGCUGAGGUUGGUUGGACAACACCGAAUGGAAGUUGUUGGGCUCGGAGCAGAGAAUUGGUUCUCUAGAUCGGAGGUUUUGUGUGAAAUUUUACUGGCAAGCAAUCCGUGUGGCUCUGUACAAAACUGGGUUGGUUUUGGGUGGGCAAUCUGGGCUUGGUUUCGAACUGGGUGUCUUGAUCAAUUUCUGGGAUCAAGAAAUCAGAGAUUUCAGCCGGUUAAAGACUCGUGCUGAUAUCGUGUUGUAAAUGUGGAGAGAAAAAGUAGAGAAUUGGAAUAGAGAGGAGAGACUGAUUUUCUCAUUCAUAUGUUCUGAUGAAUGUCUUCAGUGUAUAUUUUACAAGUAGGGGGAGGUAUCUAUUUAUAGGCUAAGGUUUUGGUAAAAUACAGGGAAGGAAAGUUCCUGGAAGAUGCAAGGAAACUUCCUCUGUGGGCUCCACCUUCAAACUUUUACAACACAUUUUGAUUUUUAAAUUUUGUUUUAAUAUUUCGGCCCACUUAGUUCUUCUCAAAAUAUGUCAUCAAUAUCGUUGAAAGGUUGAACUUAGUGAAUUAUUAUAGUGCAGUACGGUAGAAUAAGCACAUGAUAUAAUUUGUCCACAUGUUAUAAUAUAAGUGAAUAUUUAUUGAUAUUAUUUCCAAAAAUAAGAAAUAUCAACAAUUAUAUCCUCCUAUAUUAUAAUACAUAUACAAAUUAUACCACAUUAUCAUACUCUAAUACCAUUUUAUAAUUUCUCGUACUUAGGAGGUAUAGAGCGAGUCAAUGACAUUACAUAAUAUAUAAUUGUUCAUAUAAUGGGGCAACUAACGUGAUCAACAAGUUGUGGUGAUUAAUUUAACAUAAUAAAAAAUAUACCAUUUACUUGAGUGAUGUAACAAUUUGUUCUUUUAAAUUGGAUUGCCAUCACUUUAAUAUGUUAUGUUUCUUAUUAUAGUCUCCCAUGUUAAGUGCUUCAGCAUUGUUUGUGGUGUGUACACAAAUUUUCUUAUAAAAUGUUUUAAUGCUUCUCACAUGUAUAUCAGAUAUAGACAGUUGAUGUGACUUAGAAAUCAAAUUGUCAAUAAAACAAAAAAAUAUAAUUGGUGAUCGAGGUCCAAUUUAAUAGAAAAUAGUCUUAACUUGCAUAUUAAAGGUCUUAUAUUCGAAUCCUCACUGCAUUAUUGUUGUAUGCGUACACAAGAAAUUCUCUUCCCCAAUAAUUUAGACUAUCACUUAUACUAAAAAUAUAUAUAUAUAAUGACUUUUACGAAUGCAAACAUAAAAUUACAUCAAACAAUAAUCACUACUACAAAAAAGCAAAAAGACGACGGUAAAUCACCGUCGUGUAUUGGGGUUUUCAAUGGUCGUGGAAUCCACCGUCAUCUUUUCCCUCAUAAACCACGACGCUAAAUAACCGUCGUUGUUAAAAUAUACAACGUCAUCAACAAAUACAAAACGACGUCUUUGUACUGCAAAAAGAUCUAAAAAAAGCAAUCGAGGAUGAUAAUAGACGACCAACUCUCUAAAAAAACCGUCGUUAAAAAGAAAAAAUAUGACACAUAUUAAGAGAACAAGGCCGCAAGAUAGACAUACAACGACGAAAAUAAAAAUACGACGACGUUAAAUAUAAUUUUCACGACAAUAAAAAAUAUGACGUCUUUAAAUACAUUAGAAGACGACGUUAUUGAUACAUACUACGUCGCAUAUAUAAAAACAACCGUCGUAAAAUUAAUUUUCCACUUCGAUUUUUCGAUAAAAGAUGACGUGGAAAUAGUUGUCAGUGUCAUUAUUUACGACGUAUGUGUUUAUAGAUUAGACGUUGAAAAACUAAACAACGUCGGUUACAAAUAUAUGAGAGUCGUAUUACAAAAUUUAUACGUCCUAUUUUCAGAAACAAACAACGACGAUAAAUAUUAGACGUUGUUAAACAAAACAACGUCGGAAAAAUAAAAACAGACGUGUUUAGUCUGCUAAAGUUCUAGAAAAUAGUCGAGGAUGAGAAUAGACAACCAACUCAAAAAAAUCACCGUCGUUAAAAAGGAAAAAUCUGACACAUAUUAAAAGAACAAGGCCGCAAGAUAUACAUACAACGACGACAACUAAAAUACUACGCCGUUAAAUAUAAUUUACACGACAAGAAAAAAUAUGACGUCUUUAAAUACAUGAGAAGACGACGUUAUUGAAAUCUACUACGUCUCUUAUUUACAAAAAACCGUCGUGAAAUAAAUUUUCCACUUCGAUUUUUCUAAAAAAGAUGACGUGGAAAUAGUUGUCAGUGUCAUUAUUUACGACGUACACAUUUAUAUAGUCGACGUUGUAUUUAUAUGUAUUCAUUACUCACGACGCACUUAAUAAUAUAGACGACGUUGAACUUCUAAACAACGUCGGUUCCAAAUAAAUGAGAGCCGUAUUACAGAACAUAUAGACGGCGUAGAUUAUGAUGAGAGCCGUAUUACAAAUAACGUCGUUUAAUUGUUAUUAGACGGCGGUUAUAAUGAAUUUCCGUCGGAAUUCAUUUCGUUCCUCUUCGUUUAUAAAAGAACUUGCGACGUGGAAAAUGUAUGAUGACGUCGUAUUUUUUAACGUUCAGAUUAUAUAUCUCGUUUUUAGACGUCGGUAUUAUGGGAUUGGAGUCGUGUUAUUUUGAAUUACAUGGCGGUUCUUAAUCCUUCACCGACGUGAUAUCCUGAAUAAUUGCUUCACAAUAGCGUCGUGGUUCUUCAUUGUUACGUUGCUUUAAGACGUCGGUAAAUAUGCUGAAUAACUGAUUCACAAUAACGUCGUGUUUUAUUUGAACGUAGAAAGUGAAGAAAUCACAUUACAAUAUAUUACAAAAUUAAUGUCAUACACUGCCAAUUACAUAAGCAUCAUUCAAUCCAUAUAUCUUCACACCCAUCUCGAAUAUUUUGACCGCCUAACUCACCCACCAGUUCAUCAAAUGUGUCAACAUUUGGCAUCCCUCUAGUAAAUGGCUCACACUCAAUUAUCACAUCACCUAAGACUUCAUCACCAAUAACAUCAUUAUAUUCUCUAUUAGGCAUUGAUAACACUACCGACCAACCACGAUGCAUCGGGUCGUCAACAAAAAAUAUUUGUUUGACUUGAGAAGCCAAAACAAAUUGGUCAUUCCUAUGUCCAAUUUUACUCAAAUCUACAAGGGUAAAUCCAAGUUCGUCGACUACAAGACCAGAACUAUCUAUCCAAUCACACCUAAAGACUGGGAUUGUAAACUUUUGGUAGUCAAGGUCCCAAAUUUCUUGAAUGACACCAUAGAAACCCAUAUUUGAGAGAAUUGGGUUUUUAUCCUUGGCACUAGCAACUUGCAUGGUAUGUGCAAGUAAAUAAACUCCACUAUUUUGAGUUGUCCGCACAUCAUCUUGUGCCUUGAUAUUGAAUUUAAUACCUUUAAUAAGAUAGCUCCUAUAUAAUGGCACUGACAUGUUUGGACCAGCUGCUAGCCACCUUAAAUUUUCUGAUACGCCAUGAUUGUCUUCCUCAAGUUCACUUUGAACCUGCAAAUUAAUCAUAUCUUAAUUCAAUCUAACAUAUAAAUAAGAAGAAAAUUAAAAGAGAAAUAUGUUAUUCAACAACAUAUACCUUGAAGCGUAGCCAUUGAAUGAAAGUGCUAUUGUGCUUAUCCUGCAGCCACUUUGUUCUCUUUCUAAAUUUUGGAUAAGCAGUCUUGAUGUGGAUCAUAUGUUGCCCACAUGACACGAAAAAUUCAAGCAUUACGAUCCUAAAUAUAGAAGAUAAACAUAAGAAAUAAUUUAAAAUGGAAACUUAAAGAAUAAAGCUCAUACGUACUCGAUAUAAGGUAGGACUUCCUCCGUAUUCUCCAAGACAUAUAGAUGUGCUUGAUUCAACAGGUCCUGAUCAACUACGCUCACUGUGCAACCUGAUAAUGGCUUUGAAAGCCCCAUCUUUUGGCUUGAAGGCACUCCAACUGUACUAACAUCAGAUAAAUGCUGAGUACAACACUCUACCGCUUCUUCAGCUAUAUACCGCUCAGCAAUGCAACCUUCGGGACGAGUACGAUUCUGAACAUACCCCUUCAGCACUUUCAUAUAUCUUUCAAACGGAUACAUCCACCGAAAAUAUACUGGCCCACAUAGACGAACUUCUCUGACAAGAUGUACUACUAGAUGAACCAUGAUAUCAAAGAAUGAAGGGGGAAAGUACUUCUCAAGCAAACACAGAGUAACUACUACAUCUUCUUCCAACUUAUCUAGCUUGGAAACAUCAACAGUCUUUGCACAUAUAGCAUUGAAGAAGAAGCACAAACGAGUUAUUGCAUACCUUGCAGGCUUCUCCAAAACAGAACGAAUUGCCACAGGGAGCAAUUGUUGCAUUAAGGUAUGACAAUCAUGUGAUUUAAGGCCAAGAAGUCUUGAAUCUUGUAAAGAUACAAGAUUUUUAAUAUUUGAAGAAUAACCUUCAGGGACCUUCAUACCAUAGAAAGAAUUGCAAACCUCUCUCUUCUCUACUCUUGACAAAUUCCAAGGCCCAGGAGGCAAACGAGUACGUCUUUCUCCAUACUCGGGUUGCAAAUCAGUUUUGACCCCCAUGUUCAAUAAAUCUAAUCGAGCAGCAAUCCCAUCUUUAUUUUUUCCAGGGAUCUCCAGCAAUGUACCAAUGAUACUAUCACAAACAUUCUUCUCAAUGUGCAUAACAUCUAGGGCAUGCCUUACAGGAAGGUAUUUCCAAUACUCGAGAUCAAAGAAUAUUGAUUUCUUCUUCCAACAAACUCUGUCACCAUUUUCAACCAUAUGCAGCACUUCUUCUCCGGUUAAUGGCUCGGGAGGUAUGCCAUAUUCAGGUUUCCCAUUAAAAGCUGCACGUUGCCUCCUAUAUGGAUGAUUGAUUGGUAACCAUUUUCUAUGCCCAAUGUAACAAAUUUUGUGGCCAUUUUUCAACCUGUGACUAGGUGUAUCAUCGCCGCAUAUUGGACAAGCUUUAUAUCCUUUAACAACACAACCAGAUAAGUUUCCAUAGGCGGGGAAAUCAUUAAUUGUCCACAUUAAUGCAGCUCUGAGUGUAAAGUAUUCUCCAUUAUGUGCAUCAUACACUCCUCUAAUCCCAUCCCACAAAGAUUUUAAAUCAUCAAUCAAAGGCUCCAAGUAGACGUCUAUAUCAUUUCCGGGUUGUUUAGGACCGAAAAUCAAUAAGGUUAACAUCAUGAACUUUCGUUUCAUGCACAGCCAUGGAGGGAGAUUAUAUGUAACUAAGAUAACCGGCCAACAACUAUAUCUGCUACUUAGAGAACUGUGGGGAUUGAAUCCAUCAGAUGAAAGAGCCAAUCUCAAGUUUCUCGGCUCAUUACCAAACUCAGGCCAUUUAUCAUCAAGAAGUUUCCAAGACGGGGAAUCCGCCGGAUGAGACAUCUGACCGUCAAUUGAUUUUCUAGGAGCAUGCCAAGUCAAACUCUUAGCUGUCUCAUGUGAUUGAAACAUCCUUUUAAACCUUGGAAUUGGAGGAAAAUACCACACCACCUUCGCUGGCACACCCUCUUUCAAGAUUGAAUCUUUGCCUUCCUUCCACCUUGAGAUACCACAAGUAGGACAAUUAGUUGAAUCCUCAUACUCCUUCCUAUACAAGAUGCAAUCAUUGGGGCAUGCGUGCAUUUUCUCAUAACUCAGCCCCAAUGCACACAAAGUCUUUUUAGCCUCAUACAUAGAGGUUGGUAUUGUAUUUCCUUAUGGAAGCAAAUCGCCUUGAAGUAUCAAUAAUUCUGUAAAACAGACAUCACUCAUCCCAUGUUUUGCCUUCAAAUUAUACAACUUCACUAAUGCCGAUAACUUCGUGUACUUUCUACAACCAGGGUACACUGGUUGAUCUCCAUCCCCAAUCACAUUGGCAAACUCAUACGGAUCGGAACCAAAAUCAUUAUCAUCCAUAUCAAUUUCUUCAGACACAAAACUGUACCUACUAUGGCCAUCAUCUUCUUCAACAUUUCUACUAGCAUUAGUAGUUGCUUCCCAAGGUUCUCCGUGAAAUGUCCAAUUCUUAUAGCUUUGGUCAAUUCCAUUAAAGUAUAAGUGAUCCCUUAUAAUUCCAACCCCAAACAACUUCAAAUUAACACAUUUAACACAUGGACAACGGAUAUGUGUUGUAGUUAGAAGAUUUUCUACAGCAAAGUUCAAAAAUGCUUCCACCCCAAACUCAUAUGCCUUCGAUCUUCUAUCCGAGUGCAUCAUUGACUUAUCCAUCUCCGACACUAUAACCUAUUAUCUAUAAUAAAGUGAAAAUACAGGCAAUGACCAUCACUAUAGCAGAUUAUACAAAGAUCUAAUAGCAAGUAAUACACAACAAAGACGACGGGUUUUAAACAAAAACAGACGUAUUUGGCAUAUAUAGACGACGGAUUUUCAACAGACGUCGUCUAAUAUAAGUAAUACAAACGACGGUUUAUGAAAAAACCGUCGUGUAUAAGUAAUACAACGACGGUUUUUUCAUAAACCGUCGUGUAAUCGUCGGCGUAUGCCUAAAAAGGCGUCGUGUCUCAGUUUAUUUUCAAGAACCCAAAACCCAUUAAGAACACAACAUAUAUAUGAAACCAAGCAAGAAAACAACAUAUACAUGAAACCAAGCAUGAAAACAAUAAAUCCAUUCCCAAUUCAACAUAACAUAGGGUGAUUAAAAGAUCCGACAAAAUUAAAUCCAUUCCCAAUUCAACAUAACAGAUAAUGUAAUCCAUGAACCCAUUAAACAGAAAAUCCAUGAACCCAUACUUAUAAGCACAUUAUUAACAGAUCGCAAAGCAUAUACCUAAAACCCUUUAACAAAACAACCUAAUAUCAUUCAAUGAAUUUACAAGGGGAAGAUAGGGUUUGUACUUACAGGUUGGACGAGCUCACAGAUUCGACGGAGCAGAAGUGAGAGAGCAACUUUUAAUUAGAGCAGAAGUGAGAGAGCGAAAUGUUAUGUUGCGCGAAAUCUGAAAAUUUUAGGGUUCAGGGUUAGAAGAAUAAGAAUAAGAGCCAAAUAUAAAAAAAUUUAGGACGCGUGAAAAUUUUUAGAGCGCGCGCUCUUUAAAACUUCGAAAGAAAAACCAUGGCGAAAGUUCUACAAGAACCGACAUAAAUGUAAUAUUCCACGACGGAAACACUGAACGUAACGCCGUUUAUUUUGACGCUUCAUUUUUCGGAUUAAUUUUAAAUUUAUUUUCAAUAUUUUGAUAUAAAGACGACUGAAAAACCACGUCGGGGUUAAGAAAUUGAAAACGUUGUAAAUUAUAAUAGACGACUUACAUAUUAAAAUGACGUCGUUUAAAGUAGAAACUAUGUCGGAUAAUUUACUGCACGACGUAACAUAUGUAUUCCACGACUCAACCACCGUCGUUAACAAUUAAUACCCUAAACCCUUAAAACUAAAUUAUAUAAUUUUAAAAAUUAACUUUAUAAAAGGGUUUAUGGUUUUACAGCCUAAUAUAUACCCUAGACUACCCAAAAAUUAUACUUUAAAAAUAAACCCCAAUAAAUAACAACCCUAAUCUCUAAACCCUAGACUCUAAACCCUAAACCAUAAAACUAGAAGUGAUUUUAUGACUCAUCAAAACAAUUUUGUUUUGGAUGUUCAUUUUAAAUUUUUGUAAUUCAAAAUGAAUUUUUUCAAGGUUUAGGGGGAAGAAAAUAUAUCAAUGACUUCAUAGGAGUUGACUUUGCAUUUUUCUGAUUUAUUUUAAAUUUAUUUUGAAUAUUUUGAUAUAAAAAUAAUAAAAUAUUCUUAUCACAACAACAAACCACGUCGGUGUUGAUAAAUUGUAGACGUUGUAAAUUGUAAUAGACGACUAAGUUGUUAAAAUGACGUCGUUUAAAUGAGAAACGAUGGCGGAUAUUUAACUAUCCGACGUAAAAUAUAUAUUCCUCGACUUAACCACUGUCGUUACAAAGUACUACCCUGAACCCUUAAGAAAUUGAAGACGUUGUAAACCAUAAACGACUCCAUUGUUCAAAGAACGUCGUCUAAAUAUCCUUUUACGCCGGAUUUGUUUAAAACGAAACCACAAAAAACGACGGCUUUUGACUUUAUUACGUCGUUGGAAAAUUAUUACACGUCGGUUACGCAUUUUGUAUGUUUGUUUUUGUUUUUACUUUAAGAAAACCUCAACAAAUUUUUACAUUAUAUAUUAUAGACAAAAUUUGUACAUUAUACAUAAAUAUCAAGUGUUCAAUAAUUCCCCUAUUCCAGUUGAAUGCAAACAAACUCUGCCCAUUCAUUCCGGACUUCAUCAAUUGCUUCUUGGGGGUAUGGCUCUUCCUGUUUUCCCUUCGCAUACUGCAUAAAAACAAUGACUAUUAGGGUUUAUAAAUAAAAGGAAAUUCAAUCACAGACGACCAUAACCGACGUAGUAUAUCUAUUCAACGACGGUAAUUUUACAUGACCGUCGUUGAUAAUACAAAAAACGACGUAAAAUGUUUGAAGGUUAUUUCUUCUUACCUUCUUCUCAAACCCCAAGGAAGGAUCCAUGAUGAUGUCCUUCAUGAAGCGCAUCACGUAAUACCCGCAUUCGACAUUGCUGGGUUGCUUUGGUGUGCCUGACAGGGUUUUCCAAAUGACUGCCUUACGGCCUGAUCUGGCUAUGUGGGAAUUAUAAAUUUUUAUGGCACUGUUCACGAUGUCUUUGGCCUCUUCAUCGACCACACGAUUUCCUGGCAGAGGAUCCAGAAAAUAGACUGUUUCCCUCUUUGCUCUUACAAUCAGCAAGAUCCAAUGACGGCUGCACAAAAUUAAUAUAAAAACGACGGUUAUUUACAAAAACGACGUAUUAUAAUAUUUCACACGACGAAAUAAAGUAGCAAUCGACGACAUUAUAUAUUUAUAACGACGAUAAAUAACUACCGACGUGGUUAGUCGUUUCAAACGACUCAAUAAAAUAAAACACCGACGUGGUUAGUUUAUACGCUGUCAUUUAUUGAAAAUCAUAAAAACAAAAUCCUGUUAAGGAGACUAACCCUGGAUUGUAAGGCAUGAGGAAAAUCUGUUCACCGUCAGUCUUCUGAAGUCGUGAUGCUACAAGCCGUGAUCUGUCAGCUAUUGUGCCAGAGCUGGCACUAACUGUAGCAGGGUCGAUAAAGCCAACCAUUGUGCACAUAUUUGCUUGUUUUAAAACAUCGUGUAAGUACCUAAAUAUAUAAAAUAAUAUAAACAAGUCAGCGCAAAAAAAACACACGACGGUUAUGUAUAACAAAACGACGUAUUAUAAGGUUUCACACGACGUACUGAAAUAGACAACGACGUUAUAAUAAAUUUAUCACGACGGUACAUACUAACGACGUGGUUAGUUAGUUAAGACGACGCAAUAAAUAAACCAACGACGUAUUAUUUUAGAAUGACAAACCUCAUAUAUACAGCAAUGACUGUAGCUCCUAUUUCCUCCAUGCCUGCAAAUUGUGUAAUAUCUUCAGGCAGGAGGAAGGUAUCGCGCUCUAGACCAAACACCUCCUUAUCAAUUGUAAAGUGCAGGGUCUUAUCUUGAGUUACGAGUGUCGUUUCCACAUAACGACAAAGGGUUUGUAAAGAAGAUGGCGCCUCCAUAUUUGAAUAAUCAACAACUUUAGUAACCUGUUUAAAGAAAUAAAAAAAUGACGUGGUAAUUCAAUAAAAACGACGGUUUAAGGAAUAAAAUGUCGUUUGAAAACAAUUUAAACGACGGUGAAAAAACCGUCGUGGUGAAUUAUUUAUUACGUCUUAGAAAACAAUUCCGCCGUCUAAGUUGUAAACAAACGACGGUUUAAAGAAAAAUAUCGACGUCUGGAAUUUUGAAAACAAAUAAAAAAGGUAAAGUUAUGUGAACAUACCUGGUCGUCAUCUUCUUUCUCCUUUUCAUCUUGUUUUUCUUCCUUAUUCUCUUCAUAUAUGACGUCGGGAAUGAUUAACUCCGUCAUCUAAAAACCACAAAGUUUUAAAAAUAACGACGUUUAAUGGCGUGUAAAACAAGUAAACUAAAUACGACGUGGUAUUGAAAUACAAACGACGGUUUAUUUUUAAAAUCGUCGUGGUAUGUAUUUCAAACGACGGUUUUAUUAAAAAUAACGACGUCUAAUGGUUUUUAAAAAAACAGAGAAUUCAAAGUUCAGAUAUGUUACCUUUUCUUCCUGAUGUUUCCCAUUUUUGGCAGUAUCAUCCUCAAAAUGCUGGGAUCUCACAUCACCUCCAGAGCAGCUUGCUUUGUCAGACAUUGGAUUUUUGGGACUUUGGCUAAUUCUGGGUUUAAGCAUGCUUGGAUCAAAAUUGGGAAUUAAUUGGGAAAGCUGACUCAGGAAAUGCUCCCUCUCAGCCUCUACCAAUUGUUUCGUUCUAGCCUCCAUUCUUAAAGCCUCUUCCCUUGCCUUAGCCUCCAUCUUUUUAGUCUCUUCUUGAAGGAGAACUCUUAAACUGUCCUUCAAACGGUCGUCAAAGCUCACUCUCUGUGGUUUGGGUAAAUUGAAAUAUUGCUUUGGUGAGAUCCCAGCACCUACUCCUCUGACUCUGCCUGGAUGCUCGGGGCCCAAAGCCAUGGUCAGCACAUCAUUGCUGCCAGAGACGGUGACUUUGCCUUCCGAGACUUGUUUUUGCAAAUCAUCCUAAAACAAAGAUAUAUAAAAAAGUAAGAACAAAAACACACGACGGUUAUUUAUAUACAAACGACGUAUUAUAUAAUUUCACACGACUCAAUAACAUAUAAAUCGACGUUAUUAUAAUUUAUCACGACGGUAGUUAUACCGACGUGGUUAGUUCUUUAAAACGACGAAAUUAAUAAACCACCAACGUCUUAUGUAACAGAGGGAUGAUUCAAUAUUCACACCUUUAACGACGUUGUUUAAAACAUUUCGACGUAGUAAUUUAAUACAGACGACGCGAAAUUGAACCACCGACAUCUUAUGCUAUAAUUACAGAAAACAGAGUUCUGAUUCCUAUUUAGACCUUUAACGACGUGUUUUAAAAAAUGUCGACGUGGUAAUAUCAUUCACACGACGCAAAAUAUAACAUAAGACGUAAUAAGAAUUAUUCACAGUUUAAUAAAAAUUUAAAACAGAGUGAGUAGGCUUACAAUUAAUUUUGCUUUCUCUGCCACCUUUGGAUCAGGGAUGUUACCAUGUUUGUCAUGUCUAGCUCUCUUCCAUAAGGUAGAUCGAUCAAUUUCUACCCCAGGCAUGGUUUCCUCUAAUUGAUCCUCCAAACCGGCAUAUCCUUUUCGAGACAAUCGAUGAUUGUACUCGAGUUUCUCCCUAAUCUGUGCAUGUUGAGAAUGCACAGACUCAAAAUCUUUGGAUAGCCUUGAAGCUACAAAGGCAUCCCAUUGUGCUUUCUCUAUGAAUUUAUAUGUUUCAGGGGGUUGGCUUAAUCUCUCCCUGUCAUUGGUGUAUGGAAGGAUAUAAUGCCUCGUUAGUGUAGACUUGAAAUCCUUCCAUUUCUUGGCAGCAGAAGCUAAGACAGAGUUCUUGCCCCCUUGACCUACUACAAAAGCAAUGUCAACUGCUUCCCAAAUCUGCUCCUUUAUAUCCUUGGGGAUUUGAGCCCAUUUCAAGUCCACAAGUGGAACUCUGGAGCGUGCCAACACACCAAUAUAGGACUGCAUCUCACUAUGAGCUUGGCCAAUUCCUUUCCCCCUUUUAUUGUACUCAACAAUUGGCCUCAGUUUCUGCAGUUUUCUCUUCACAACACGAGGCAUUGUGCUCAUACCUCGACCAGCCUUUGAAUCAUCAGAUAUUGUUGUCCCGCUGGUUGGUUCUGUAUCAGCAGAUGAUGAAGCAAACUUCAUCUUCUUCGAAGACUUCAUUAUCUUCGAAGACUUCUCUUGAGGAGGUACUUGCUCCUCACCUCCAUUUUUCUUGGAGCCAGAAUCCUUACUUUAGUCUUGUUGAGAAACCAUUUUUACAGACAAAACUGCAAGUGAAAAUAUUUCAAGAAAAGAUUAAGAACACAAACGACGGUUAUUAAUAAAAUACGACGUAUGAUAUGAUUUUAAACGACGCAAUGAAAUAAUAUCAGACGUAAUAAAUUUUUAAAACGAAGGUAAUUAAACAACGACGAAAUAAUUGACUACAAACGACGAGAUAAUUAACUAUAAACGACGGAAUAUUUAUAUAACGUCGUGGUAUUGAUGUUCACACGACGUCAGUAGUAAUAUACCGUCGUCUAUAUAAGGAUCCAAAACCCUUCUUUCUUUCUCUGUGAAUGUUUGAUUGCAGAUUUGAUUUUUCUGAACCAUGGUUUUUGUUUUCUAAUUUGAUAAAAUACAAGGCCAAGAAAGAAAGUUUUGGAAUCUUAUAUAGACGACGGUAUUUUAAUAUGACGUCGUGGUAUUAACAUUCACACGACGUAAAACAAUAAGAUACUGUCGUCUAUAUUAGAUACCAACCCUAAUUUCUUUUUCUUUAUAUUUUAUCAAAUUAGGGAAAAACAAAAACCAUUGUUCAGAAAAAUCAAACCUGCAAUUAAACAAGCAAAUAAAAAAAAGACUAAAAUUUUAAAAACAACUUUGUCAAUUUUCAGACGACGCUAGAACGACUGACGAACCGUCGUGGUCUACAUAUUUAACCACGUAAAUAAGAAGCUACCGUCGUCUUAUUUAGUUAAGGUAGUUGUCUUCAAAGUUGGAAACUUUCCCUCUUUGUCUGUAUAUUUUAUCGAACUUGGAAAGAAGUAAAAUGAUUUUGGCCAGAAAAAAGGUAAAAAGAUUUUUCAAACAAAAAACGUAUGAGCAUGCAAAACAGCAACCAAAAUAGUGAAAAUGAAAGCUUACCUUUUGUGUGCAAUGAAAGCAAGAGGAAGACGAUCGAUGUUUAAAUUCAGAGACGACGAAGAAGACGAGAGGAAGACGAUGAGAUACUCUGAAAGUGCUCUGACAAGGAAAAAAGUCUAAAAGUUUUCUCUGGGAGAUUGAAAUUUUUAAUCGGGUUUGGAAAAAGUGCAUGUGUAAGUCAGGUAGACGAAAAGUUGCUUAUAUAUAAAACCAUUUCAAAAAAAUAAUACGGCGGUUACAUAUAACUACGACGUAUAAAUUACAAAAUACGACAGUACGUUUAACUUCGGACGUGGUAAAUAAUUACGACAGUAGUGUUAUAGGUACCGUCGUAGUAAACUCAAAAUUAAAGUACAUAAGUAAUAACUCGCGUCAUGGUAGAUCAUUUAACACGUCGGUUUUAUUAAUGUACCGACGUGGAUUUAUGUAAUAUACGUCGGUAAUACCGACGUUGAUUUUACAAUUUAAACGGCGGUUUUUUUGUAAGGACCGCCGUUGGUUUUAAAAAUUUAUUCUAUAAAUUUGUUGCUUUCAUUCAUUUUCGGUUUACAUUUAGGGUUCCAAGUUCUUCCUCUCUCAGAGACACUAUCUCUCACAUCUCAAAGACAGUAAUUUGGAUGUCUUUCUCAAAGAGAAAUUGAGCUUACUCGCAUCAAAUCUAUGUCCACAAGAAGAAGCUUGUCAACUAGCCUUCUCACUUCCUUGAUCAAGCCUGAUAGGACACUUAGUGCUUCUGAAUACUCCUUGCUUUCCAUCAAAAGAGAUGCAAGCCUGGCCUCCACUCGCUGUCGAAGGAAAGUUCGCUUCUCAGGGAAAUCUGAAGAUCAGAUGUGCCUGAUCCUCUGCUUGAUUUUCUUGGCUAAGAAGAUCCGUCAGAUUUGUGAUAGCCUCUUCCUUUAUCCGUAGAGCUUCAGAAGAAGAAGAUGGGUUUCAAGAAUGCGAUAAAGAAUAGAAAUGGCUUCAGAUGGCCUCUAAAGCAUGAGCAAUCGAAUCAGUGCUUUGAACUAUACUUUGAACUAUACAAGUCAAUGCUUUGAACUAUACAAGUCCUGCAGAAAGAUAAAGGACCAAACUAUUAAAGAAACCCCAAACUAACACGACGCAAUAUUUGUUUUGCGACGUGGAAUCUUUUCAUUUAACGUCGUUAGGUUUAAUAUAACCGACGUGGAUUUGAAUUUUUAAAUUAUGAAUAGCAUUUUUUUUCCCGUGACCUUUCAGUUUAUUUUUCAAUUACAGUGCGUUAUAAAUAGAGUUUUUUUUCCGGAGGAAAUUUAAAAUGAAGGAAAUUAAUGUUCUGGAAUAUGUAAAAUUUCUUUUUUGGAUGACAGAUUUAAAUAAAAUAAGAAUAUAAAAACAACGACUGUUUUUGUAUUACUGUCGUCGUUUUUCGUCGUCUUAAGUAAGACUAAGACAACGUAAUAUAUUUGUUGAGCGACGUUGAUUUGUGUUUUAAACGUCCUUAGGUAUAAUAUAACCGUCGUUGAAAAUUGUCUCUCUGAUUGCAAAUUUGCAACGACGUUAGGUAUAAUAUUUGUAGAUACACAAACGCACACACAUCAUCAACUUCCAAAAAAUUGUCUCUCUGAUUGCAAAUCUGUGUCAUCUGUUAAGAUUAUGAUGUGGAACAAAGUUCCAUUUGGUAAGAUUUCGUAACCCUUGGGAUCUCAGAAAAAUCUGAUUAUGUCGGCGAUUUUCUAUAUAAACCGUCGUGGUUAUUUCAAUUCUUGUCAUUAAGUAGAUCUACCGACGUAGGAUAAGAAAAUCAAAGAAAAAAAUUGUUAACAAAAAUUCUUAUUAAGACGACGGUUUAAAUUAAAGGUAAGACGUAUAAAAUGAAUAAAUACGACGUUAAAUUUUAUAGUACGAUUUAAAGAUAACGUCGUAGAACUAUACCAGAAUGACGUCGAUAUAUUUAUAUUUUUCGUCGUUGUACAUUAAUUUAAUACGGCGAUAUUUUGUAUUUUAAAGUCGUGGAUUUGUUUGUAAUUAUACAGCGUCUUAUACGAAAACCUCGUCGUGUUAUUUUAUGAGUAAAAACGGCGGCUUUUAUUGAAAUCGUCGUCUUUACUUUCUACGUCGGUUGAUUCAUAACUUCUGUCGUUCUUUGUUGGCUUUGAUUUUACACUGCGGAAAUCUGUUUCAAAUAGACGUCGGUUGUUUAAUUAAGUACGUCGUUGUUUUUGAACAGCCAUUUGAAUCUCCAUUUUUUAGUUGUCUAAGGUGGUAUUACACGACGGUGUUUUUAGAACCGUCGUCUUUUUAAAAACCACGACGGUUUUCACUGAGACCGUCGUUGUUUUCUGGUCGUCUUUUUCACUUUUUGUAGUAGUGAAUGGAAUAGAAUGAUGGAAGUUAUUUUUUUUUUUUCCUACGUCUAAAGUAUACUUUAUAUAUAUAUAUAUAUAUUUAUAUUUAUUAUGGAAGUUAUAACCGUUUAAUUUUCAGUUUUUAUUUUCUAUUUAUUGUUUUAAUUUUUAUAGUUUAAUGUGUAUGGAGAUUUCAAGUAUUGGAUGUUUAUAAAGGGUCACUCCUCCUUCACAUCUGAAACAAACCACCAUCUCAUUUCUGUAUUUUCAUACUUUCAUAUAUUUUCUACUUUCCAGAUUAUUAUUUUUGGGCAACGGUUCUGUGACUUGGAGAUUUCUAUCCGAUUAUUAACAUGCUCAUAGCGGACCUUGAGCUUGCGUAUUGAGGAUAGUAUCUUGGAGCCUUGUAGACCUUUAUUACCUGCAUGUAGGGAGGCUAUAAAUGCUUUAAGUCAGCGUCUUUGACGUGCUUUUGCUUUCUUUUUUUUACUUAUUUCUUCGUUACUUUAUUUUUACUUUACUUUUAAAUCUUUAUUUUAUGUAUUAUUUAUAUUUAAAAAUUUUGAAUAAGAGUUUUACAGAAAAGGAAAAACACAAUUUCAAAUAACACAAAUUUCUCGUUUUUUGUUCUUAAAAAAGAAGAAGCAUUGAUUGGGGAGUUAUGGUAAACUCAGUUUCAAUGGUUGCGAUGAGAGGCGGUGGCGGCGAGGAGAGGACGAAGGCUUUGCUGCCGACGGGGUGGUGUGGGUGGGUGGAGACCUCGGCUGGCUGCUUGGUCCUGGGUUCUCCUUUAAUUCUCUGUUUUCUUUUUUCAUAUUUUUCUUUUUCUCUUAGAGUUAUUGAUGUUAAGUGAAUGGACAGAUGCCAAGAGAAGAUGUGAACCCAAUUAUAUACAGCUGAUUACAUAAAGUAACAAAUUAAUUAAUACUUGAGUGGAGGACAGGCUCGAGUGGAAGAAUUGAUUAAGGCUUGAGUGGAAGACAAACUUCAGUGGAGGAAAGUACAGAUAAGGAAAGCAUGCCACGUUUAACGGCUUUAUCUCAACAAAUUAGGAAUGCUGGUUUUGUUUCCUCGGUGGUUGAAAGGUGGUGCCUUGGCUCGGACAUCUCCCUAGUAAUUAAUCGAAGGUGGAAUCUUACAAGACAUUCAGCUGCUCAUUAGCUGAAUAUCUCGCUCUCUUUAAAGAGAUCGAAGCAAACUGCAAUUUGCAAUUUGUGUGAUUCAAGCAUGAAUAUCUGACAUAGUAACUAUACCAUUUGUUGGUUUGAUGAGAAAAGUUUGGUUAGCGAGGAUGAAACCAUAAAGUUCCCCAAAACACACAAAGAGCACGGACAAUUGCUAAGUUUAUCUUUGAGUUCACGCAUAUUUGCACAAAUGAGAUUACUCCAAGUAUGACUAUACCAUUUGUUGGUUUGAUGUGAAAAAUAUGGGCAACGAGGGUAAAACUAUACAAACACACACAAAGAAAGUGGACAAUUACUAAGUUUAUCUUUGCGUUAUUCAUCCGACCUAACUGUAAAAUAAAAAAGAUGAAAAUAUAUAAUGUUCACUACUUAGAUCUAUGAGCACUAAAGUCCUCCUUUUGGAAUUGCACAAAACGUCACUUUUGGUCUUUGACAAAUUUUUAAAAUAAAUGAAUUUUUUACUUAUUUGUGGACUGAAAUGCCUCAAAAAAAAUAAUGAUAAUUUGAAGAAUUUGAUAGAAAUUAAAAAAUAUCCUCAAAUUACUUGGAAUUGAAGACCACAUAGGCAAAAACACCACUUUGGACAAAGGCUGGUGAUAAUAGUCGAUAUCAUCUUUUGUCGGUCCGACCUAAAAAGAAGAAAAAGUUGAAAGCAUCUUGUUACCAUUUUUGCCAAUGUGGGUCCAGACAAUUUGAAGAAGUCCACCGACAAUUUCUCAAAAGCUAUUGUGUGAGUGUUUUGAAGCUAAACCAAUAUUAUUUUGCACAUACGACCCCACAUCCCCAUGUGAGGCUACAGAAGUGUUUCCAAAACGAAACAUGAUAUUUCAAAACAAAGCUAUGUAUAGAAUAGAGUCAUUUGUAUUUGCUUUCACAAUAACAUUUUAUUUGUGAAAGCAUUUUAUAUUUUUACAUUAUGAUGUUCUAACAAAUAAAUUGACUAUAUUUGGCCAACAGGGUUUAACCGAGUAAAAAAGUCCUUAUUUAUAAACUACUGGUUUCAUAUUUGAACUCUAUGACAUUCUCUUUACCCUUAAAGUUUAGACUAUCGCAUGUAUUAUAAAUAAAAAAAAACAAUUGGCUUAAUUUGAUAUAUUUCAUUUUAUGCUGGGUGCCGUUAUUAAGUUUUAUCCUUGUUUCUUGUUGAAAAAAAAUUGAUAAAAAAUAAGAAUUCCUAUAGCUAGCAACUUCUCCACCUUCCCUUCUUCGCAACUAGGGAUGCCAUUGCAAGGUCACCAUCUCAGAUUAAGUCCUCCUUUUAAAAUUGUGUUGUUAUUCAAAAUUGGAAUAUGCUGGUCAUUCUUGAUAUAAUCUGUUCCACAAAAAGAAAAAGAAAAAAGUUGAUAGCAUCUUUUACCACUUUGGCCACUUUUGAAGAUAUUCACCGACAAUUUCUCAAAAGCUAUUAAGCUGUACGUCCACAAUAUUAUUGCAUCCAACUUUGCAUAUACGACCCCAUCCCCAUGUGAGGCUACAAUAUUGUUAAAAAAAUAUGCUAACAUUGUCAUUCAGUAUGCUAACAUUGUCACUAUGUUUGCGAAUUGCAUAUUAUCUAGAACAUAAAGGCUUUGGUGUUUUGUAGAUCCUCAGGGAGCCAAACCCGUCUUUAUAAAAAUGGUCCUUAUGAUACUACUUUAACAACAAUAAAGUAUAAUAAACUAGGCCUUUGUAGUCACUGAACGAAUGUUUUGUCAUAUAUAUGACUAUUUAAAUGUAAUUACGGGAUUAAAACAUUAUAAUAAAUUGGAGUGAACCAUAACAUUAUAUAUGAUCCAAUCCUUUGCAUAUAUUUUUGUUCAAGACUUUGUUUUAGAAUGCUCUAUUACUAAUUUGGUACAGGUCUCUAAAAUCUAUGCCUUUAUGAGGCAACGUCUUUAUUUCUUUGGUUAUUCCAGUUUAGAAUAUUUGCACAAAUGAGAUGACUCCCAGCAUAAAGUCACAUUCAACCAAAAAGCAUGAAGUCACACACAAAAAGAAUACGGACAAUUGCUAAGUUUAUCUUGUAUCCUUAUUUUAUUGAUCCAACCCAAUUGAAAAAUUAAAAAGAUGAUAUAAUAUACUGUUCACUGCUUACAUCCAUGAGUAAAGUCCUCCAUUUGAAAUUGCGUGAUGAUAUAAAAUUGGAAUGAAAAAAGAAAAUCCUACAGCUAAAUUUGAUAUAUUUCCUUUUCAUUUUAUGCUGGGUGUUAAGUUUUCUUAUUUCUUGUUGAAAAGAAAAAUGAAAAGAAAUAAAUAAAUUCCACAGCUAGCCACUUAUCCACCUUCCCUUCUUCCCAUGUAGUGACAACAAGGGAGGCCUUCAAUCCAAAAUAAAGACAAGGGAUGCCAGAUCAGCAUCUCAGAUAAGUAUCCCAACCAAAACCAAUCAAAUAAUGACAUAUGUAUCUCUUUUUGUGUUUUGUUCUAUUUCUCUUUGAAUUAACUGCAUAGUUUCAUAAGCGUGUCCUCCUUUUGAAAUUGUGUAUUAUUCAAAAUUGGAAUUUGCUGAUCAUACUUGAUAUCAGCUAAAAAAGUUUCCAACAUCUUGUACCAUUUUUUUCCAGUGUGGGUCAUAACUUGAAGAAGCCCACCGACAAUUUCUCAAAAGCUAUUACCAUCCAACUUUGAAAAAUAAAAGUUUUCAAAAGUUACCCCAAACAACAGUCCUUGAAAGAGAGAGUUUUCCAAGGCUAAAGAUUACAAGGAUGUUAUUUACAGUCUCGACAACGACAAGCUUCAUAUUUGUUUACAAACCUGUAUUUUCAAGUUGUGCUAGCCUAGCUACUUGCAAAAAAUAUCCAGUUGGCACAUGCAUUAACGUGUGACAAGAAGUUAGUUAUAUUUGUAAAGUAAAAGAACGAAGUACAUAGCAUGUAAGUUGAUGCUAAAUAUUUGAUCAACAGAGUUAAACAUAAAACCACUGACAAUAUAACGUUGUUCACCAAAAAUUGCAUUUCGUUGAGGGUCAGUAGUGUAGGUUUCAAGAUACGAUUUAUUUUGUUAAAGAAUAUUCUGAUAUUCUAACAAUAAAAUUGGCUCAAUUUGAUAUGUUUCUCUCUCUUUUUUUGUUUCUGUUUUCCCUUUCAUUUGAUGCUUUGUUGUGCUAUUGCUAAGUUUAUCUUAGAGACCAGGGAUGCUUAGCAAGUUUCUUCACCUGCCCUUCUUCCCAUGUACUAACUAGGGAUACCAUGUCAGAAUCUUAGAUAAGAAUCCCAUGCUUUGUUGUGCUAUUGCUAAGUUUAUCUUAGAGACCAGGGAUGCUUAGCAAGUUUCUUCACCUGCCCUUCUUCCCAUGUACUAACUAGGGAUACCAUGUCAGAAUCUUAGAUAAGAAUCCCAACCCAAUCAAACUAUGACAUCUGUAAGUAUUCAAAAUUGGAAUUUGCAUUGUGAUAGUUGAGUGGAAGAAUCGAUUAAGGCUUGAGUGGAAGACAAACUUCAGUGGAGGAAAGUAAUUAAUUAGACCAUUAUUUGUUGGUUUGAUGAGAAAAGUUUGCUGGUGAUAGUCCAUAAUCUUUGUCCGACCAGAAAAUAAGAAAAGUUGUCUUGUACCAUUUCUGCCAGUGUGGGUCCCACCCACCCCAUGCGAGUAAUUUGAAGAAGUCCACCGACAAUUUCCCAAAAGCUUUGGCGUCCAACUUUGCCGACCCCAUCCCCAUGUGAGGCCAUAGAAAAGUUUUCAGCCACAAUCAAAUAAGGAACAGUCCUUGAAAAGAGAGGGUUUUCCAAGGCCAAGAUUACAAGUUCAUGUUAUUUACAGUCUCAAAAAGCUUCCAUACUUGUUUACAAACCUGUAUUUUCAAGUUGUGCUAGCCUAGCUAUUUGCAAAUCUUGGAAUAUUUUACUUCAUCCAAAUCCCUUGAAGUCUGCAGAGAAGAUAAAAGACAUGGCUUUGAUUGGAGAGGCUCUUAUCUCUGCUUCCGUCCAGGUGUUGUGCGACAGAAUUACUUCACCCGAGUUCGUUGACUUAUUUCGGCACAAGAAACUCGAUGAGCCACUCCUCAGGAAGCUGAGGACGACACUGUUGGCCUUGAACUUGGUGCUCAAUGAUGCAGAGGAGAAGCAACUUGUGAACCGAGAUGUGAAAAAGUGGCUUGACGAGCUCAAACAUGCUGUCUUUGAUGCGGAGGACUUACUGGAUGAGAUUGACACUGAAGCUUUGAGAUGCAAGCUGGAAGAAGGUGAAGAUCAAACUCACAAAUUUACCAAUAAGGUGCGGAACUUGCUCUUUUCUUCUCGUAGUCAUUUUUAUCAGAGCAUGAAUGAUAAGAUAAAAGAGUUACUAGCAAGGUUAGAAAACUUUGUACAACUGAAAAGUGCUCUUGGUCUGGGAGAAGUUGCUGGGAGGAAGGUUUCGCAAAGAACUCAAACAACCUCCUUGGUUCUUGAACCUUAUGUAUAUGGUAGAGAUGAAGUCAAAGAAAAGUUAUCAAAAGUUUUGCUAUCUGAUGAAGCAGGCAAGGAUCCUGUGUCUUUCCUCACCAUUGUUGGAAUGGGUGGGGUUGGCAAGACAACCCUUGCUCGAAUGCUUUACAAUGACGAUAAGGUGAAAGGGCAUUUUAAACUUAAAGCUUGGGCUUGUGUUUCAGACUACGAUGAUUAUAUUAAAAUUACUAAAACUCUCCUUGAGGCAGUCACUUCAAAGCCUUGUAACACGGCAAAUCUGAAUUUGCUUCAAGAAGAUCUAAGAGAGCAAUUGAAGGGAAGGAAAUUUUUAUUUGUGUUGGAUGACCUAUGGAAUGAGAAUAAUGAGGAUUUGAACUACCUUAGAGCUCUUUUUAUUACUUUAGGAACAAUGGGAAGUAAAGUCAUUGUAACAACACGGAGCAAAAAUGCAGCAUCUGUCAUGCAAAAUGUUCAUAUUCAAUACUUAGAACCAUUGUCGCAGGAGGACUGCUGGUUAUUACUUGCAAAACAUGCAUUUGGAAAUGUAAAGUGUAGUGCACAUUCAAACUUGGAAGAUAUUGGAAACCAAAUUGCACGCAAGUGCAAAGGGUUGCCUUUAGCUGCACAAACACUUGGGAGUUUGUUACGUUGCAAUAUGAAUUUCGAGUACUGGAAUAGAAUACUAAAUGAUAGUUUUUGGGACCACCCCUAUGAUAAAACUAACAUUCUUCCGGCUCUAGGGUUGAGUUACCAUUAUCUUCCUACUCAGUUGAAACGAUGCUUUGCUUAUUGUUCAAUUUUUCCAAAGGAUUAUGAGUUUGAAAAGGAAGAUAUAGUUCAAUUAUGGAUUGCAGAAGGUAUAAUUCCACAAGCUGAGAAUGGAAAUAGGAUGGAAGCAUUGGCUAGAAUAUACUUUGAUGAGCUGUUAUCACGAUCGUUGUUUCAAAAGUCAAGUAAAUUCAGCUUCAUUAUGCAUGAUCUCAUUAAUGACUUGGCUAUGUUCAUGUCUCAGGGGUUUUGCCUUAGGCUCGAAUAUGGGGUAUCCCAUGAAGUUAAAAGAGCUCGUCAUUUGUCAUAUGCUAGGGGAGCAUUUGAUGCUGCUCCAAGAUUUGAACCAUUAUAUGAGGCUAAAUGUUUGCGGACCUUCCUACCUACCUCUUUAAAUCCAUAUAGAUUUUAUGAAAGAUUUUUUGUAAGUAAAAAAGUUCUACAAGAUUUGUUGCCAUCACUAAGAUGUUUACGGGUGUUAUCAUUGUCACGUUAUCAAAAUGUUACUGUGUUACCUGAUUCUAUUGCAAACCUCAUUCACUUGCACUACUUGGAUCUUUCCCAUACCGCAAUUAAAAGGUUACCUGGGGUACUUUGCAAUCUCUUCAACUUGCAGACAUUACUAUUGUCAAAUUGUUCCUCACUCCAUGAAUUGCCUGCAGACAUUAGAAAAUUGAUUAAUUUACAGAAAUUGACAUUGGGCGGUUGUAGUUCUCUUAAUAAAUUGCCUGCAGGCAUGAAGGAGUUGACUAAUUUGCAUCAUCUUGAUGUCAGUGGAACUGAAAUAGUAGAGAUGCCGGUGCAAAUGGGUAGACUGAAAAAUUUGAGAACAUUGACUGCAUUUGUUGUGGGCAAAUCUACUGGGUCAGGCAUAAGAGAACUGAGCGAGUUCCCGCAACUUCAAGGAAAACUAUCAAUUUUGAAGCUACAAAAUGUAGUUGAUGCGAGGGAUGCACUGCACGCCAAUAUGAAGCUCAAGACAGAUCUCAAGGAGUUAGAGUUUUCAUGGGGUGCGCAGGAUGCUGAUGAUUCCCAAAAGGAGAAAGAUGUACUUGACAAGCUCCAGCCUUGCGUGAAUUUGGAGAAAUUAACCAUUGGAUUCUAUGGUGGAACCAAUUUUCCGAAUUGGUUAGGAGACUCGUCUUUUUCUAACAUACAAGUCAUGCAUCUCAGUGACUGUAGUUAUUGUUGGUCGCUCCCACCAGUUGGACGGCUGUCGGCACUCAAAGAGCUCUGUAUAAAAAGAAUGAAGUCUUUGAGGACGAUUGGCGUUGAAUUCUAUGGCAGAGAUGGAGCUUAUCUGACUCAGCCAUUUCGAUCUCUGGAGAAGCUAGAGUUUAUAGAGAUGCCGGAGUGGGAGGAAUGGGUACCAAGUGGAAGUGCAAGUGGUAGUGAAUAUGGUCCAGACUUUCCUCAUCUCCAGGAGCUGAUUCUAAACGAGUGUCCGAAGCUAAGAGGAAGUUUGCCUUGUGAGUUGCCUUGCUUGAAGAAGCUUACGGUGUAUGGGUGUAAGGUUUUACAUGAUGGAAGGGCCGCUACCGCAACUACCAAUAGUCUUAACUAUAAAUCUCUGGAAGAAUUGGAUAUAAGGGGUGGAUGCCAAACUCUGUUAUCAUUAUUAGAGACAAAGCUCCUGUCCCGACUUAAGAUUGAAAAUGUUGACGUACAGUGCUUGCCCAACUGCAAUCGUCUUCAACGUUUGACUCUUUUGAAUUGUCCAACGCUGUCGUCAUUCCCUAAAGAUGGCCUACCCACUACAUUGACAUCACUUACUAUACUCAAUUGUAGGAGAUUAGAAUUCCUACCUCAUGAGAUGUUGGCCAAAUUAACAUCGCUUGACUAUUUGGGCAUACAAAGUAGCUGUGAUUCAAUGAGGUCCUUACCGUUGGGCAUUUUUCCCAAAUUGACGACGCUUCAAAUUCUUGGUUGUGAGAAUCUGGAAUCUUUUUCCUUGAUUGAAGAAGAAGGAGCUGUUGAGAAUCUCAGCCAUCUCAAUUCCUUGCAAGUCAUUAACUGUCCAAAAAUGGUGUGUUUUCACGAGGGAGAAUUGCCCUUUCCCAACCUGAGUCACUUUGUAGUCAUUGACUGCGAGAAUUUGAAGUCAUUGCCCGAACGCCUUCACACCCUCACUGCCCUUCGAUCUUUGAAUAUAUGGAAUCUUCCGAAUCUGGAGUCAUUUGCAGAAGAUGGGGGUUUGCCUCCCAACCUCCGAUCUUUUAUCAUUAGGAAUUGUAAGAGACUGAGGGCACUUGACUCAGUGGGUUUGCAAGCACUUGUCUACCUUCAGAUCGAUGGAAGUGACCAUGUCUUGGAGACGUUGCUGCUCCCUACCACUCUUCACACUCUCUGCAUCUCUGAUCUAUCAACUCUGAAAUCUUUGGACGGAAAGGGUCUUGGACACCUCACUUCUCUUCAAACUCUAAAAAUUUACAGCUGUCCAAGUCUUCAAUGCCUGCCAGAAGAGGGUUUGCCGCCAUCUCUUUCUCAUCUGAGUAUCCGCUGUUGUCCUACCCUGGAGGAAAGGUAUAAGAAUAAAACGGGACAAGAUUGGGCAAAGAUAUCUCACAUUCCUUGCAUCGAGAUAGGGGAAGAAGUGAUCAUAUAAUAUGAGCUAUUCCAUAUUUCACGCUCAACCCUCAACUCUCAAAUCAAAGUCAGGUGAGGUAUGUGCCUUCUCUUACUUUAAAAAACUGCUUCUCUUCUUCUAAUUGAAUACAAAAACCAAAACACAUAUUCUCUUUCUCUUCCAAAAACCCAAAUACAUGUUGGACAUAGCCCAACGCUGUACUUUCAUAGGUACUGCAUGUAUAUUAUCUUAGUAUCAACAGGUGGUCUUAUGUGGACGAGAGAGAACAUUGAGGAAUUACAAAAUCUUCUUAGUGAAUUAAGCUUGCUUCAGCUCUGUUUGUCAUCCCUCUCAUUUUCUUUGUUAAGCCUUGGUUUUUUAUUAGGAGAUGAAUGCUUUUAUAUAUUGAUGUCGUAGUCAGUCUUCAACCACACUCCGUUUUUAGAAUUCGUUUAUGUUACUAGUGGAGUGCUGCUGUAUUUUAUAUUUCGUUCCUGUAAUGUUUGAUGUUUAGUUUGAGUAGUCUAGCUUAUCCAGUAGAUAACUCGUCCCCUGUUUUGUAAUGUUUUUGUUUCCUCUAAUGAAAGCAGGUUUUACUUAUCUUAAACUUUUAUUUUUAUUUUUAAAUAUCAGUAAUAACUGGGAAAGCUUGCAUCUCC
This 115708-nucleotide long non-coding RNA is filed under the name Prunus persica (peach). Its description in RNAcentral is "long non-coding RNA (PPER_LNC001934)". Lineage: Eukaryota; Viridiplantae; Streptophyta; Magnoliopsida; Rosales; Rosaceae. The record is from RNAcentral.